Molecule: long non-coding RNA, 172066 nt
Filed under: Citrus maxima (pomelo)
Lineage: Eukaryota; Viridiplantae; Streptophyta; Magnoliopsida; Sapindales; Rutaceae
Description: long non-coding RNA (CMAX_LNC003390)
Source: RNAcentral
UCCAGCAACUUCUUUGGAAACAUCAUUCAACGUGGAGUCAUUUACAUCAAUGCCGGCAUUUUGUCGCAGUAAAGCCAAUCCUUCUUCUGGCGUUAGUGUACUAAGUGGAAUCUGUGUGUCACAACCCAAAGAAUCAAAAACUGACUUUUUGCGAGUGGUUAGAAGGAUUUUGCAACAAUUAUCUCUACCACCGACGGGAAUACCUAAUUUUUUCUCCGAGUCGAGUUGUUUCCAAAUAUCAUCAAGGAUUACGAGGAUUUUGCUGCUUUUACUCUCAGAAAACAUCAAGCGCAAUCGGUCUGCUCUCUCUUUUUCAUCUUUCUCAUUUAGUGCCCAGCCUAACGACUUUGCCAGCUCACCUUGAACCUUUAUUAUAUCUGGAUCCUGAGACACAGUGGCUAUCCCCACCUUAUCGAAAAUCUUUUGUUGCCGAAGUUGAUUGCCCACAGAUUUUGCCAAGGUCGUCUUUCCUACACCGCCGAGACCAUGCAAUCCCACCAUCUUUGUGCUGUCUUUUUUCAGUGCUUCAGUGAUCUGAUUACAAGCCGAUUCUGUAGUCUCGAAAGAAGAAAAAAAUCUUGGAAUAGGCAUUUCUGUGUCUGAUGGUAGAGGUUUAGGAAGGGCAACUGUGCUGAAUUUGCCGCGGUCUUGUAGAUCGGACGACUUGAGAGUCUCCUUUGAUGCUUUUCUACCCAUCCAAUAUCGGAAACCCCAAUUAGGACACCAUCCAUUAAAACAACUCUUCUUUUCAUCUAUCUCUGCUUUCAAAUUUCGGACAUCGGCCAUUUCUUCGACUACAUCCGCCAGCCACUUCUCUACAUCUUUCUCAACUACUACAGCGCAAUGUUUUUGUCGUUCUUCUUCUACUUUUUUGUUGAUGCCAUCUUGUGCCUCCUUCAAAUUAGUUUCUUUAUCCUCAAGUUCUUUAACAAUGCUGUUGAAACAGAACAGAUAGCGAGCUUGUUUUACGGUAGCAUCCACCAAUAAUUCUACAAGCUUUGAUCCAAUACCUGAUAAAAUUUCCAUGCUAUUUAUCUGCAAUUGACAAAGUUGAUCUCAGUACACUAUAAGCAAAACAACAAGGCUUGAUCACAAGAUCGAACGAUAAUGUUUAAUUACUUUUUUAUUGAAUGUUUAAUUACUUUCUUUUAUUCUAUGAAUGCACGUUUAUUAACGCCAGCUUUGAUCAAUAAGAGCAAAAUGCAAACGCCAGGCUUCAAGUAGCCUUUAGCUGCAAACAAAAGAGAAGAAAUAAGGCAAACGUGAUAGAUGGUGGAUUAUAUUGAAAUUAGAUUACUUUAGAAAUUUUUAAAUAAAAAUAUCAAACAACAAAUUUAAUAAUAGAAUCUAGAUAAAUCGAAGAGUUUGUUAUGCAUUGCGAGUGAAGACAGGCAGUUACAUGGGGGAAUCUUGUAAGAGUGAUGAAAAUUAAAAAGCCAUCCAUAAUUGAAGUUAAAAAGAGUAUUAGAGAUUAGAGGGGUUCAACAUCUUAUGCAAGCUCACUCAUGAUAAAAUUUGAAGAUAAUUAUCCCAUUUUUACUUCAAUCAAUAUUCUAAUACAAUAAUUCCAUAAAUCUCAAAUAGUAUCUUAAGAUUUUUUUUUUUCCUCAAAAUUACCAUUAAAAGUAAAACAAACAUGAAGCUAAGAGCCUAUGAAACAAUAAUAUCUCAUACCUUCUUUCUCAUAGAUCCUCAAUUACCCCUGAAAGCUCCGGUUAGAGAGUCGCACAAGCUCGGAGAAAAUUAAAAGCUGCAUCCAGCAAUAUAAAUAAACAUCAGAUCAAAACAACAAAGCAUAUAUCUAGCUAACUAAACAUCAUCUAUAACUCCUCGUUCUCAGUCAAAUCUUUCAUUCUUAGGAGAUAAAAAAAAGAUUGAAAUAAUAACUGUAACUGAUAUAGGAAGCAAAAGUAACAUACCAAAACGAGAGCGGCUAGCUCACAGAUCUGGUGACUUCCAAGAGCAUGAAAAAUGAUUGAGGUUUAAUAGCAAGUUCACAGAUGACAGAUGUGGUGACUUCAAGAGCAUGAAAAAUGAUAAAACUUUGGUAGAAAGGUCUGAGCCGUGUUUCACAAGUUGCUAUUGACUUCGUGGCUUCGCUUUUAUUUAUUAUUAUUAUUAUUUUUUUAAAUUCUAUAUCAGUGAGAAUUGAAAUGUGGAAAGUGAAAUGAUACACAUGCCUUAUCAUCUAUCAUGAGGGGUGAUUUGGUAAAACCGAUUUAAAAUAAAAAAAAGUUUAAAAAGAUGCUUUGUGUCUGACUGCUUGUAUUUGGGGUAUUUUUCGGGUUGUUGAGAGUGAGUUUAAUUAAAUAUAAGAUUUUCAUUUUUCUUAUUCUAUUUUUCUCUUUAGAAUGAAUUUAAAUCUCAUUCUUAUUAAAUCCAUUUUUUUAAAUGAAAGUAGAUUUCUCUCCACACAUUUGAGAUAUAUUUUAAAAUUAAUGUUCAGUAUAUCUCUAAAUUAUAUUAUAAAUAUUUUUAUUUAAAAUCUCAACAGAUUUCAUAACGUACAAAGAGAAAUACAUAUAUAUGUUGUAAUGUUUUAAUGAUGGAUCUCCAAAGUUAUCAAGUUAAAAAAUAAAUUAAAAAAUAAAAAAUACACACUUCAACUUAUUAUAUGAUAAAAUAUAAUAAAUUAAAGUGAGUAUUAUAUUUAUUUUUUAUUUUAUCUCUUAACUUAAUAACCUAAAAUAUAUUUAUUUAAUAAUGAUUAUAUAUAUAUCUAUAUAAUUUUUUUAAAAAAUAAACAAUUUAAGUGAAGCAAAGGACAUUUUAGAGGCAUUGCGAGACUACCAAUUUACCAUUUUGGGUUGCAAUAAAGUGAAAACUGUAGACUACCAAUCUACCAUUUUAUUGAAUCGGGUCCCGCUGACUUGGAGCUUAUGUAAAGUUACAUUCAUAACAAAUUGAUACUUGUCUUUAUUAUAAAUUAUUCUUUUAUUCAAAUAUACGUUCAUUUCUUCAAUCAAGUCCUCAUAUUUGUUCAAUUUAUGAUAAGAUCCUUGUAUGGGAGCAUAUCUGCAAAUGUAAUAAUUAUUCUUCUAUUUCAGAUAGUUUUUGUGAAAAAAUACUUUUAUCAAUUAUUUAUGUUUACUAAUUCUUAUGUCUUUUUUUAUUACUUUCCAUAGCUCUAUACAAAUGUUUGCUAUAGAAUUUGUGUUAUUUCGCUAUAAUAUAAUUUAUAUUGUAAACCUCUGUUCAUCUGUAAAUAAAAUGACAAUUUUUUUGUUUACUCCUAAAAAAUAUGAAAAUAUUAAUUUACUCUCAUAUUUAUUUAGAAGACAAUGGCAAAUAAGGUCGCAUUGAUAAUUUUUUUUAUUUACUUAUUAAUUAAUUAGAGUAAAUUAAUAUUUUCAUAAUGAGAGAUACAUUGAAGAUUGUCAUUCUUAGUAGAGGGUAAAUUAAAGUUUAUCUAAUUAAUUUAAAAUAUCAUUAAAAUUUAACAUUCUAAUCUGGAUUAGAUUUCUGGGGGGGAGGGAGGGGAACGUCCUUAUUCGGAUUAGACUCAGCUGGAAGAGGCACAUCCUUAGCUGGAUCAAUUUGUUCAAGAUUGGAUGCAUCCAUCGGUUUCAAAUUUGUCUCUUGUAAGCAUCAUCGGAUUUCUUUACUAAAAUUUAGAUUAUCAAUCACAUCUAAAACUUAUUGAAUGAUACAUUUCAUUUCUAUAAAAUUGAGUUACUAUUACCACCUCACAUCUUAUAAAUUCUAGAAAAUAAUCAAGGCUUGACAUACUUUUAUUUAUGCAAAAGCAUAAGAAAAUAAUUCAAAGUACUAAUUAGUGCAGUAUUACUCAAAAUUCUAGAAUAGAUUUGCUAGUUCUCUUUAGCCAUAGAUUGGUCCAUGAUUGGCACCGCAAUAGCUCAGAAUCACCUCAACGAUUGUUCCACACAGCCCAACAUGACACACUGUAAACUAGUCUAACAUGAACUUUCUGAGUGGCUUUCUAACAAUAGUCUUAGAGAAAGUGUUUAGUAGUAUGAAGUCUUCUUUUUUUAACAUAAAUGUUGGCAUGAUAUUCUUAAUAUAUUUCUAAAAUCAAAAUAAGAUGCAUAGAGGACGAUGAUAAUUUUAUUUCAUAAUUGAAUUUUUUGCAAAGAAAGUUUGAACAUGAGAGUGAUGAGAGAUGAGAAUAUUGAUGAUGGUGUGUACUUUAGAUGUAAAAAUAGAUUGGAAAUAUAUAUAGACAUAUUAAAAGAAAAAAAUUUGGUCUAUUUCAUAAGAGAAACAAAAAAUUAUAAACGCGGGUGUUAAAAUAUAUUCAGAAUUUAUAAAUUUUUAUAAAUAUGAUAAUCAUUAGACCCUUAUAAAAGUAUAGCAAAAAGUUUAAAUUUUUUUAAUAAAUAUCGAAGAGAUGGACGAAGAAACCAUCCACCAGUUCAGAAUUAAUAAUCAAAGAUAUGAUGACUUGAUUGAAGAAAUGGUGAAAAAUAAAAGGACAGUAGGACACUGGGUUGGUUGGCAGGACCCUAAUAUUAAUGGUUAAAAAUAAAAGGACACUGGGUUGGUAUCAAUUUCUACCGUGUAGGUUCAUAGCCGGGGAAGUAAUUGGGCACAAAUAUCUCGGAUGAGAAAUAACCAUUUUAUCCCGCAACCAUAUGUUUAUGGCCUCUAAAAAUUUUCACCUCUUUCACUUCUGGAACCCGUGGUUUCUGGCACAUGCACAAUACUUGGUUGCUACUUAUAGAGCGUUUUUAGAAUUGCAAUAUAAUCUACAGCUGGUUGUUGACAUUACACUGCGGGUGUGUAAUUAUUACAUAUGCAGAUAUUCUCCCAUGCGAGGAUCUUAUCAUAAAUUUAAAGGAUACGAGGACUUGAUUGAAGAAAUGAACGAAUAUUUGAAUAAAAAAAAAUUUUAAAAUAAAGACAAGUAUUAAUUUACUAUGAAUGCAACUUACAUAAGUUAGCGGGACAAUAUUGAAUCACACGCAAAAAACAAUCUGUCUUCUUCUUGAUUUCGUAAUUUAGCUGUCAAAAUAUAAUCUAUAAAGAUUACGAUACCUCGAUUCAAAAAAUGAUGUAUCUGAUGAAAUAAAUGAAAAUUGAACGUACAAUCUACCACGAACACUAUUCAAUUAACCGUUUAUUUCCCCUUAAAUUUUUAAUUUCAAUGAAACAUAGAUCUAAUGGGAACUACAUAUAUAUAAAAAUACUAUAGAUUGAAGAAGUUGAAUUUUUCUUGUGUGUUAAGUAUUUUUAGUUAAUACAAAAGGAUUCUAGCAAGUUAAUACAAAAGUAUCAUAAAUUCAUAGUAGUACAAGAGAUUUUUUUUUUUCUUUGAUGUUAAGAGUUUUGGAGAUAAAAAAAAAUAUAUAUAGGUGAAAGAAGAAGAUGAGAGAAGAGAAAAUAUUAAGAAUAGUUUUGGAAUUUUGAUGCGUUUUAUAGAGUAAAAUCUAUAUUUUAUAGUAUAAAAUGAUAUACCCAAAAUUUAAUGAUAAAAUUUUAAGAAAAAAUUGCACUCGUCAAAAAAAAAAAAAGCUCAGCUUAGCCCAAAAUUUUUUUAUUAAUCAUCUAGUCACUAAUGUAAUCUCUUUUUUAUGAGAUUCUUGAGCAUUUUAAUUUAGUCCAUUGUUAGCUAUCCUAAUAGCUUUUAUGUGCAUCUAUUUUUAUUUGAAAUAUGUUUCAAGCUUGAAUAAAAUCUGCGGGACAACUGGUAAGUAAUAAAGCUCAUUAAUUUUUUAUUUUGAAAAUAAAGGGAAUCACUUACACUUAGCAUGAUAUUAUUUUUGAUAAGUCAUUUUUUUGGUAGAUUAUUUUUUCUGACACGCUCUUAGAUUUAGUGAAAAUAAAUUGUAUACUUUAAACGAAGAAAAGUAAAGAUCAACCAAAUAUUUUGUUCUUUCCGACAACUUUUGCGUUCUCAAGUGCGCCUGAUACCCUUUUUUUUUUAACAUGAGCCCACGUGCCAUUGUUUCCAUUUCAAGUUCAUAAUUUAACAGUAGAAAUGGGUUCCACAGAUACUUUAUUUUAUAAUUUUUUAAAAAAUUACCAAAAUAUAAUAAAUAAGGUAAUAAUAAUUAAUAAAAAAGUAGAUUUUAAGAUGGAAAAAUCUUUUUGUGUGCUUAAUAAAAAGAUGAUAAGAAUGGGAUGCUUUUAGUUAAUUGGUUUACAUUCUCAUGGUUAUUUAUACUGAAAAAUUACAUCAAAAUUUAAUUAAUAAAUCAGUGAACUGCAGACUUAUUAAAUUUAAGCUAUUUUAAUAAGUCAUAAAUAUACUAAGUUAAAAUAGUAGUAAACCCAUUGUUACACAAUACUCUCCAUUGAGUGUUCACCAUUUUAAGAUAAUCAUAAAAUGACACCGGAAGUGCUAUUAUAGCUGUCUCAUGGAAAGCCUUCACCAAUAAAAAGGAGGAUAGAGCACAUACAUCCAGUUUUUAUACCCUUUGAUGCUCAGUCGACACGUGCCAAUGCUAUAGACUAUCGGAUAAUCUACUAAGGUGACGCAUGCCAAUGCUAUAGACUAGCUUUUCAAAGGUUGAACUGGGAAUACUUUUAGUAAAAAGACCUGCAAAAUCAUAGUGUACCUAUUUGACAUCAACUUUUUUUAUCUGCUGGAGCUUAUGAUUAUAGAAGAUCUUCGGUAAGAUGUGUUUGAUAUUAGAAAAUCUCCUUUUAUAUAUCCUCUUCUAACUUGUGUAAUAGUAGUAAACCCCUGCCCCUCUUUAUUUCGUUUAGUAUUUUCUAAAUGGCCGAAGGAAAAUUGGUAAAAACUCAUUUAAAAAUUAAAAAAUCAAAGAAACUCAAGAAGAAGCUUUUGUAUCUGCCAUUUGUAUUUGGGGUAUUUUUUUGGUUGUUAAGUGAAUAAGCUUAAAUCUAAAACAUUUAUUUAUAUAUUUCUUGUUGGAAAGAAUUUAAAUUUUAUUCUUAUUAGACUUAUUCUCUCUAAACAAAGGUAGAUUUUUCUCUAUGUGUUUAACGUGUAUUUUAAAAUUAAUGUUCAACAUAUCUUUAGAUUCUAUUAUAAAUAUUCAUAUCUAAAAUCUCAACAGAUUUCAUAAUAUAUAAAUAUAUAUAAAGAGAGAGAAUAACGUUUAUAAUAAGAAAUUUAUUAAGUUAAAGAAUAAUUCAAAAGAUAAAAUAACACACUCUAAUAUAUUAUAUAAUAAAAUAUACUAUAUUAAAAUAUAUAUUUUGUUUACUUUUUUUAAUAUAUCUCUUAAUAACUUAAGAAAUCCUUUGUUUAACACACACUCUCUCUCUCUAUAUAUAUAUAUAGAGAGAGAGAAAUGUUCGCGGAAAACCUUUAAAACCACAUGAUUUUAAAUAUUUAAACUUUAAGAACCGAUGAACAAUUUUUGACAAAGACGUUGCGACCUAAGUAGGGAUAGCAACUAAAUUCGGAUCCAACUCCGCAUGUAAGGAUCCGAAAGAUCCAGAUCCAGAAAAUUUUUAUCUGAAUAUUAAAAAAUGUUGAUCCGAAUAUAGAAAUUUGGGAUCUGCACGGAUUGGGAUGGAAGUACAUUCGGAAAAUUGGAUAUCGAGAUCUGGAUAAAUUUUGUUUCAAAUUAAAAAUUAAAUUAAAAAUUAAAUGAAAAAUUAAAAAAGUAAAUUUUAUUUGUGGAUUUAUGAUGUUGUUGUAUAUUAUUCAUGUUGAAUUAUUAAUUGUUGGAUUAUGAUUGAAUUUUGUUUGAAAUUAUUGGGUAAAUUUUUUAAUUUUAUUUUAAAUUAAAAAUAUUUAUUAAAAUUAAAUAAAAAUAAAACAUUAAAUUUUAUUUGUAAAUUUAUGAGAUUAUUGUAUGUUAUUCAUUUUGAAUUAUGAUUAAAUUUUAUUUGAUAUUAUUAGGUAAAUUAUUAAACUUUCAAAUUAUAUAUUAAAUUAUUUAAUUUUAAUUUUUUGCGGAUCCGAAUAUCUAGAAUAUCUGUCCGCAUCCGGAUCUACAUAUUUUUUUAUGAAUCCAGAUAUAAGAAUAUGAAUGCGGAUCCAAAUUCGGAUUUUGCCAACCCUAGACCUAAAAUGUUGUGACUUGUCUGUUCUACUUCAAUAUUAAGCACAAAUUCUCUGUCAACAUGUCUGUUCUACUUCAAUAUUAAGCACAUUCAUAGCGGUAUCAAAAUGUUGUGACUUGUGACUACCCAAAAUCCCCAGAAAGAGUGAGAGAUUUCACUGAAGCUAAGUUGUGACUUGUGACUACCCAAAUGUUCUAUAACACGAUAUGAUUAUUCUAGUAACACAAAUCCAAUAGCAUGCAACAUAAUCUACUCUCUAACAUUGUGCAUUAGUAAAAUAAAACAGAGUAAAAAGAGAAACCAUGCCUGUGAAUCUCUUCUUUUCCCCCUGCCACCCCUUUUUUCGGUGAAGUCCAUCAAAUGAAAAUGCAGCAUGACCACGUUGGCCACUGCCACUGCCAUUGCUUCUUCAACUGUGCCUUUUGUUGCAUGAAAUAUUCAAUUGAAAGAUGGUUUAUAUAAUUCAAGAUUCCAAUAGACCUGAGCUGCAAAGGUUGCCUUCCACUAGCCUAUCAGAGAAUAUGCUUUCUAUUUUCCUAGUUUUUUAAUCAAAAUUUUGCAAGAUUUAUUUAUGGAAUACUUGAACAAAAUUUUAUGUAAGAUACCAUAAAGCCAAAUGCAAUCUUUUUAAUCCUCAGCAGCAACAUUUAAAGUAAAAAAAUGGAAGCCAUAUAAAUAUAACUAUGUUUGGUACAAGCAACAAUUAUUUCAAGCUUUCAGAAAUGCUAGCAAGAGAUUGUAAGAGAACUUUACCUAGUCACAGAAUAUGUCAAACAUACUACCACCAACUGUCUUCAGCACGAUUGUUAUGAAGUCGCUUUUGAAUCGGAAGAUUCCAGCUUCCACCAGGCACCAUUAUUUUCAUUCUUGAUACUAUCUGCAUCACUGGCAUUAGUUAUAUCAUCAACUUUUGCAUCCUCACUCUCAUCAUCCCAAUCAAGGCUUCUUCUCCAGCUCUGGAUUAUAAGUCCACUCCGACAUCUUCAAACAUCUCGGUCCUUCCAUUUGCCAACAACCGAUAUGGCUUCCUUCCUUGCCUUCCCCAUUAAUAUAUCACUCGAAGGAAAAAUAGCCCCCACAAAAAGGGUCUUCAGACACCGCAACUUUGCCUUCUGCAAAACCUCCACAAAAUCUGAAUUAUCCAACACAACAGCCAGACACUCAAUCCUUCUUUUGUCCAUCUUAUCCACCGUAUGAUUCCUCAACAAAAUAUCUACAGCUUGUGGCUUAUCUAACACUGUCUUGAUCCAAAACCCCGCUCUUUUCAACUCAUCUGCCAAACCAUAACCCACUUUUGGAGUCAAAAUUGUCCUUGCAGCCCUUUUAUAUUUUUCCAUCUCCAUCGAAUACUUGCCACUCAAAUGGAAUUACCAGACAGGAAUCCCAGUAACAAGUCCACUCAACUUCUUCUCAUCUGAUCCCUCUUUCACUCUGGCGGAAACAUUAAUAACCAUUCACCAGCCACAAAUUACCCAAGUAAGUACUCGUGUCGUCAACACUUACCCUUCACUUCAUCGACGCAAACAAGAAUUCAAAUUGCUUAUUAGCUAGUGCUCGAGCGAAAGCCAAAAUAAAUUAAAUAUGUGUGUGUGUGUGUGUUAAAAGAGAAACGGUAGCGAAGUUAUUAUACAAUCAAGCAAACAAAAAUAAAUUCUACCCUCAUGUGGGUGUUUCGCUCGCAAAAUCUGGACAAGAAAAAAUAAUAUUGAUACAAUCUCCAAAUAAAGAGCAUUCCUCUUGGUAAAAUAGACAAAUCCUAUAAAUUUUGAUUAAUGGUGCCAAAUGAAAGAGUUGUAAUUUCAUGUACAUUUUGUUAACAUGAAUAAGGGUACAAAAUAGAUAACAAAGUGACAAAAACAAGGCUAAUCACAAUGGAUGAUAAGGUUUAGAGUAAACAUAAAGUUAUAAUCUUGAACAUAAGUGGCGCUCAAAGCCAUGAAUUUGAUAUCAUCAACAAGGGGAGUUCAAACAACGGCAUGUAAGAAGCAACAACUGUUGAGAAAAAAAAAAUUCAUAGUAACACGAGAAUAAAUUGUAAAGAAAUCCCAGUUUGUAUAAAAGAAAGAAAACAAAAUUAAGGAAAACAUAAACACAACAAAAUUUGACUGAUUAUUAAAAAUGAGAAAUGAGUUAUAAUGAGAAUUUUGGCUUUGUGGUGAAAUAAAUUGGGAAGUAUCCAAAAUUCGCAUGUAAAUAAUAUAAAUGAUAAGAAGACGAAGGGAACAAAAUGAUAAUAAGCAAGCCAAAUAUUAAAAUGUAUUACACCUCCUAAAGUCAUGUUAAGAUAGUUAGUGAGCUGAUAAAGUUUGUUGCACGUUUGAGUUGGUUUUUUUUCUUUUUAAAAGAAAGUAACCAACCCUUUCAUUAAUCACAAGAACUUGAGUACAUCGUAUAAUUCAGUUAGAAUAUUUUCCAGCCACAUAAAGGGAGAGUUUUUCUCCAAAACUAUCUUAUUUAAGUAAUGGGCACAUGCAUUACAAUGUCUUAGAAUGUGAUUGACAACAACUUUUUGGAAGUUUUUCAUCUGGUUUUGGAUUGCCAGAAUUGUCCAAAAAAAUUUUGAUCUGUUGCCCUUGGUGUUGUUCACUAGCUGGACCACCUCUAAGCAAUCUGACUCAAUGAUCAAAGAGGUUACAUCCGCACUUCUUGCCAGCUGAAGGCCCCAAAGCACAGCCUCUACUUCAGCCAAGCUUACUGACCCCUUUAGGAGGUUCUGAUUAAUCCCAGCUGCAACUAUCUUACCAUUAGAGUCUCUAAUCACAGCUCACACUCCUUCACUCAGAUUCUUUGAAUUAAUAGCAGCAUCCACGUUAACUUUGAAAACAUUCUCAGGGAGGAGCCACUCCUGAUGCUUCUCUUUUCUGUGGAGAGAGAUAUGAGCUUGCUCGGGCUUCUUAACUCUCUGAAAUGCUAUCAACACAGAUUCCACUUUAGCAGCUGAGAUAAUAGGAUUAAUCUCCCUGCCAUCGAAAAUACAUUUGUUCCUAGCCUACCAAGCAGACCAACACAGAGCUACCAUUAAUUCCAAAUCUGUUUUCCUCAGCUCCUUAGCCAUUCUUUGAAGAGUGCUGAAGAUGUCCUAAGAAUUAGCUUCUAAGUUAUGGGCUGUAAAAGGGGACUGGAGCCAAAUCUUUCUCGCAACCUUGCACUCCAAGAGGGCAUGGCUGAUAGUCUCUACACUUAUUUUGCAUCGCUUACAAGUUGGCUCCUCCACUAACUUCCUUUUCCACAAAUUUUCCACCGAUGGAAGCAGAUUAUUUGAGACCCUCCACAUGAAGAUUUUAAGCUUCUCAGGUAGCUCCAGUGACCAAAGGGCACUCCAGUACUGGUUGGAAGCCUCUGAGCAGCUGGUAGAAUCUGAAAAUUUCGUUCUCAAUGCUAGUUGGUACCCACUCUUGACAGAGUGGUUCCCUCUUUUGCCGUAAUGCCAAAGCACUUCAUCUUCCGUUUGCUCAGCUGGGAGGGAAAUCUUGAGGAUCUCUGCUGUGUCUGCAUCCAUGAAGUGCUGUCGUGGCUUGAUUUCAUCCUAUUGGUUGUUAGCCUUAAUUAAGUCUACAACAACUGAGUUUACAGGCAAUGAUGGAAAAUAGAUCUGAAGGUCUCUGGUCUUGGCAGCCAAUUGUACGAGAAAAUUGCUAUCUUCUUGCCAUUACCUAUAUGCCACUCAGGCCCUUCUUAAUCACUUGCCUACCUCAAAGGAUGCUUCUCCAAAUAUACGAGGCAUUGGCUCCUGCUUCUGCACAUAAAAAGCUGGAUUUCCUGUAAUAUCUUGCUUGAAGGACUCUUGAGACUAGGGAAUUUAGGUACUGCAAUAACCUCCAUGCUUGCUUAGCUACCAAUGCUUGAUUGAAACAAGUAAACUCUCGAAAUCCCAGCCCCCUCUAAUCUUUGCUUGGCUAAGCUUCUCCCAUUUCCGCCAAUGGAUUCCGCGCUUAUCCCCUUUCGAGCCCCACUAGAACUUCACUAUAGCUCAUUGAAUAUCAUCACAAAGGCCUUUUGGGAGCUUGAAAACACUCAUUGCAUACACUGGAAUUGCUUGGGCUGCCGCUUUGAUCAGAAUUUCCUUCCCCCCACUAGACAACAUUUUAUGCUGCCAUCCUGCAAUCUUGUUCAACACUUUCAGUUUGAUGUCAUUAAAGAACCCCAUCUUCUUCCUCCCAAUCAUUGAUAGAAGACCGAGGUAUUUCUUGUGCUUUGAGACCACAUUUAGAUUAAAGAUACCCCUUAUAGCAGCCCUUUGAUGCUCUAGAAUUUUGCCACUGAAGAACAAUGAGGAUUUCUGAAAAUUAAAGAUCUGUCUUGAUGUUGCAGCGUAUUUAUCAAAAAUCUCUUUUAAAUGAAUGCAUUCAGCCACUGAUGCACGAGAGAAGACCAAGCUGUCGUCCGCAAACAACAAGUGAGUAAUUGAAACUUCCCGUACAAAUUUGAGGCCUCGGAUUAGCUGGUUUUGUUAUGCCAAUAUCAACAAAUUGGAGAGAGCCUCUGCACAAAGAAUAACAAGGUACGGGGAUAGUGGGCAGGCCUAUCGCAAGCCUCUUUCCAGCUGGAUCAUUCCUUUUGGCACACCAUUAAUAAGCACCGAGAAUGAAACGGAAGUAACACAUCUCAUUAUCAAAGCUACCCAAUUACUAGGAAACCCCAACUUUAUCAUAGUUUGUUCUAAAAAGGGCCACUCAACUCUAUCAUAAGCCUUACUUAUGUCCAAUUUUAAAGCCAUAAGUUCGUUCUUCUUCCCUUUGCUAUGUCUUAUUUUAUGAAUGCAUUCAUAACCAAUAAUGACAUUAUCGGUAAUGAGCCUAUUAGGGAUGAAUGCACUUUACAUUGGGGAGAUGAUUUGGGAAAGGAUCGGCUUCAUUCUAUUUGCAAUGGCCUUAGCUACAACUAUAUAAAUAACAUUACAAAUGCUGAUAUGUCUAUAAUCACUCACUUUCCUAGGAUUUGCAAUUUUUGGAAUCAAAGCAAUAAAAGUGUGAUUGAGGAUAGAUGGGUUACCUUGCUCAUUAAGGACAUUAAGACACGUUGAGAUCACUCAUUUACGGACGGAUUUCUAAUGCUUCUGAAAGAAGACAGCUGGAAGACCAUCAGGCCUUAGGGCCUUUGUGGGGCACAUGUUGGCAAGGGCUUCCUCUACGUCUUCAGCGAUGAACGGCUUUUCCAGCUGAACAUUCAUCUCCAGAGUUACUUUUGCAGUCAUUCCUUGAAGGGUUGCUUGGAUUUGGCUUGGAGUCGGGCUGGAAGUAGUGAAUAGCUCUUGGAAAUGGCUGCAAAACUCCUCCUCUAUUUCAUCCAUGUCCUUCACCCAAGUGCCUUAGUCGUUUUCAAUCCCCCACACCUUGUUCUUCCUUUUGCAGGCAGAAGCUUUGGCGUGAAAAUACUUCGUGUUCUUAUCCCCUUCUCUAAGCCAGUUGGCCCUCGAACGCUGUUUCCAGUAAAUCUCCUCGUCAACUAGCAUAGAGUUAAUCUGACUUUCCAACCUCUUAAUUUCCUUGCCAUCAUCCAGCUUUGAAUUCCAUCUCAUAGCAUCUUGAAGGCUCUGCAUCAACUUUUCUUGCUUUCUUUGCCUACCAUUAAAUUCGGUUUUGCUCCAAAGUUUUAGCUGGGCCAAUGAAGCUUUGGCCCUUCUCUAAAAUUGUUGAACAGGGGAUUCCCAAGCUCUAGUCCCAUGUCGACUCCACUCUUCCUGGACUCUACUCUUGCAGCCUUCGUGAGAACUCCACAUAUCCUCAUAAUGAUCUCGGGGGAAUGAUUUGCCCACAUUUCUCGAAUUCUUGCUUCGCUCAUUGAAUUCUAGAAUGAUUGGGCAAUGGUCCAAAGUCCAGUUCACUAGAUUUGUGGCUAUAGAUUCUUGGAAUUUAAUCCCCCAAUCCUUACUACACAGAAAUCGGUAUAAUCUCUCCUCAAUGAAAUGAUCUCCGUAUCUUUUAUUUGACCACGUAUAGAGAUAUCCCUUACUACCCAUAUCCUGCAAAUUGCAGUUUUGCACAACUUCCCUAAACUCGGCAACCAUAUUCAGAUUUCUCUCAUUGCCCCCAUUUUUCUCAUGCAUAUGCAUUAUCUCAUUGAAAUCCCCAAAACAGCACCAAGGAUAGGAGAAUAGACUGGCAACCCUUUUCAUGAGAGUCCAAGUAUUAUGCUUCUGGCUGAACUCGGGAUGGCUGUAGAUCCCUAUGCAUCUCCACCUCAAUCCACUUUCAUUACUCACUAUUGCAUCUAUAUGAUGUGGGCUGUACGAGGUAAUGCUAACAUUAACAUCUGCACUCCAAAGCAAGGCUAGACCUCCCCCCAUGCCCGUUCUAUCUACUGCAAAACAAUUCUCGAGAUUAAAGUCUCUACAAAUAGAUUCAACUUGCCUAGCCAACAUCUUGGUUUCACAAUAGAAAAGAAUUUGAGGCUGGUGUAGGUGGAGAAUUUUUUUGAGAGCUAGGCGCGUUCGAGGUUUCCCCAGACCUCAAACGUUCCAACUUAGGAGUUUCAUGGUUGUCGACGGGCCUGAAAUUCAGCACCCGCCGAUACUUCUUCUUCCAUAGCUGCCACAUUUUCCCCUUCAUCUGAUAUCUCUUCUGUUAUCUUUAGCUGCCGAGCUGUUCUGUUGGAGCUAAUGUGGUUGCAGUAGUCUGAGUUUAUUGCUAAACUUAUGUGGUUUCCCACGUGUGGUUGUUUUGGUGGACUGAGCACUCUUUUUUUUUGUGGGCUGAGCUGAUUGUCAUCACUACUAGGUCUUUUUGCUCCUAUUAACCCAUGAUCCUUCGCUCCUUUUGCUAUGGGAAUUCUUGCCUUAAGUUUCCAUUUUCUUGCUUUGGGCUUCACGUUAGUCUUGCUUGGCCCACUAUCCAUUUCUUCCAUAUCUGAUCUGGCACUCUCUUCAGCCUGCUUCCUUUUAUCUUUUAUUAUUUUCAAUCUUGCUUUAUCCAUAGGAUUUUCGUUUUCCUUCAAAAUCUUUUCUCCCACCUUUGUACUUUCAUAGCUAUAAUGGCUAUCAUUACUUGCCACCCUAUUCUGCACCUCGUCGAUGUCACAGCCCAUACUUUGACUCCCCACUUGCUGAUUUUUCGUCUAUGAAGAGGUCAACAUUAAAUGUGCUUUGUCAUAUUUCAGCAUGUUUCUUGUAUCCUCUAGUUCUGCUCCAUCUUUUAUUUCCUGAUUCGAUUUGUUCAAUUUUGACCUGUCUCGAUCAAUCGGGUUGUUUGAGCUUGGGCUGGUUGUUGCUUGCACAUUUGCUUUGAGAUUGGAUUGCUCUCGAUUGCCUUUCUCUCUACUUCGAUUUUGCUUUAUCCUGUCAGCUUGUGUAACAGUUCUCAUCCAUCCACCAUAAGGCAAGUCCUCCUUUUGUUGCCCUUUGUAUCUCAGGCAUUCCCUGUACUGGUGACCGAUAUGCGCACAACAAAAGCAAAAAUCAAGAAGUUUUUCAUACAAAAUUGGCAUUGGAGUUUUGCCAUCCGCUUGUUGUAGGAACACAAUCUUUUUUAGAGGCUGUGAAAUGUCAAUGGAUAUCCUGACUCUCGCAAACUGCCCAAUACAUUCCCCAGCUUCGUCUGUCUCCACUUCCUUGACUGUACCAAUUUUUUCUCCCAGCUUUUGGAUGACCUCCUUGUUCAUACACAUUAUUGGUAUGUUAUGGAUCUGAACCCAGAAUGUGGUAUGUGUAAAAGAUUGAUUUUUGAUAUCUCCAGUCAAGACUAUCAAUACUUUGUCGAAAUGCCACGACCCUCCCAUGAGCACCCUUUUCUUUUCUUCUUCAUAGGCGAACUUGAACAUGAAAAUGUUAUCCCCCAUGCUUUCUAUUUUAACCUCUUUGACGGAUCUCCAAGCCAUUUGCAUUGCAGCUUUCAAGCCCUCCUUGUUUAUACUUCUUGAUGUUAGCACUUUGCCCACUAAACAAUUCGCAGCUACUUCCUCUCCCUUUAUCUUCAUCCGCCCCAUGAAUGUUACGUUUAAUAUUAUAACGCUGUCAAUGGCAAAGUACGUGAGUGAUACAAAUUAAAAACAAACAAAUCAAACCCUGUGCACUGUCAUCCCUAAUUAUAUUUACCACUUCAUACUCACAGUGAUAAUAACUGUGUAUCACAGUUGACUUUCCAGACGGCUAAAAGUUCCAAGUCCGGAUGCUUGGUUAUUGAAACUUGAUGAAAAGGGCAUGAAAGAAAAUAAGAAAUUAAAUAAUACAGGAGGUAUUAAUCAUAACAUCUCUAGUUAAUGAAAAUUGAUGAACGGUAAUCCAAUAUUUCUGCAGACAUGAGCCGUAAUUAUGAUACCAUUAAGAAUGAAGCAGAAGAGUUUCCCCAAAAAAGUUAAAACGCGGCACUUGGAUUUAAAGAAUUAUCAUAUCACAGUACCGGGACAAAAAAAGGUUAAUGCAACAACAUACAUCAAGUUAAUUCCAUAAUCUAUCGCCAAAGAAAGACAAACACAAGCUUAUAAGAUUAAAACUUUGGAAAACAUUAGAGUCGGACAAAAUUGUGCAAUCUUCAGAGUUUGGAGCCUAGUUCAUCCAGGAAAGCAAAAGAAAUAAUAAUAAUAAUAAUAAUAAUAGUGGUUUGAUCUCAAAAGGUGACAUCAAGGUGGUAACUUUGAGGUAUUGGAAGCUAAAACGUCUUCAACUUUGUCCUGAUUUUGAAGUCCCUUAACCCAUCCGCCAUCAAUGGAUUGAAUGCUUCCAUUCAACCCAUCAUCCACAAAAUCACCAACCCGUUUCACCUUCAUCUCCUUCGGCUUAACAGGGUACUUCCCAUAGAAGCAAGCAUAACAAAAAUUCUGAGAAUCAUCGCCUGACAACUUGUUCAGGCUGUCAAUUGGCAGAAAAGCAAGCGAGUCACACCCAAUAAACUCCCUGAUUUCCUCGACGCUCAUCCUGUUGGAAAUCAACUCCUCACUACUUGGGGUGUCCACUCCAUAGUAACAACUUAACAAGAAGCUAUGAUUGGUGGGCUUGCAAUUCUCAUGUGAACCUCUUUAGCUCCAGCCUCCUUAAGCAACCGAACAAUUUUCGAUGAAGUUGUUCCUCUCACUAUUGAAUCAUCCACAACCACAACUCUCUUUCCCUCCAACACUCCCCUUACAGGAGAGAGCUUAAGCUUGACACCAAAGUCCCUAAUUUUCUGGGACGGCUCAAUGAAAGUUCUCCCAACAUAGUGUGACCUUAUCAACCCUUGUUGAAAUGGUACCCCGGCUUUCGCAGCGUACCCAAGUGCAGCCACCACUCCAGAAUCUGGUACUGCAAUCACAGCAUCACACUCAACAGGAGCCUCGGUAGCAAGUACUUCCCCAAAAUGAUACCUCAACUCAUAAACAGACCUACCAAAUACAACAGAAUUGGGCAAAGCAAAAUAAAUAUGCUCAAAGAUGCACUGGUUAGGUUCAGGGUGAGGCAUCAAACAAAGUGAUUGAACCCCAUCUUUAUCCACCAUCAAAACUUGGAUAUACCUCUCUCUCGUAUGUGGCCUCAAUCAAAUAGUGCACAAGUCUCUGUCGCAAAAACCAGAGCACCAUUACUCCUCCUACCCAUCACCAACGGCACAAACCCAUACGGGUCACGAACCGCAACAAGCUUAUCCUCAGUAACAAACACCAUUGAAUAAUUAUAUUAUUAUUAUUAUUGUUUUUAAAAAUAUCAUUUAUUUAUUUUUUAAAAUUUUUUUAAAGGUAAAGAAGUGGGUAAAGAUCAAAUUCAAUUUUUAUUCCUUACCCCCUAAGAUUUGAACUUAAGUGACCAAAUGUAUAAUAUUAAGCAUCUCAAAUUUCAUUUCUAAUGAUAUACAAUUUAUUAAGUGAUUGUUAAUCUUUACAAGAUUCGAGUGAAUUAAUUAUAUUAUUUCACUAUUAAUAAUAUGAGUAUCAUAUUAUUUGGAAUAACUUUUGAAUAAAAACAUUGUGAUGGAUGAAAUAUUCUUUUGAGAAUUUAUUGACUUAUCUCAUUUAUGAUUUAUUGUUGCAUUUAAGUGAUAUUGCAAAUAAUCUCAGAUAAUUUCAAGCCAUAUGUCAUUAUUGGGAUAAAAAUAAAGUAAAAUGGUUAAAACUAUUUUUAUGUAAUUUAUAAAAAUUAAUGAAGCAACUACAAAAUUUUUUAAACGAAAAACAAUUGAAAUGUGUGUGGAAAAAGAAGAAAAAAAAUAAGGCAUUUAAAUAUCUUCUUAAAAAAUACGAUUGAGUAAAAUCAUUUUAACAGAAUGCUCUUCCAAAUACAAUUCCACAUUUUUUUUAUUGCAGUGGGAUAUUCCAAAAUUGGCACAACUCAUUAAGAAUUCGGCAACUCAAAUUUUAUUUAUCACUCUAUGCAUUUGACAAAUUAAAAAGAAAAAAAAAAUUCAUAUAUCUUCUGUUCAAAAGAAACCUUGGUAAAUAUUGUAAAACAAAUUACCAUUUUUUUUAAUUUAUGCCAUUAUAUCGUCGCUAUUUUCUCGCCCACUUUCUUAAAAUAGAAUCAAUAUUCAUUGAUGGGUUGGGUUCCAGAGUAAGCACCAAUUCUGCAAAAUGGUUUUAUAGUAGAAAAAGCACUUGUAAGACAUUCAGAACACAUUUUUCAAUUUUGUCUUUUGAAAAUGAGUCUUGAGUUCCACAAGCCAAGAAGAAUGGCUAAAAAAUGUAUGGUAUCAAAGAAAGAGAAACACCCACACACACAGAGAUUAAUGGGGAGAUAUAUGAUUGUGUAAUUUGCAUAUAUAUCCCCAUUAAUUGUUGAUAGUCCAAUGGGUCUAUGCAAAAGGAAAAAAUUGGCUGUCCUUAAAGACAAAAUUGACUGUCACAUGAAAAUAAAAAAAUUUGUUACCACGCAACGAAAAUAAAGAUUUCAAGAACAACUUUAUGGUCCCCUUUCUGUCCAAACAUAUGCGAUAGCAAUUAGUGUAAACGACACUUGAAAUAUAUAUAGUAGAUCCUCACGCAAUUGAUAAAUAUUUAUAGUAGGAUGGAGUGAUAAAUAGUUUCACAAAAUUAUUGGAAUUAACUAUUGAAUACAUGAGAUCUAUCUCAUUAAGGAUAAAAGAUUUGAGUGCUACUUCAAAAGCAUGACGUUGCUGGCAACAAAUUUAACACAAAAGUUUAAUUAAUUAUCUUAGUUGAGACGAUAAAAUCUUGGAUUAAGAACAAAAGGUUUGAGGUUCGAACCUUCUCAUUCAAGAAAAUCAAAAUAUUACAUCUUCCAGCACAUAUCAAACAUUUUUUCAAAGGCAGACUGACAAUUCAGGGUAAAAAAAACAAAAAAACAAAAGGAAUAUAUGCUAUUGAAGACAAGUAUACCUUGGACAUGAAGUCUGAGUCCAGAACAAGAAGCAAUUAGCUGAUCUUUCAAUUUCCAAAACCCAACAAAAUCUUUGUCAAAAUAUACGAUCUAGUCCCAUAUUAAGCACAUUCAUAGCCGUAUCACCAGGUUCAAAAUAUUUUCCCCAAAAAGAGAUAGAGAUUCCAUUGAAGUUGAGUUGUGACUGUCCCAACGUUUGUAAUUAUAUGUUUCAGGAUACCAUGCCUAUGAAUCAUUUUUUUUUUCCAUGUUUCGAAGUCUAUCAAAUGAAAAUGUAAUUAUAUGGUUCAGGAUACCAAUAUGCCAGAGCUGCAAAGGUUGACUUCUACUAUCCUAUCAAUGUCUAUACUUUCUAUUGAAUUUCCUUGUUUGUUUUUUUAAAUUGCGAGAUUUAUUUUUAGAAAUCUUUGACACAUUUUAUGAAAGAUACCAUAAAACCAAAUACAACCAUUUUGAUUCAGCAACAACUUUUUUUUUUCCUUUUAAAAAAAGGAAGCCAUAUAAAUGAUGCUUUAAACAUUAUUUGCAGCAAGGAACAAUUAUUUCAUGCUUUCAGGUAUUAGAAACUUCCCAAAAAUGCUAGCAAGAAAAUGAAAUGGAACUUUACCUAGUCACAGAAUAUGUAUUGCUGUUAGCCCAAUUGUUAUGAAGUGGCUUCUGCAUCAGAAGAUUCCAGCUCCCACCAAGCAUUGUUAUCUCUCUUCUGAAUACAAUCUGCAUCCCUGGGCAUGAGUUAUAUCAUUAAUGUCUGCAUCCUCACUUACAUCAUCCCAAUCAAGUGUUUUUUCUCCAUAUCUGGAUUAUAAGUCCACUCUAAUCUCUUCAAAACAUCCUAGUCCUUCCAUCAUACGACUUCCUUCCUAAUUACUUUCCCAUUAAUAAAUCGCUCCAAGAAAAAAAAAGCAUUAACAAUUCUCUUCAACGCCCCAUCACUCAUAUCCCCUACAACAAACAUCUUUAGACACCUCAAUGUUGCCUCUUGAAAGACCUCCACAAAAUCCGAAUCAUCUGACACAACCAUCAAACACCUAAACCUUCUUUAGUCCACCAUAUCCACCAUAUAAUUCCUUAACUAAACAUCGGCAUCUUGUGGCUUAUCUAACACCUUCCUGACCCAAAACCAUGCUCUUUUCAACUAAUCUGCAAAACCAUAACCCACUUUUGGAGUCAAAAUUGCGCUUGCAGCCAUUUUAUAUUUUUCCAUCUUUAUUGAAUAGUUGCCAACCAAAAGCACUCUCACCUUCCCUCUAGUUGAUUCUAUUUGAUUCGACCUUUUCUUUUGUUCACCCUCAUGAAUUUGCCUAAAAUGAUUAAUAAGUUUGUCAUUAUUAUAAAAUCUCCUUCCACAAUCACCAAUACAUACGGCUUAGCAGGCCUAAUUACACCCUUGAUUUAUAAUUGGAUAAACAAUUCUUUUUCUUUCUUUGCUCUCUUACAACUUGAGGCACAUAACUAAACGUGUGGCUAUUAGCAUUUGCCACCAUGUAUUUAACAACCCCAAAUGAAGAUAUUAAUUUUUUUAGUUUAAUUGCUGCUUCAAAAUGGGGUACUGCAUUUGGAUUUUGUUAUUCAAAUUCCAAAAUGUUCCCACAUUGUGUUGGACAGUUUUUGGUUCUAAAGUUUAUGACUGGUUUUGCCAAUCAGGCUUCAAAUGAGAACUUCUAAACAAUAAGACAAAUAGGUUUUGAGUUUCUAAUCUUAUAAACUUUGUUCUAUUGUAUAAGUUAUGAAAUCGCUGAAACAUCACUACAGCUACAGGUCUUUAUGUGUCAAUGAACUGCAGAAGCUGAUGAUCUACUUGUAGUAGACUCCUAUUGCCCCUGCCAUUCUAGGAAGACAAACAAGUUCAGGAACUACAUCUGGACCAAACUCGUAAUAUUGCCACUGCUUUGUGCCAAUCUGAGACGGAAAGAAGAUUGAAGUUCCUAAAUAAGGCACAUCAUGAUUUAAUAGAAGUACCAUUAUAAGGAAAAAAUGAUUUCAGGAAAGCACUAAAAUAUGACAUAAUCUCCCCCUAAUGGUCUAAAGUAGUCAAGAAAUUAUAUCAACCAAGCAAAAACACAUAAACUAGUUGAGAUACAAAGUUAUCAUAAAAGUCAAUUUUGAUCACAAAUCCAUUAAAAUUAAAAGACAUCAGAAAGUUAUAGAACAUUAUAAUUUAGGACUUAGCUAAGUUGCAAAUUCUGUAAUUAACAGCUGAGUCCACAUUGGCCUUGCAUCAGCUGAGUUUGGGUUGCUUUUCCUCUCUCCUGCAACGCGUGAAAGCGUCCCAUUUGCUGUGUUAUAUACAGAGUCGGUACCGUAGCAAGCUCCUAUAAUUUAAGUUUGAUUACUGUAGACAAUAGUCUGCCUCUGUUCAAAAGCUAUGCUGCAAGAUAUAACGUCUUUGCAAUGUUGUACUUUCUAAAAGUAAUAAGAAAUGAAACCAAGGGGUAAACCGAACACCAAAAGAAAUUUAGUCGGCCAACCAUAUUAUGUUCCCACACAGUCCACUAAUUAAGUUAAUAAUUAAAGGGAAUUAAAAUCUAAGAAAUCUCAUCUUCAAGCAGAAUACAAACACACCAGGAUUGAAAAUCACAAAAUCAUAAAAAGAAGCUGACUUGAAAAGCUCAAAUAUACGUUCAUCAGCCUCUCAACUUAUAUCUAAGAACAAAUGCCUGCAGCCUGUGAAGACAUAGAUAAUUGAAGCUGAUGAGGCAUAUUUAACAGAUGAUAAUCAAAACUCAUGUGAUUAAAAUUAUAAUUCAAUAAUGGAUCACAUAAAACAACAAGUAACUAGUUGUAUAUAUACCAAACAACUUUCUGAAGUUAAGGCGUAAAACAAAAACGUAGAACAAAUUAAUUAAAUAUACUAGCACCAAUACUCUUAUUAUUAUCCACGUAGAAAAUAACAAUGUAUCAAACAAGGAAAAUGAAAUAUUGUUAAUAACUCAAAAACCACUAGUGUCAAGAACUAGACUAAUAAGUGAAACCCAUAAUCAGACACAACCACAUCAAAAUCUCUGAAAAUUGAGGUCUAAACAUUGAAAACAAUUAGACAUAUAUAACAGUCAAUCGAAACAAAGCCUCAAAAUAAUAAUAAACUACAAUAAGACAGAACCUAAAUUGUAAACACACGCAUACCCAGUAACAGUAAUCAAGUAACAAGUCAAAACCAGAAUCAAACGUAGAAUUUUGAAAUCCAUACGAACUCUAACGUAUUAGAAUGAAAGAAUAAGGAUGAUCAAUAAACUAGACUCAAACAAAAACAUGCCCAGUUAAAAAAUGAAGGUAAAUAAAUAAAAAUGGUAUAAAACUGCGAAAAAAAUUAAUGAAAUGAAGAGAAAAUCACAGGAAUCCUAUGAAGAGGAAGGUAAAGAAACCUUCCAGAGCCGAGAAGAUGCCUUUUUGGUUGACGUUUGUGCCUAUACAUAUAUAUAUAUAUUUUUUAAUUUUGAAGAAAGCAUUGGUUAACAGAAAGGGAUGGCAACGUGGCAGAUAUAUAUUAGAUUUAUUCUACUCCAGAUUCGUAUCCAUAAUAAAAAUUAAAAUUCGUAUAUGCUCUAUAUUUGUCAUAAAUUUAUAUUUUUCGUUCCAUAUUCAGAUCUAAAAAAUAAAUAAAUAUCUAUAACUGCUCUAAAUCUGGAAAAAAAAAUUAAAAUCCAAAUAUACUUUAAAUUCAUCAUGAAUUCUAAAACUUAGUAAUAAAAAAGUAAUAAUUUUUUAGAAUGAAAAUUGAAGACUAAAAUGUAUUGAUAACAAUAAAUUAUAUAUUUUUUCUCAAAAAUAUAAUAAAUAUUGUAGCUUAUACUUUUACACUAAAACAACAAAUAAGAAAGAUAAUAAAAUAUUUUUCAAAAGUAAUUGCAGGAGUAAGAUCAAUAUAAUAUUAUACUGUCUCUUUUAUCAUUUUAAUAUCCAUGACACACCUACCCUUAUUUCUACAACAUUAGAUAAUGACAUAUAAAUUAAAUAUGAUUUAUAUUCAGUGCUUUUUAUUUUUAUUAUGACCAUAUUUAACUAAAUAUAUGAAUAAUUAUAUUCAUUAAAAAUUAUUUGGCCAAUAUAAUGAAAUAAAUUGUCAGGUUGUAUUACUUGGCUUGCAAUUUGAAUAUUGCAUGUACAUGCUUUGGGGCUGGCUGAUCUUUAAAUUUACAAAACUAAUCUUUAAGUUUUAAGAGUUUAAAUACAUGGUAAAUAUUACUAAUAUACUAUGAAUAAAAUUUAUUAUCAUUAUAAUUCCACAAUUUUUAAGAAACUUUUAAAAUAAAAUAAAAUUAAAAGAUUGGUGGAUAUGGAUAUGGAUUUAGAUAUUAUGAUAGAUCCAGACCUGCUCCAGAUCUGUCUUAGAUCCGCACAUCAAUAUCCAAAUAUGAUCUAAAUUCAUUUUAAGCUGACCCAAAUCCGAUCCGAUUGGAUUUAGAUCACGUGGAUCUUGAGUCAGAUCCAAUCAUUGCCAUUAGGGAUGGCAAUUUGCGGGCCUGGGCCGGGCUUUUUAAAGCUCAGGCCCAAGCCCACAUCAGUUAAACGAUGUCCAGGCCCUUCAAAAGCCCGCCCAACCGAACUCGGGUCAGGCCUAAGCGGGCCUAGGCUAGGCUCGGGCUUUUAAAAUUAAUUAUAAAAUAUUUUUUAAAUUAAGAAAAUUAUUUAAAUUAAAGAUAAUAAUAUAAUAUAUAAAUAGAAUAAUAGUCAAAUACAUUAAAUAUUAGCAAUACAACCUAAUAAAAUAACAAAUACUAAUAUAAAAAAUUAAAGUAAUUUAAUAUUUUGAUUUUUUUCUUUUUUAUUUAAAUUAAAUUUAUUUUUUAUUCAUAAAUUUAGAAAGCCCUUGCUUUUUUGCUAAGCCCUUGUCUAGGCCCAACAUAUGUGGGCUUUGUAAUUUUUAGGCUCAUAUCCAAGCCCACCCCCUUGCGGGCCGGGUGUUAGGCCCGCGGGCCUGGGCUGGGCUUGACCGGGCCUGGGCCGGCCCGGGCUUUUUUGCCAAAUAUGAUCUAAAUUCAUUUUAAGCUGACCCAAAUAUGAUCCGAUUGGAUUUAGAUCACGUGGAUCUUGAGUCAGAUCCAAUCCAUUGCCAUCCCUAUUAACAGAACGAAAUAUUAAUAAUAGAUGUUGGCAAUUUCAACAAGGACAAUCUUGGAUUCAAAUGUACCCCUAUGAUAAAGAAAAAGCCAGCUUGGCUAAAUUUUGAGCACCACAUUACAAGAUCUAGGUGUAUGCUUAACUAUGCAAAAUGAAACAUCUAUUAAUUGUAAGUCCCUUGACCUCUGUAACCAGCCAACCGGUCUCUUUCCUACUAGACAACCUUCCAUCGACCAGAUUAAUAAUAUUUACUAAAUCAUGUUCUAUAGUUAAUGAAGUUGGACCAAGGCAAUUGUUAGCUUAAUGUCACAGGCCGCUCAAAUUUGCCGUAAUUGGAGGAUAAUUAUGUGCACAUGAGUUUGCUUAGCAAAAGUCCGCCUCGACGUGGAGUGCGCUUAAAAGCGGGAUGCACUUAGAAGUGGGAUGCGCUUAGCAAAUCAUCCAAGCCCAACCCAAGAUCUAGAACUCUCUGCAAAUUAUAAAUAAGUUAAAAGUUUUUAUAUUUCUCCACGUAGGUCCCUAGGAUAUUUAUGGAAGUUGCUAGGAAGUUUCCUCCCCUAAAAUGUUAACAUUUUGGUGGACGGUUAAUAUAAGUUACAAACUUAAAAUAGAAAAUCAAAUAAAUUCAAAUUUUCAAACUAUUUAUGGCAAAUUUAGGACAUAUGGUUAAUAAUUUUCCCAUGUCUUUUUACAUUGGUUGGUAUAAGUUACAAACUUAAAAUAGAAAAUCAAAUAAAUUUAUAUUUUCAAACUAUUUAGGGCAAACUUAGGGUAUAUGGUUAAUAAUUUUCCUUUAUUUUUUUUUACGUUAAAUUGAGUUUCAAAGGUAAAAUGGUCAAUUUAUUAUAAAUCUGUUAAUUUUUUAGUGGAAGCAAAUGAUAUAAUGGACGAAUGAUAUAAAUUGUAAAAUUAAGUUGCAUGAAUGAUACAACUUUAAAGUAUUGUAGUAAUCUUAAUAAUAGAACAAUUUAAGGGUGGAUUGGCAAUAAUUUAAACUUUAAUGAAGCAACUAAAAAAAAUUUUUAACAAAAGAAAAAUAAUUGAAAUGCUUUAAGAAAAAUAAAGGAAAUUAAAUAUCUUUAUAAAAACAUAAUUGAGUAAAAUCAUUUUACAAAAUGCUCUUUCAAAUGCACAUUCCACAAGUCAGGGAGAACGGGUGGCUAACAAAAAUCUCACUUUUUAUGAGUUUAUAAAAUCUCACUUUUGCAGAAUUCAAAAAUAACAAAUACUAAUCACACAAAAAAUAAAAAUUAUUGCUGUCACGACAUUACGCACUUUCUUCGUUGUCUAGAAAGGUAGAACAUUUCGAUGUUCCUCAAUACAAAAUGCGUGCUACUACUAAAUUGGCCCAAUUAAUGCCCAUCGAAAAGGCCAUGAAUUUAGCCAACAAUUUUGUCAAAAUUUCAGCAAUUGAAGAAAUAAUGAUCACAAACAGAACAGUUGAAUUUUGAAGUUUGAAAAAAUCUCCAGAUACGUACAACAAAGUCUUGAAGCUCUGGUCUUUACAAUUUGAGCACAGAAUAAAUAUUAACUACCUGCCAUUUAUAAUUUGUAUUAACUCUGUACCAAAACGUUAAUCGUCAUUCAUAAUUAAUGACGUGACAAUGAUAAUUUAAACAUUUGAUAUGCUUAAUAAAAAAUAAAAUAAUAACUUUAAAUAUAAAAAUUAAAAGAUAUUUUUAUAAUCAAUUCAAUUAAAUACACUUAAAAACUCACAUUAAUCCACAAAAUGCAUACAAAUGUACAGUACCAGAGAAUGAGAAACACACAUUUAUAGGCAAUCCAUUUGAGUUUAUGAAAUCUCAGUUCCCAAAAUCCAAAAAUAUUCAAUACACUCACAAACUUAAAAAAUAAAAAUGAUUGCUGUCAAGACACUUUUUAGCUGUCUAAAAAGCUAAACAUUUGAAGUUGUUUGAUACAAAAUGCAUGCUAAAUUGGCACAAUAAAUCCCCAUCGAAAGGUUAACAAUUGAAGGACAAUGAACACAAACGUAAUCUUUAGAUACAUACAACCAAUCCUUCAAACUUUAGUCUUCACAAUUUGAGCACGCCAUAACCACCCGCAAACAAGUUUUGGUAGCUUCUUGCGCGAACUGAACCCGCUGAAAUGUUUCUCUUAUUUUGUUAUUUUUUUUCUUUUUUUUUCUUUUUAGUCAUUUAUGUUCGCUGGCAUCUUCGUUGGCGUCUCUAUCUUCGCUGGCAUCUGCCUCGCCUGUAGUUUCAGUGCUAAUAUCCAACCAAUAAAAUGGGCAUUAAAUAUGAAUGAUGAAUAAAAUAAAAUAAAACAGAGAAAAUAAUGACAAGAAGAAAAACAAACUUUAAAAAAAAUUAUUAAAAGGGAAAUUUUGAGUUUAGCAUAGAUCAAACAGGCAUCACAAACUAAAACAAGAACCAACUAUAAAUAGAGUCAAUUAAUUGAAGUUCUCAAGAGCUUACCUCUGCUCCGGAAUUCUCGGAAUCAUCCACAUAUCUCCUUUUGAAUUUGCACCAAGCUUGGGACAAUUAUAAACGUAUGCAGAUGGAAAUCGAUUUUGAAAAGAGCUGUGGAAAAAGGGAUGGCGAAUGUUGCGAUAUGGAAAAUUUAGCAGUUCAAACUCCCGAAGUUGCUUCAUAACAAUUUGAUUGCAAUCCACGACGUCUGCUCCAUUUUUAUGCCAGAAUAUUGCUUCUAAUUCAUCAUUUCGUUCUAUCCGUAAGAAAUAUAGUUUUUGAAGACUUGGAGCUACGCCGAUAUGAAAUAGAUGCUUUAGUUUGGGGCAACCACAGACAGUGAUGCUUGUGAGUUUUGGGAAACAUACAGGUUGGAGAUGAUCCUCAUCCUCAUCCUCAUCAAUGAUUUGCUCUAAUUCGAAGCAGUUAUCAAUAACCAGCCCCUGCAAUUGCAACAGAUUUCGAGCAAAUGUUGAUGUGAAGAGACGCCUGAGCAUAGUGCACCCGUCCACUCUUAAAUGGGUAAGAUUUUGGAGGCUAAAAUUAUGCGUGGGACCUUCAUGAUAUAAUAAUACUUGCAGUUCUCGAAGGUUUUCCAACUGCACCUCCUUCAAACAUGGGAAUAAUUUGUUUUCUUGUCCCUUAGCGAUAAUAGCUUCCAAUUGAAAUACCACAUGUACUCCAAGUUGGCUAAUACCCAAUUCUUCCAAAUUUUUUAAGCCGUGCUUCAACAGUGCUGGAAUCGUGUCACUCAAAUGGGAACAAUUGUCCACAUAUAGAAUUUUUAAGUUCUGAGACAAAUAAAUAAAUAACUUGAUGCAAUUAAAAUCUAUUAGCAAGCUAGGAUUAUCACAUGAUAAGUGAUGAACACUGCAAAAAACAAAAACAGAAAACAAAAUCCAAACAAAAAUAUCAUAAUACAUAUGUAAACUAAUAAAAUAAUUAAAAAGUAAUGGAUUUAAAAAAAAAUUAGUUAAAAGAGAUCAUGUGAAGUGAUAUAAAUGUGACAUUAGAUUGUUUUAGAAAAAAUAUUAUUCUAUUAAUUUAUAUGGUUUGAUCAACUAUUUAAUUGAAUUUGAUUAAUAUUAUAUACACUUCAGAAGUAUUUGAAGAAUGGUUUUAGCCUUAUAAUAAAGAAAAUUCCCUAAGAUAUCUGAGCAUUAUUAUUAUCAUUACCACAUUCACGACCACCAUCAUCAUCUCCAUAGGAUCAAAAAAUUAAUGGCUGAUCAUAAAAUUUAUUGUUAAAAUAUCCUUUUGAGUAAAAUUGAAUGAAAAGAAAAAAUAUGAACCCAAACAGACAUACCUCUUUGAGAUACUGCAAAUUGGCUUCAAGUUCAUUACUGUUGAUGGUCAAGUUGGGACAGCAAUCAAGCUGUAACUCUUCCAAUGCUGCCCAAAUUGAACAAUAAUUCUCUGAACAGAACUUGGUGAGUUCUGGGAGAUCUUCAAGUUCUAAUUUUCUCAACAAAGGGAGGGCGAGCAUCGUAUUUCCAUCUCCGACACUUAUUUCCCCUUCAUUAUGAUCAAACUUUGCUUCGACAAUACAUUCCAGUCUCUCGCAUUCCCUUACAUGGAGACUUUUAAGCUGCUCCAAACUUCGAGCUUGUGACAACGUGAAGAUAUAUGUCAACUUGUUGCACCUAACCACAUUCAAUUCUGUAAGAGUUUGGAGACUGAUCACAUGUUGGGCGGGCGCCUUCCAUAUCCACUUCAGUUCUGGUAAGUUCCACAUAGAUAACUCUGCUAAUCUUGAGAGACUCUUUCCAUGCGGCGACUUAGAGGCUUCCAUUAUGCAUUCUAAAUCUUCGCAAUCGCCGACAUCAAGACAAGUCAACUCAUUUAAGCCCCUUUCAUCUAUGCUUGGCACAAUAUUGUAACAACCUAUAAUCCAUCUUAUAUAAAGAAUUUCCAGUUCUUGAUACAAAGCCGAAAAAAUACCGAGCGAGGUCACUUCAGGAGGGUCAUUCUCAAUGAUUAAGCUCUUUCUCUGACUACCAUAUUCCAUUUUAUAAAAAACUUCUUCACCUUUACAGAUGACGUACCUUUGCAAUUUCGGGAAUGUAAAGUCUUUUGGAAGAUAUACAACAGAUCCGUCGGCUUGGGAGUUCAACUCAGCAAGCCUAGCAUUACUUUCUUCUGAACUCAUCCCUUCAACCUCCCAAUUUUUUAUCCGACCAUAAAAUUCUUCUAAUUUUUUUAUCGUAAUGGGAGAAACAGAACUAGUAUCAAUAUGUAGAAGUUUCAAUCUACCAAGUUCAUCCGACAAUUCUUCAGGAAUUUCAAUGGGAGACGACCGGAGAUAAAGAAGUUCAAGUCUCUUCAACUUUCCAAGAAAAAACGCGUCACUCAAAUCACACAAAAUCAACUGCAGAACUCGGAGGUUAUUGGCUAGGAAUCGAAGUGAUUUUAGUGAAAGGACUCCAUUUAUUAUAGUAACAACUUUCAAUGCUGGCAUCCCUUCAAAAAAAUUUUCUGGAACUUGCAAUUUGUAGUCACAUAGAGUGUUGUCCAGUCGCAAAAUAUGAAGGUUAGGGCAUACCAAACGACUAGGAAGCUCUUCUUCUUUAUUUCCCAUUACAGAGAUUCCUCUAUAUUGCUCCGGGCCUUCUUCCAUUACCCGUUCUGCCAAUCCAAUGCCAACUUUACUAAAAAAUUUCUUCUCCACUAGUACUUCUGAGCCUAUCCAUAUGGCUACAUCACGAACUAUGUCAUGCAUUUUCACAGAUCUGUCAUUACCAGUGUCUAACAGUAGUGAAGCAGCUUUGAGUCCGUCAAUUGUUCCAAGCAGUAGGCUUCUGGUGUUCUCUAUUGACUCAGCUUGAUACCAAGUCAACCCUACUGCAUAUCCAACCAAAUCCUCCAAAUUAAUCUCAUAAUCUUCUGGAAAUAGCGAACACAACAAGAAGCAUAACUUGGAAUUGUCAUCAUUCAAUUCGUCGUAACUAAAUUUGAGACAACCGUAAACGUCUAAGUUCUCCUCAUCAAUACCUUCUAUUGCAUAGAGUUUUGCAGCCUUUAGGUUAUGUAGAGCUAGGUUCCAUUCAUUAAAUCUUUUUCCUCUUAGUGCACUUCCAACAGCUUCAAUAGCUAAAGGCAGCCCCUUACAUUCUCCAGCAACUUCUUUGGAAACAUCAUUCAAGGUGGAGUCAUUUACAUUAAUUUUGGCAUUUUUUCGCAGUAAAGCCAAUCCUUCUUCUGGCGUUAGUGUACUAAGUGGAAUCUGUGUGUCACAACCCAAAGAAUCACAAACUGACUUUUUGCGAGUGGUUAGAAGGAUUUUGCAACAAUUAUCUCUACCACCGACGGUAAUACCUAAUUUUUUCUCCGAGUCGAGUGGUUUCCAAACAUCAUCAAGGAUUACGAGGAUUUUGCUGCUUUUACUCUCAGAAAACAUCAAGCGCAAUCGGUCUGCUCUCUCUUUUUCAUCUUUCUCAUUUAGUGCCCAGCCUAACGACUUUGCCAACUCACCUUGAACCUUUAUUAUAUCUAGAUCCUGAGACAUAGUGGCUAUCCCCACCUUAUCGAAAAGCUUUUGUUGCCGAAGUUGAUUGCCCACAUAUUUUGCCAGGGUUGUCUUUCCUACACCACCGAGACCAUGCAAUCCCACCAUCUUUGUGCUCUCUUUUUUCAGUGCGUCAAUGAUCUGAUUGCAAGCGGAUUCUGUGGUCUUGAAAAUAGAAGUAAAAUGCCUUGGCAAACUUAAUUCUCUUUCUAAUGGUAGAGGUUUAGGAGAGGCAACUGUGUUGAAUUGGCUGCAGCCUUGUAGCAGAUCGGACAACUUGCUAGUCUUCUCUGAUGCUUUUCUGCCCAGACGAUAUCGGCAACACCAAUUAGGACACAAUCCAUGAAGACUACUAUCCUUUUCAUCUAUCUCUGCUUUCAACUUCCAAACAUCGUCCAAUUCUUCGACUCCAUUAUUCAGCCACUCCAUUACAUUUUCAUCGACUACUAUGUCGGGGCAUUUUCGCAGUUCAUCGUCUAUUCUUGUUUUGAUGCCAUCUCGUGCCUUCUUCAACUUAGUUUCUUUAUCCUCAAGUUCUUUAACAAUGCUGUUGAAACAGAACAUAUAGCGAGCUUGGUCAAUGGCUGCAUUCACCAAUAAUUCUUCAACCUUUGAUUUUAAAGCUUCCAUGCUAUUUAUCUGCAAAUAACGAAGUUGAUCUCAGCACACUAUUAGCGAAACAACAAGGCUUGAUCACCAGACAAAAUGAGAACGUUUAAUUACCUCUUUCUGCACUGUGAAUGCACGUCUAUUAACACCAGCUUUGACCAAUAAGAGCAAAAUGCAGAGGUGGGGCCUUAAGAGUUUCGGUGGCCUUUAGCUGCAAAACGGCAGAUGACAAAUAAGGUGAACGUUCCUAGCAAACGUGAUUUACGGUGAAUUAUAUUCAAAUUAGAUUAUUUUAAAAGUUGGUAAAUUAUUUAUCACUCUAUCUUAAUGAUACCUUAUUUGGGAUGAUAAAGAUUGGGGUAAAUUCCCUUUUAUUCUCACAUGUUUAUAGUAUUUAUAUUUUUAUAAAUUACCUAAAACAUCCAUGUAACUUACUUUUAUAGCUAUUGAACAUAUCAUUUCAAAUAUAAAAUACUAUUUCUGUCUAAUAUAAAUUAAAAAUCAAACAAAUCUAUCAUGCAAUAAAUGAAAAGUAAAGAAUAUUAAUUAGGUUUUAAUGGAAACAAAUAUAAAACAUAGAGGUUUUGAGUAACUUUUGUAUUUUUUUUAAUGUUCAAUUUAGAAUUGAAUAAUUUGCAUAAUGAAAUUUUGAGGUUUCUAUAAUUUAUAUGAAGAUAAACUGCGAAAUAAGUUUAUAUGCCGAAAUUAAAAUAGUUAUAUAUUAGCAAUCAUAUAAUAAUAAAAAAUUUUAAUAAAAUUUAUUUAAAAAUUGGCCAAUUGUGUUUCAUGAGUAAAACAGAGAGCAUAAUGGACUUAUGUUGGGUCUUGGGAUUGAAAGACUAAGGGUAAGGGGCCGGGAGGUAGGACGGUAGGAAAAUUAAUUUUUGUUAUUUUUAAAGUAUGGUCAACAUUAGUGACUUGGAGGUGAUUGCCGUUAAUCAAUUACCUUUAACUUAAGAAUUAAUACAAAUAAAUGGCAAAAAUAAUUUAAUGAAAAUUAAUUUAAUAAAAAAUUGCACUAAAAACUUAGAACUCAAAUUCUCGAUCAUUUUAUCCGUACGUUUUAAUCCGACGCUCAGAAUUGGCAUAAAACAAACUAAUAUAGCCAUUGGAAAUAAAACAAACAUCAAAUCAAGAGCCUAUGAAACAAUAUUAUCUCGUACCUUCUUCCUUAUAGAUCCUCAAUUGCUGUUGAAAGCUGCAUAUGACAAUAUAAAUAAACAUGAGAUCAAAACAUCAUAGGAUAUAUCUAGCCAAUUAACAUCAUAUAUAACUCCUUGUUCUCAGUCAAAUCUUUCAUUCUUAGAUUAAAAAAAAAAUGAAAUAAUAACUGUUAAGUGAUAUAGGAAGCAAAAGUAACACACCGAAAUGAAAGCAGCUAGUUCACAGAUGACAGAUGCGGUGACUUCAAGAGCAUGAAAAAUGAUUAAACUUUGGUAGAAGGGUCUGAGCCGUGUUUCACAAGUUGCUAUUGACUUCGUGGCUUCGCUUUUAUUUAUUAUUAUUAUUUUUUUAAAUUCUAUAUCAGUGAGAAUUGAAAUGUGGAAAGUGAAAUGAUACACAUGCCUUAUCAUCUAUCAUGAGGGGUGAUUUGGUAAAACCGAUUUAAAAUAAAAAAAGUUUAAAAAAAUUUAAAAAGAUGCUUUGUGUCUGACUGCUUGUAUUUGGGGUAUUUUUCGGGUUGUUGAGACUUGAGAGUGAGUUUAAUUAAAUAUAAGAUUUUCAUUUUUCUUAUUAUAUUUUUCUCUUUAGAAUGAAUUUAAAUCUCAUUCUUAUUAAAUUCAUUUUUUUAAAUGAAAAUAGAUUUCUCUCCACACAUUUGAGAUAUAUUUUAAAAUUAAUGUUAAGCAUAUCUCUAAAUUAUAUUAUAAAUAUUUUUAUUUAAAAUCUCAACAGAUUUCAUAACACACAGAGAGAAAUACAUAUAUAUGUUGUAAUGUUUUAAUGAUGGAUCUCUAAAGUUAUCAAGUUAAAAAAUAAAUAAAUAAAUAAAAAAUACACACUUCAACUUAUUAUAUGAUAAAAUAUAGUAUAUUAAAGUGAGUAUUUUUUGUGUGAAAUAAAAUUAAAGUGAGUACUAUUACCACCUCACAUCUUAUAAAUUCUAGAAAAUAAUCAAGGCUUGACAUACUUUUAUUUAUGCAAAAGCAUAAGAAAAUAAUUCAAAGUACUAAUUAGUGUACUAUUCCUCAAAAUUCUAGAAUAGAUUUGUUAGUUCUCUUUAGCCAUAGAUUGGUCCGUGAUUGGCACCGCAAUAGCUCAUAAUCACCUCAACAAUUGUUCCACACGGCCCAACAUGACACAUUGUAAACUAGUCUACAAGAAUUUUUUGAGUGGCUUUCUAGCAAUAUUCUUAGAGAAAGUGUUUAGUAGUUUCAAAUCUUCUUUUUUUAACACAAAUGUUGGCAUGAUAUUCUUAAUAUAUUUCUAAAAUCAAAAUAAGAUGCAUAGAGGACGAUAAUUUUAUUUCAUAAUUGAAUUUUUUGCAAAGAAAGUUUGAACAUGAGAGUGAUGAGAGAUGAGAAUAUUGAUGAUGGUGUGUACUUUGAAUGGAAAAAUAGAUUGGAAAUAUAUAUAGACAUAUUAAAAGAAAAAAAUUUGGUCUAUUUCAUAAGAGAAAUAAAAAAUUAUAAACGCGGGUGUUAAAAUGUAUUCAGAAUUUAUAAAUUUUUAUAAAUAUGAUAAUCAUCAGACCCUUAUAAAAGUAUAACAAAAAAGUUUAAAAUUUUUUAAUAAAUGUAGAAGAGAUGAACGAAGAAAUCAUCCACCAGUUCAGAAUUAACAAUCAAAGAUAUGAGGACUUGAUUGAAGAAAUGAUGAAAAAUAAAAGGAAACUGGGUUGGUUAGCGGGACCCUAAUAUUAAUGGUGAAAAAUAAAAGGACACUGGGUUGGUUGGCAGGACCCUAAUAUUAAUGGCAAAAAAUAAAAGGACACUGGGUUGCUAUCAAUUUCGAUCGUGUAGGUUCAUAGCCGGGGAAGUAAUUGGGCACAAAUAUCUCGGAUGAGAAAUAACCAUUUUAUCCCGCAACCAUAUGUUUAUGGCCUCUAAAAAUUUUCACCUCUUUCACUUUCUGGAACCCGUGCUUUCUGGCACAUGCACAAAUACUUGGUUGCUACUUAUAGAGCGUUUUUGGAAUUGCAACAACAUGGUGCUCUUUGAUAAUUCAAAAAUCCAAUAUAAUUUAUAGAGAAUUACAGAAUUGUGGUACGUGAUAAUUUGCUGAUGCAAUGAGGCGCCGAAAUUCUUAUACAUGUGAUUUAAGUUAUAUAUGUAUAAUUAAGUAAUUAGAAUAUACUAGUUGGGGGUAUUUGUGUCCAUGAAAAUUUACAGCUGGUUGUUGACAUUACACUGCGGGUGUGUAAGUGUAAUCAUGGAUCUGACCAUUCAAAUUUAAAAAAUGGGGGUCCCGCUAGCUUACGGAGUUAGUAAUUAUUAGAUAUGCAUAUAUGCUCCCAUACGAUAAUCUUAUCAUAAAUUUGAAGGAUACGAGGACUUGAUUGAAGAAAUGAACGAAUAUUUGAAUUAAAAAAAAUUUUAGAAUAAAGACAAGUAUUAAUUUACUAUGAAUGCAACUUACAUAAGCUGUAAGUUAGCGGGACACUAUUAAAUCACAAGCAAAAAGCAAUCUGACUUCUUCUUGAUUCCGUAAUUUGGCUGUCAAAAUGUAAUCUAUAAAAAUUACGAUACCUCGAUUCAAAAAAAUGUUGUUUCUGAUGAAAUAAAUGAAAAUUGAACGUACAAUCUGCCACGAACACUGUUUAAUUAACCGUUUAUUUCCCCUUAAAUUUUUAAUCUCAAUGAAACAUAGAUCUAAUGGGAACUACAUAUAUAUAAAAAUACUAUAGAUUGAAGAAGUUGAAUUUUUCUUGUGUGUUAAGUAUUUUUAGUUAAUACGAAAGGAUUCUAGCAAGUUAAUACAAAAGUAUCAUAAAUUCAUAGUAGUACAAGAGAUUUUUUUUUUCUUUUGAUAUUAAGAGUUUUCGAGAUAAAAAAAAAAAAAAUAGGUGAAAGAAGAAGAUGAGAGAAGAAAAAAUAUUAAGAAUAGUUUUGGCAUUUUGAUGCGUUUUAUAGUGUAAAAUCUAUAUUUUAUAGUAUAAAAAGGUACACCCAUAAUUUAAUGAUAAAAUUUUAGGAAAAAAUUGCACUCGUCAAAAAAAAAAAGAAAAGGCUCAGCUUAGCCCAAAAAUUUUUUAUUAAUCGUCUAGUCGCUAAUGUAAUCUCUUUUUUAUGAGAUUCUUUGGCGUUUUAGUUUAGUCCAUUGUUAGCAAUCCUAAUAGCUUUUAUGUGCAUCUAUUUUUAUUUGGAAUAUGUUUCAAGCUUGAAUAAAAUCUGCGGGACAACUGGUAAGUAAUAAAGCUCAUCAUUUUUUUAUUUUGAAAAUAAAGGGAAUCACUUACACUUAGCAUGAUAUUAUUUUUGAUAAGUCAUUUUUUUGGUAGAUUAUUUUUUCUAACACGCUCUUAGAUUUAGUGAAAAUAAAUUGUAUACUUUUAAUGAAGAAAAGUAAAGAUCAACAAAAUAUUUUGUUCUUUGCGACAACUUUUGCGUUCUCAAGUGCGCCUGAUACCCUUUUUUUUUUAACAUGGGCCCACGUGCCAUGUUUCCAUUUCAAGUUUCAUAAGUUAACAGUAGAAAUGGGUUCCACAGAUAAUUUAUUUUAUAAUUUUUUUUAAAAAUUACUAAAAUAUAAUAAAUAAGGUAAUAAUAAUUAAUAAAAAAGUAGAUUUUAAGAUGGAAAAAUCUUUUUGUGUACUUAAUAAAAAGAUGAUAAGAAUGGGAUGCUUUUAGUUUACAUUCUCAUAGCUAUUUAUACUGAAAAAUUACAUCAAAAUUUAAUUAAUAAAUCAGUGAACUGCAGACUUAUUAAAUUUAAGCUAUUUUAAUAAGUCAUAAAUAUACUAAAUUAAAAUAGUAAUAAACCCAUUGUUACACAAUACUCUCCAUUGAGUGUUCACCAUUUUAAGAUAAUCAUAAAAUGACACCGGAAGUGCUAUUAUAGCUGUCUCAUGGAAAGCCUUCACCAAUAAAAAGGAGGAUAGAGCACAUACAUCCAGUUUUUAUACCCUUUGAUGCUCAGUCGACACGUGCCAAUGCUAUAGACUAGCUUUUCGAAGGUUGAAGUGGGUAUGCUAUUAGUAAAAAGACCUGCAAAAUUAUAGUGUACCUAUUUGACAUCAACUUUUUUUAUCUGCUGGAGCUUAUGAUUAUAGAAGAUCUUCGGUAAGAUGUGUUUGAUUUUAUCUUCUUUUAUAUAUCCUCCUCUAACUUGUGUAAUAGUAGUAAACCCCUGCCCGUUUUUAUUUCGUUUAGUAUUUUCUAAAUGGCCGAAGGAAAAUUGGUAAAAACUCAUUUAAAAAUAAAAAAAAAUCAAAGAAAUUCAAGAAGAAGCUUUGUAUCUGUCAUUUGUAUUUGGGGUAUUUUUUUGGUUGUUAAGUGAAUGAGCUUAAAUCUAAAACAUUUAUUUAUAUAUUUCUUGUUGGAAAGAAUUUAAAUUUUAUUCUUAUUAGACUUAUUCUCUUUAAACAAAGGUAGAUUUUUCUCUAUGUGUUUAACGUGUAUUUUAAAAUUAAUGUUCAACAUAUCUUUAGAUUCUAUUAUAAAUAUUCAUAUCUAAAAUCUCAACAGAUUUCAUAAUAUAUAAAUGUAUAUAAAGAGAGAGAAUAACGUUUCUAAUAAGAAAUUUAUUAAGUUAAAGAAUAAUUCAAAAGAUAAAUUUGUAUUCAACCCAUUUAUAUGAUUAAUUAAGGUUUUAAACAAAUUUUGGACUUGUUCUAUUGUAGAGCUUAAAUUCAAAAUGGAAGAGUGAAGAAGGGAAAAAGAAGACGAAUAAAGAAGAAAAGAGGAGAACAACUUAUACAAAAGAGGGAGAACGAAAAAGUGAAGGGCAGAAAAAGAAAAAGAAUAAAGAAGAAAUUAAUCAUCGCUGAUAUGAAAAUAAUUCCUUCUUCUUUAUUGUUCUUAGUGGUUCUACUUUUUUUUAUUGGAUUCUAAAUUUUUGUCGUAGAUGGAUUAUAAGAACUAGAAAAUUAUAAAGAUAAUUUUUUAAUUAUUCGAUUAAUUAAUUCCAGCAGAAGACAAGAAAUUGAUUCUGCUUCGUUAGAAAGCCAUCACAUUCUAUACGCAAUUGCAAAAAGUAUAUAUUUUUGUCUGUUUUAGACAAGAAUAAAAGGGAUACCUGGUAUUGCAAAUCUAGACACGUUUUAGUGCUUUAUGUCCGAAUGAAUUCUUUCUUGCAACAAUAAACUUGGCCGAUCAGGAUUUGCCGUUUACAUAUGUAGGUCCUGUUGGUUCUGUAGUAGGACUCAUAAAUUUUUAUUUUUAAUUUACUGAAUCCAUAAAUUUAAAAUAACGGUGCAACUCCUGAGGAUGACAAUGGGGCGGGUGAGGUCUUGGAGUCCUGAAAAAAUUUAUAUCUGCAUAUUAAAAAAUGUGGAUCCGAAUAAGAAAAUCCGCAUGAAUCCGAAUGCAAGUGCAUUUGGAAAAUCGGAUAUCGAGAUCUGGAUAAAAAUUUAUUUCAAAUUAAAAAUUAAAUUAAAUAUAUAUUAAAAAGUAAAUGAAAAAUUAAGAAAGUAAAUUUUAUUUGUAGAUUUAUGAUGUCAUUGUAUAUUAUUCAUGUUGAAUUAUUAAUUGUUGGAUUAUGAUUGAAUUUUAUUUGAUAUUAUUGGGUAAAUUAUUGAAUUUCAUUUUAAAUUAAAAAUAUUUAUUAAAAAUUAAAUUUUAUUUGUAGAUUUAUGAGAUUAUUGUAUGUUAUUCAUUUAAAAUUUUUAAUUAUUGAAUUAUGAUUGAAUUUUAUUUGAUAUUAUUAGGUAAAUUAUUAAACUUUUAAAUUUUAUAUUAAAUUAUAAGCAGUAGGAAAUUAUGGUAUUCAGAACAUGUAUACCUUCGCACAUGAAGCUUGAGUCCAGAACAAGAUGCAGCUAGCCAAUCCUUCAACUUCCAAAACCCCACAAAACCUCUGUCAACAUAUCUGCUCUACUUCAAUAUUAAGCACAUUCAUAGCGGUAUCAACAGCUUACAGCUCCAAAAAUAGUUUGAGAUUUCAUUGAAGCUAAGUUGUGACUUGUGACUGUCCAAAUGUUCUGUCACACGAAAUGAUUAUUCUUGUAACACAAAUCCAAUAGCAUGCAAUAUAAUCUACUCUCUAACACUGUGCAUUAGUAAAAUAAAACAGAGUAAAGCAUUAGUAAAAUAAAACAGAGUAAAAAGAGAAACCAUGCCUGUGAAUCUCUUCUCCUCCCCCCACCACCCCUUUUUUUGGUAAAGUCUAUCAAAUGAAAAUGCAGCAUGACCACAUUGGCCACUACCACUGCCAUUACUCCUUCAACUGUGCCCUUUGUUGCAAGAAAUCUUCAAGUGAAAGAUGGAUUAUAUAAUUAAAGAUUCCAAUAGAAGCAGCAAAGGUUGCCUUCCACUAGCCUAUCAGAGAAUAUGCUUUCUAUUUUCCUAGUUUUAAUCAAAAUUUUGCAAGAUUUAUUUAUGGAAAACUUGGACAAAAUUUUAUGUAAGAUACCAUAAAGCCAAACACAAUCUUUUUAAUUCUCAGCAGCAACAUUUAAAGUAAAAAGAUGGAAGCCAUAUAAAUAUAACUAUAUUUGGUACGAGGAACAAUUAUUUCAAGCUUUCAGAAAUGCUAGCAAGAAAUUGUAAGAGAACUUUACCUAGUCACAGAAUAUGUCAAGCAUACUACCACCAACUGUCUUUAGCACAAUUGUUAUGAAGUAGCCUCUGAAUCGGAAGAUUCAAGCUUCCACCAGGCACAAUUAUUUUCAUUCUCCAUACAAUCUGCAGCAGUGGCAUGAGUUAUAUCAUCAACAUUUGCAUCCUCACUCUCAUCACCCCAAUCAAGGCUUCUUCUCCACCUCUGGAUUAUAAGUCCUCUUCGACAUCUUCAAACAUCUCGGUCCUUCCAUUUGCAAACAACCGAUAUGGCUUCUUUCCUUGCCUUCCUCAUCGUUUAUAUCCCCCAAAAAAGGGUCUUUAGACACCUCAACUUUGCCUUCUGCAAAACCUCCACAAAAUCUGAAUUAUCCAACACAACAGCUAGACGCUUGAUCCUUCUUUUGUCCAUCAUAUCCACCGCAUGAUUCCUCAACAAACAUCUGCAGCUUGUGGCUUAUCUAACACUGUCCUGACCCAAAACCCCACUCUUUUCAACUCAUCUGCCAAACCAUAACCCACUUUUGGAGUCAAAAUUGUCCUUGCAGCCCUUUUAUAUUUUUCCAACUCCAUUGAAUACUUGCCACUCAAAUGCACUCUCCUACCUCUAGCUGAUUCUACUUGAUUCAACCUCUUCUUUUGUUUACACUCAUGAAUUUGGAUAAAAUAAUUAACAAGUUUGUCAUUAUUAUAAAAUCUCCUUUCACAAACACCACAUAAAUAUGGCUCAGCAGGCUUAAUUACACCCUUGCUUUCCAAUUGGUUAAACAAUUUUUCUCUUCUCUUUGCUCUCUUACAACUUGAGGCACAUAACUAAAUGCAUGGCUAUUGGCAUAUGCCACCAUGUAUUUAACAACCCAAGUGAAGAUAUUGAUUUGGGGGUUUGUUGUCCAAAUCCCUAAAAAUUCACACAUUGCGUUGGACAGUUUUUAGUUCUACAAUUAAUGAUACGUUAUGUGAAUUAAGCUCCAAAUGAGAACAUCUAAACAAUGAGACAAAUGGGCUCUAGGUUUCUAAUCAGUAAACAUCGUUCAGUCGCAUAAUUUAUGAAAUUUUUGAAACAUCACUACAGCUACAGGUCUUUAUGUGUCAAUGAACUGCAGAAACUAAUGAUCUACUAGUAGUAGACGUUUGUUGUCCCCACCGUUCCAGGAAGAAAAAUAAGUAGAAGAACUACUUUUAGACCAAAAUUAAAAAAUUGAAACUAUCUUGAAAGACUUUCCCUUCAACUAAGUAAAAAAGAAAAGAAAAAAAAAAGGUAUUAGACAAGCAUUUUCAAAGGAAAAAGAUCAUCCAUUUAUUGUAUGUACUCAGGAAAAAUAAAUGUACUAAUAGGUAGAAACACAGCAAUAAAACUCAAAAACUAACAUCUAUAAAGCUCAAUAACAAUUAUGAAUUAGAUAUUUUGGUCCCUUCAUAAUUCCUCCUCUUGACUUCACAUUUCCCCUCAGCCCGUGAUAAUUUUACCUAUUGAAUUCACAUUUCCCCUCAUCCAUUGAACUUUCCCAAUAACAAGAUGAGUCUAAAUCAUCAAUCUCAUUAAACACUCACAUCUACUAAAUAAUAUCGCAUGCAGUAACUUUAAGUAAGGAUCUAAAACUUACAAGAAAAAGAAAACUACUGUUUAUUAAUUUCAAAAUUUACACAAAAUUACAAAUGAUUUUAUAAACUGUACCAAAACAUGUUCUCUAAAAGAGAUUCAUUAUCCUGCAUUUUCAAAAACAAUAUAAACUAACACUAGAAUAGCCAUUUGAUAAUGAUGUGAAUUUGGGCAGCACCAAGAAGCAGUGAGCCCCAUUUGGUGAAAGCAAAAAGAAAAAAAAUUAAAAUAAAGCACUAUAAAUUCUAAUCAAAUUAUUAACAUUAGCUACACAUCAAGAAACCAGAAUAAAAUCGUUAUCUAAACCACAUACUGAAAAAGAAAAAACAAUGCAGUUAAAAUUCUAUCAUUUUCACUUACAAACAAAUAAAGAAAAAAUUAAGAACAAAGGUUGAAGCAAAGAAUGAUUGUACCUUGAGGUACUUGAGGUUAAUGUUUCCAUAAACGAGACCGAGCGAAAAAGCCGAAACCAGAGCAACCUAUUCUUACUACUCAAAAACACGCCCAGAUCAGAAAAUAAAUGAUCAUUCAAUAACAAUUCAUAGGAAAAUGAUGUUUGCCCCGGGUCAAACCCCGGGUCAAACCCCGAAAAUAACUUAAACGGCGUCGUUUUGAUUAUUUUUUUUCUUUUGGAAUACUCCAAAACGACGACGUUUCUGAUGAUAUUUUGAGAAGAAUAAAAUCUAUCUUCCUCUUCGUUUUCGUUUCUUCGUUUCACCUGUGAAAGAACAGAGCAACAGAGCAACAGAGAUCCCAACUUGGUCUUGUUCCGUUUGACCGUAAAUCUCUUCAUUUCUUCGUUUCUUCGUUUCUUCAAAUAACGGCAAUAUCACCCAAAACAAAGUUUCAUGCAAUGUUGUAAAAAAUAAAUUAUGAUUUGAGAACUGAAAAAAUAAUAUGAGAACUAAAAAAAUGAGACAAAUCAAGAAUAUGAGAACUGAAAAAAUUAAUUCAAUGUUACAAUGUUACAAUGUUCUAAAAACGAAGGCCAACUUCCUAAAAUAAAAUUAAAAAACAAAAUGCUACAAUGUUAAUCUUCGAAAAUUAAACUGAAAAAAUGAGACAGUACCGAAAAAAACAAAUCUUCGAAAAUUCAAGCUUGGCACAAUGUUAAUCUUUCGUCCAAACUCAGCUUUCAACCGUCCAAAUUCAGCUUGUCCAAACUCAGCUUUCAACCGUCCAAACUCAGCUUGUCCAAACUCAUCUUUCAACCGUCCAAACUCAGCUUUCAAGGACACAUUUCGCAGCCGAAACUCAGCCGAAACUCAGCUGCUGUUGGUCUUGUUCUUCAAUGGGUACCAAACGAAAAAGAAACGAAAAAGAAACUCAGACGCUUUCAACUCAGCUUCCAAGGACAAAUUUCGCAGCCGAAACUCAGUCGAAACUCAGUUGCUGUUGGUCUUGUUCUUCAAUGGGUGCGAAACGAAAAACAAACUCAGAUGAAGAGGAUGGAGCUUUAAUUAGUAGAUCCCGUUCUGCUGUCGAUGAGUGCUCCGGCUGUGGAUCUCGGUCGAGGAUGGAAGAAACGAAAAAGAAACGAACAAACGAAAAAGAAAAUAAAAGAAAACGACGCAAAUCAUUCAAUAAACAAACGAAAAAGAAAAAAAAAAAAGAAACGACGCAAACGACGCCGUUUAAGUUAUUUUCGGGGUUUGACCCGGGGCAAACAUCAGCACUCUUUCCUUUAUGAAUUGGGAAAAUGCUACUUUCCCCGGGUCAAACCCCGAAUUAUUUCAAAACGGUGUCGUUUUGUUUUUUUUUUUUUCUUUUUACUUGCAUGAAACGUGGUCGUUUGAGCUAGUAAAAACAAAACAAACUAAAGCAGAAAAAACUCAAGUGCUUAUCUUCUCUGCCCCUUUCUUAAUUUCCUUUUGACAAACCACGGAAUCACACCCACAAACAACAAUCACCCACAGUCACGCGAACAGCCGGCACAGACGAAGGAUGAGCCCACAGACGACGGACCACCGCAUUGAAAUCUCUGUCCACAUCACCGGCACCAUCAUCGUAGGUCUGUAACAAACUGUCGUAAGUUAAACCCUUCUCACCGUCGAUGAACUCGACGUAAGUACGGAAUACUUCGUCGAGAAUUGCGUUGAUUUGUUCGUCGCUGAAUUUGACUCGAGGGUUUACGGCCACCACUAAAGCCGCCAUUUCUUCUCUAUUACGGCCACCGUCGCGGUUCGUGUCAAAUUGUUGAAAAAUUCUCUUCACUUUCUCUGAUCUGCUUCCUCUCGUAGCCAUUUUUUUUUUCUGUUUUUCUGGGGGUCAGUUUGGUUUCUCAGUGUUUGUUUGAGAAAGCGGAAUUAGUAGAUAAGGGAAUAUAAGGAAAAGUUGAUAAAAAGGCAAAGGGUGGUUACUUUAAUUGUUGGUGAGAAUAAUGAUGAUGAUGGCUUAAUUCUGGGUUUUGUUGGAUCUGAAUGAAUUCUUAACGGCAAAAGUUAAAGAGUAGAAGAAGAGCAAGAGGACGGACUCUCAUUCUUUCCCUUUUUUCUUUUAAUUUUAAAUAUAUCAAAAACGGCAGCGUUUUGGAGAAACAAAAAAGAAAAAAAAAUUAAAACAAAACGACGCCGUUUUUGUUUUCGGGGUUUGACCCGGGGCAAACAUCAGCACUCAUUCAUAAAAACUCCAUCCCAUCGCAUUUAAAACAAAACAAAGAAAAUAUUGAUUAGAAAAAAAAUUACACGCAUGGAAUAAAAGAAUAUAAAAAUGGAAUUACCAGAGGGAGCUAGUGCCGGAGUAGGAACCAGAAGGCAGCGCCAUAUGAUGCUCUUGUUAUGGUUUUCCUUCUUGUGGGUCUGCGCUGAAGUCGAAGAUGAAGAAACAAGAAAGAGCCAGCAAAUUGAGAAAUCGACUACCAUCUUCGAUUCCGACUCGCAUGGCCAUUUUUCUUUGAUGAAUGAAAUAUUGUUUUACUCCCUAAUUCUUAACCAAAUUACAAGUUUUGACUUCUGUUUGUAUGUUCUUUCAUACGGGUUCUUGUUCACAGGAAUAACAAAUGGGCCGGACGUGUGGCUAAGCCCGGGCCUGGUGUCGAUAGCCAGGCCUGGGCUUUUACGAGCCCAGGCAUUUUAUUCUGAGUAUGAUCCUUAUAUCACUUCACUUUUGUAAUCGUAAUUUUAUUGUACUGAAAAUUAUAUGAACGAUUAAUAUGAAUUUAAUUAAACAAACAUGUCUUUACAACUCAUGCAACCUUACUAUUUUCUAAUCCUAAUAUGUGAUAUAAUUAAUUUUACUGAUAAAAUCAAAAUAAUUUUUAAACAAUGAAGAAAUAAAUUAUAAUAACAGUAAAUUUAUUACGAAAAAGUAUGUUUACAAAAUUUAUUUUAAAUGAUAUGAAAUCUAAUUAAAAUUCUAUUCUAAUUUUAUGCCCUUUUUUACAAUUUUAUUAAAAAGUGGGAUCUCUUAAGAUUUUAGGAGUGUUGGAAUUCUAUUUUUCCAGAUUUGAAUUUUAGUGACCUUUACUUCAUUUAAAUUUUUUGUUAUAAACUUGCAAGCAAGUGCAUUUAGGAUAUCUUUGGUGAACUGGAUUGUAACAAUAAUUUUAUUUAUUAAAAUUAUUAAAAGUAUUUAAUUAAUAAAACUUCACGUAUCCUCGGGUCUAACCAAUCAAAUUCUUUCUCUCAAAAGUACACAAAAGUGAGAUUGGCUCUUGCCUAUUAGUUAACAUAUGCAUAUUAAUUAACACUGACAGAUAUAUAGAUAUACAGCACAGCUAGCAGCACAUUCGACUUACAGAUAUACAGAACUUGAACAUAAUUCACAUAUCUGAAGGGAGAGGGAUAUCGAUGUUGCGGCCUGCAAUUCAUAACAUAUCAUCGGUCAUUUAAUCUAGAAUUGAGGAGAGAAAAUGAGUCUAAAUUCGAAAACUUUGGCACUAUUUACAUAUCAUUAUUUGGGUGAAAAUUCAUUUCUCUGCUUUGAUAUGAUUUGGUCUUUCAUUGUUACGGUGCCAAUUUUUUAUUUAAAGAUGUAAGGUAGUGGUACUAUAGCUUAUAUUUUCCGUAAUUACUAUCCGGUAAGUACAAAAAUAAAAUACUAGUUUAAAAUAUAAAAAUGAAAAAUUAUUUUUAUAACCAAUAUUCAAUUAAAUACAUUUAAAACUCUAUUUUUUCUUAAUAAAAAAAAUUCUAAUUUAUUUUCUCAAUUUAUCUAAACAACUUUACCUAAUCAAGCUAAAUCUACAUAUUACCCUAAACCUUAAUUCAUAAACACCCAAUCAAUCUAAUUGUUAAAUCUUAUUUCAUAAUAAAAAAAAAUUAAUUUCUUUUUUAUUAUUUAUGGUGCAAAGGAAAAAAUGAAUUUAAAGGUAAAAUUGAUAUUUUAUUUAAAUUUUGUUAAUAUUCUAAUAAUAUUAAUGUCUUGGUGGUUAAUAAAAGCAUAAAGUUAAACUUUUGUAGUAUUUUUAAUAAUAUGGUAAAGAUAUAUGUUUGAUAAUUUUCUUAUGUCUUUUUACGUUAAAUUGAGUCUCAAGUAUAAUGAAUAAAUAAUACAUAUUAUAAAAUUAGUGUAGAUAAAUAAUACAACUUGAAAAUAUUAUAGUAUUCUUAAUAAUAGAGAAAUUUAAAGGUGGAUAGUUGAUUGUUUAAUGAAACAACUACAGAAUUUUCCUUUCAAAUAUCUUUUUGAAAAAACAUGAUUGAGUAAAAAUUAUUUUACAGAAUGACCUUUCAAAUGCCCAUUCGACAAGCCAAGAAGAAAGGGUAGCUAACAAAUUUACAAGUACCAGAGAUCCAGAAACACAUUUAUAGCCAAUCCAUUUAUGAGUUACAUUCAACACUCUCACAAACUGAAAAAAUAAAAAUUAUUACGGUCAAGACGCACACUUUUUGACAUCCAAAAAGCUAAACAUUUGAAGUUCUUCAAUACAAAAUGCAUACUAAAUUGGCACAAUUAAUGCCCAUGGAAGGGUCAUCAAUUUAAGCCAACAAAUUUGCCAAAGUUUUAACAGUGAACACAAAAGGAACAUGUAAAAUUUGAAGUUGAACAAAUCUUCACAUGCAUACAACAAGCCUUAAAACUUUAGUCUUCACAAUUUGAGCACGCAAUAAAUAUUAAGUGACCACCCGCAGAACAAGUCUAGAAUAAACUUGUUAGGUUCUUGCGCGAACUGAACCCCUCUGAAACACUAAAAGAGAAAGUACAAAAUAAAGAAGACCAUAUUACGUGGCUAACUAACAGCCAUUCCCAAAGAAAUGAGAGUGAUGAUAACGUCUUUUUUUUUUUUUUUUCCUUUCAAUCAUAUUUCUCGUCAUCUUCUUCUUCACGGGCAUCUACACUGACGUCUCCCUCUUGGCUGGCAUCUUCCUCGUUUGUAGUCGGUCGCUAUCCAACCAACAAAUUGGGCAUUAAAGAACAAACAGAGAAAAUUAUAACAAUAAGAACUAUAAACAUGAAAAGAAAAAAAAAAAAAAGAUAUUUGAAGGGAAAUUUUGGUAGAACUCUAUGGCUCAUCCGUGAAAUUAAUGUUAAUAUAUAUGUUUAUGUAAUGACGGUCUAUUGAUUUUAGGAUAGAUCAAUAAGCUAUUACAAACGAAAACAUGAACCAACUAUAUGUAGAGUUAAUUAAUUUAAAGUUCUCAAGAGCUUACCUCUGCUCCAGAAUUCUCGGAAUCAGCGCGAAACUUGGGACAACGACAAACGCGUGCAAGUGGAACUGGGAUCUGAUAACCCGUAGGCCAAAAGUUGGUGAGGUUUGGUAAAUCUUUCAGACUCACGUACGGAAGUUCGUCCAUAACAAUUUCAUCGUAAUCCAUGACGUGUGCUCCAUCUUUAUCCCAGAAUACUUCUUCUAAUUCAUCAUUACUAAAUAUCUCUAGUUUCAUUAGUUUUUGAAGACUUGGAGCUACGCUGAUAUGAAAUAGAUACUUUAGUUUGGGGCAAUGACCGACAAAGAUCCAUGUGAGUUUUGGGAAACAUAUAGGUUGGAGAUGAUCCUCAUCCUCAUCCUCAUCAAUGAUUUGCUCUAAUUCCCAGCAUUUCCAAAUAUAUAACUUCUCCAAUUGCAACAGAUUUCGAGCAAGUGUUGAUGAGAGGAGACGUCUCAGCUUAAUGCACCCCCUUACGGUUAAAUCAGUAAGAUUUUGCAGGCUAAAAUUAUGGGUGGGACCUUCAUGAUAUAAUAAUACUUGCAGUUCUCGAAGAUCUUCCAAUUGCAACGACUCCAAACAUGGGAAUAGUUUGUUUUCUUGUCCCUCAGCGAUAAUAGCUUCCACUUGAAAUACCACCUGUACUCCAAUUUCCACAAUAUUCAAUUCUUCCAAAUUUUUUAAUCCAUGCUUCAACAGUGCGGGAAUUGUGUCACACAAAUGGGAGCAAUCUUCCACAUCUAGAGUAUUUAAGUUCUGAGACAAAUAAAUAAAUAACUUGAUACAAUUAACAUCUAUUAGCAGCUACGAUUAUCACAUGAUAAGCAAUAAACUAACACCAAAAAAAAAAAAUCUAAAUCCGUACAAAAUAGUUAUACUUUAUGAAAGUAAUGGAUUUAUUAAAAAAAUGAAAUUAGUUAAAAGAGAUCGUGUGAAGUGAUAUAAUGGUGAAAUCGGUUUGUUUAUGAAAAUUUUGUAUUCUAUUUCUAUGGCUUGAUUAACGAAUUAAUUGAAUUUGCUUAAUAUUAUAUGUACUCCACCAGUGUUUGCAUCCAUUUUUUUUUCCUUCAAAAGCGAAGCGAGAUUUGACUUUCAUUUGAAGAAUGAAUUUUAGGCCCUAAAAUAAGGAAGUUUCCCUAACAUAUUGGAUUUUAUUAUUAUCAUCACCAUUAGCACUACGAUCAUCAUCAUCAUCUCUCUCUACAAAGCCAAAUGCAAGGUGGUAUGAAUGGCGGAUCAUAAAAAUUAUUGAUAAACUAUCAAUUUGAAUAAAAUUGAAGAAAAAUAAAGAAAAAAACAUAAACACAAACGAACAUACCUCUCCAAGAUACUGCAAAUUGGCUUCAAGUUCAGUAUUGUGGACAGUCAAGUUUGGACAGCUGGUUACAUCUAACUUUUCCAACGCUGGCCAAGUUGAAUAAUAAUUUUCUGAACAAAAGCUAAUGAGUUGGGAGACCUUCAAGGCUUAAAUUUCUCAACAAAGAGAGCUCGAGUAUUCUAUUUUCAUCUGCUACACUUAUUUCCCCUUCAUUAUGAUCAAACUUUACUUUGACGAUGCAUUCCAGUCUCUCGCAUCCACUCACUUCGAGACUUUUAAGCUGCACCAAACUUCGAGCUUGUGACAACGAGAAGAUAUAUGUCAAGUUGUUGCAUCCGUACACACUCAGUGCUGUAAGAGUUUGGAGGCUCACAUGUUGGGCGGGCGCCUUCCAUAUCUGCUUCAGUUCUGGUAACUCCUGCAUAUAUAACCUUGCUAAUCUUGAGAGCAUCAUAGGAUUCCCACUCUCUCCUUGCGGCGACUGAGAGGCAUCCAUUAUGCAUUCUAAAUCUUCACAAUUGUUGACAAAAAGAAAAGUCAACUUAUUUAAGCCCCUUGGAUCUAUGCUUGGCACAAUAUUAUGACAACUUAUUAUGUCAAACAAAGGUUUCAAUGCAGAAAAUAAUUCUUUCGUAUAUUCUUCUCCAAAUCAGAGGCAAUAUAUGAAGCUAAUUACAUCCUAAAAAAGGAAGAAAUAAAUUGUUUCUAUAUUUAAAUACAAGAUUGAUCAACUAAAAAGAUUCCCGGACGUAAUAACAAAAUCAAUUCUAUAAUUGACAGCACAUGCCGACAGCUCAUGCUAGCUCAUGCCGACACUCCCCCUCAAGUUGGAGCAUAGAUAUCUAUCAUGCCCAACUUGUCAAUUAUAUCAUGAAACACCCUUCCUGAUACUGUUUUUGUGAGUAUGUCAGCCAACUGAUCUCCAGAUUGAACAAAUGGGAACUGUAUAGUUUUCUCGUCAAGCUUCUCCUUGAUGAAAUAACGAUCUACUUCAACAUGUUUUGUGCGAUCAUGUUGUACAUGAUUCUGGGCAAUCUCUAUGGCUACUUUAUUAUCACAUUUAAGAUUCAUGGGUUUUGCAUAAUCAAUCCCCAAAUCUUUCAGUAUGUUCUUGAUCCAUAACAUCUCACAUACACCUUGUGCCAUUCCACGAAAUUCCGCUUCAGCGCUUGAUCUUGCCACAACCUUCUGCUUCUUGCUUCUCCAAGUGACGAGAUUGCCUUCAACAAAUGUAAAAUAACCUGAGGUAUAUCUUCUUGUUGUCUGGUCACCUGCCCAAUCAGAGUCCGUAUAUCCUUCAAUGUUUGAGACAGUAUUUUUUGAGAACAAUAAACCUUUUCCAGGAGCACACUUCAAAUAUCUCAGAAUUCGAUAGACUGCAUCCAUAUGUUCUUCACUUGGUGAAUGCAUGAAUUGGCUUACUAUACUUACGGCAUACGCUAUGUCUGGCCUUGUGUGGGAUAAAUAGAUUAACCUCCCAACUAGCCGUUGAUAACGACCCUUAUCAUUUGGUAAAAUCCCAAGCUUGUGAUUCAUCUCUAUAGGCGUUUCAACUAGUUUACAAUCAAGCAUACCAGUUUCAGUGAGGAGAUCUAACACGUAUUUUUGUUGUGAAAGAAAAAUUCCACUUUUCGAUCUUGCUACCUCAAUCCCCAAGAAGUAUUUAAGCUGCCCAAGAUCUUUCAUUUCGAAUUCAGUAGCCAAAUGUUCUUGUAGUGCUUUCAUUUCAGAUAAAUCAUCCCCUGUUAACACCAUAUCAUCAACAUACACUAUUAACACCGUCACUUUUCCGCCUUUGUGUUUUAUAAACAAAGUAUGGUCUGAAUUACUUUGUUUAUAACCAGCAGCUUUCAUUGUCGCUGAAAACCUCCCAAACCAUGCCCUAGGUGACUGUUUUAGUCCGUACAAGGACUUCUUCAGCUUACAUACUUCAUUCCUAUGCAUAGAACUAUGUUUGACACCAGGAGGUAGCUCCAUGUAAACUUCUUCUUCUAAAUCUCCAUUGAGAAAAGCAUUUUUGACAUCGAACUAUUUUAAGGGCCAAUCUCGAUUUGCUGCUAUAGAAAUAAUAAUACGAAUGGUAUUUAUCUUGGCUACUGGUGCGAAAGUGUCUUGGUAAUCUAAUCCAUACCUUUGUGUAUAUCCCUUUGCCACUAGUCUCGCUUUAUACCUAUCAAUGAUUCCAUCCGCUCUGAGUUUUACCGUGAAUACCAUCUACAUCCAAUUGUUUUCCUUUCCUUAAGUAGUGAAACCAGUUCCCAAGUGGCAUUUUUUUGUAGAGCUUCCAUCUCUUCAUUCAUCGCCUUAGUCCAUUUUGGAUCCUCCAAAGCAUCCUGUACACUACUAGGAAUAGAUAUAGUGGAUAAUUGAUUAAUAGUAAGUGCAUAUGAUUCACACAACCUAUGAGAUGACAUGUAGUUACUGAUUGGGUAUUUUAUUUUGGAUUUGGGAUCAGGUUCAUAUUGUUUAUUUGGAAUUCCUCUAUUUGACCUUUGUGGAUAUUUAGGAUUCAUGUCUUCUACAGAAAAAAAUGGUUCAUUAGACUCAUUAGACAAUGGAUUUGAAAUUACAUGAGGAGGAACACUUUCGGUUAAUUCUUCAGUUAAUGGUGUAGACAUGGGUAGCUCUAGUGGCCUUGAUUGUGCUUCAGACAUGUCCAGAAAAUUGGAGGGAUCACAUUCGGUUUCAGUCAUGUUAUCACACCCUUGUUGAACCUCAUUUCCAUCACUGUUUUGAAGUUUUUCGACCAUGUCUUCUAAUUCUACAAAAUCACCUCCUCCUUCAUUUUCCCUUUGACCAUUCUCUUCACACAAACUCUCCCCCUGGAGGGAAUGGUAAGAGACUCCCCCUGAGUAAUAAGGUUCUAAUUCAUGAAAAGAGACAUCCAAAGUUACAUGCAAUUUUUUUGUGUGUGGAUCAUAGCACCUAUAACCUUUUUGAAGAUCAGAAUAGCCAAUAAAAACACAGCGUUUGGCACAUGGAUCAAGUUUAGUUCGUAAACUUUUUGGAAUGUAAGCAUAAACAAUACAACCAAAUAUUCGGGGUUCAAGAUUAGGAAGAUGAGGAAUUGAGAGUAAGGAUUGCAUUUUUUGUUGGGGAGUUUGAAAAUCUAGCACUCGUGAAGGGGUUCGAUUAAUGAGAUAAGCUGUCCCCAAUAAAACCGAGGCAUGUUCAUGCCAAAAAGAGAAGCACGAACCACCUCUAAAAUCUGUCUAUUUUUCCUCUCAGCCAGCCCGUUUUGUUGUGGGGUGUAAGUGCAUGAGGUCUGAUGACGAAUUCCAUGAAUGUUUAAAAACUUGCCAAGAGAGGCAUCCAUAUACUCAGUACCAUUGUCAGAUUGAAGUACACGAAUCUGCUUUUGAUAUUGAGUACUUACCAUUUUGUGAAAUUCUUGAAAGGCUAGACAUACAUCGCUUUUUUUUAUAAGUAAAGACACCUAAAUCAUUCUAGUACAUUCAUCAAUAAAUGUCACAAAAAAACGAGCUUUAGAAAGAGAAGCAACUUUUGCAGGACCCCAAACAUCGGAAUGAAUCACCACAAAAAGGUUCUAGACUUUUAUUUAAACUUGGUAAAUAAGAAGUGCGAUGGCUUUUAGCCAUCUCACAAAUGUCACAAUGAAAAUUCAAAUCAUUUAGAGUUGAAAAAAGAUGAGGCUGUAAUUUUUUGAGAUAACCAAAAGAAAGGUGUCCUAAUCUACGAUGCCAUAACCAAACAUUUGCCCGAGUUCUAUCUUUAUUAGAAGCUUGAUUUGCCUGACUGAUAUUUGGUCCCUCAUUUUCUGUCAAUUCCAAGUAAUAGAGUUUACCCCGUCUAACACCAUAAUCAAGAAUCUUCCGAGUUAGGAUGUCCUGAAAAACACAAAAAGCGGGCCAAAACGUUACAGUGCAAGCAAGUGUGGAGGUAAUUUGGCUAACCGACAAAAGAUUAUAUUCAAGAGAUGGGACAACAAGAACUGUAUCUAAUGUAAGAGUAUUACUCAAGGUAAUAGACCCUUCCCCAAUAAUAGGAGAAGUACUACCGUUUGCAGUGGAGAUAACAGAUUGAGAAGAGGGAAGAACAGAUUUUAAUUGGCUAGAAUCUCUGGUCAUAUGCUCAGAUGCACCUGUAUCAAUAAUCCAUAUUCUAUUCUUAGAAGUUACAGAACAUACAGAUGUCUUACCAAUAAUACCUGGGUGGGCAACAUUUGCUGAAGGGGAUGGUUGUUCUUCAUCCUUUGCUGCUGUCACAUUAGCCUUCCCAGAUAUUUUCUUACGGGGCUUCUUUGAGAAAUCCCACCAAUCUGGAUAGCCAAUGAUUUCAUAGCAGCGUUGUUGUGAAUGACCUUUUUCUCCGCAGUGAGUGCACACAAGGUUGUUAACUUUGCUGGAUGAUUGAUUGCCUCGAUUUUUUGAAGAUCCAUUUCGGUUUUGACUGGCCAGCAUGGCAAGGUUCUCCGAAAUUAAAUUAGAGCCUCUCAUUGUUUGUCUCUGUUGGUAAUCCCUUCUAACAUAAGCAUAUGUGCUUUCUAAAUCAAGUUUUGGGUAUUUUCGCAAUAUUUCUCCACGAACCUGUUCAAACUCUGAGUCGAGGCCACUUAGAAAAAUAUGAACUCGAAGCCUAGCCAUUGCAGAAUGCAGCUGUAAUAGCCCUUCGACUGUGCCUUCUUUAGUGGUAGUCCUAUGAUCGAUUUCCUGAAAAAUGGCAACCAGUUCAUUGUAAUACGUUGGCAAUGGUCGCCCAUCCUGUUUGGUAGAGAAAGAUCUCUGGUUCAGCUCAAAAAUACAGGUUUCAUCGGUUCCAUCAUAGAAGGUUUUCGAUACAGCCUCCCAUAUAUCUUUGGCUGUAGGGAGACGAAUAAAUCGUUGCAUCAACGAUGGACUCAUUGAGUCAAUCAACCAGCUCUUGACUCUUUGAUUUUCAGUAAUCCAUGAUCCAAGAUUAGGAUCUCCUGGUGCUGGUUUCUUCGUUUCUCCAGUAAGAUAACCAGCUUUGUUGCGAGCACUAAUCCGCAUCUCUAUGAGUUGAGACCAUAAUGAGUAGUUGGUCUCAUCCAGAGUGAUUCCAGUUGGAAAUGCCGAGUUGUCUUGAUGAACAACAACUUGUGGUGCUGGUGGUGGGAUAAUAUCCAUUGAUACGCCUGUGAUAUCAGUCAUAGAGAUCACAACAACGGUGAAUAUUCAGAAUACGAAUACAAAUUUCGAGAGAAAAAAAGAAAAAAGAAAAUAUUCGGUUGUCAACACAAAUUCUCUUGAUGAGGAACCUGCUCUGAUACCAUGUCAAACAAAGGUUUCAAUGCAGAAAAUAAUUCUUUCGUAUAUUCUUCUCCAAAUCAGAGGCAAUAUAUGAAGCUAAUUACAUCCUAAAAAAGGAAGAAAUAAAUUGUUUCUAUAUUUAAAUACAAGAUUGAUCAACUAAAAAGAUUCCCGGACGUAAUAACAAAAUCAAUUCUAUAAUUGACAGCACAUGCCGACAGCUCAUGCUAGCUCAUGCCGACAUAUUAUCCUGCUCAAAUCAAGAAAUUCCAGAUUUUGAUACAAUGCUGAAAAAAUAUUGAGCGAGGUCGCUUCAAAAGGGUAAUCAAUGAUUAAGCUCCUUGUCUUAUCAGCAUCUUCCAUUUUAUAGUCAACUCCUUCACCUUUAAUCGUGUACCUUUGCAAUUUUGGGAAUGUAAAAUCUUUUGAAAGAUAUACAACAGAUCUGCCAACUUGGAAGUUAAACUCAGCAAGCCUAGCAUUACUUUCUUCUGAACUCAUCACUUCAACCUCCCAAUCUUUUAUCCGACCAUAAAAUUCUUCUAAUUGAGGAAAUUUUUUUAUCGUAACGGGAGAAACAGAACCAGUAUCAAUAUAUAGAAGUUUCAAUCUACGAAGUUCAUCCGACAAAUCUUCAGGAAUUUCAAUGGGAGAAUUCUCGAGAUAAAGAAGUUCAAGUCUUUUCAACUUUCCAAGAAAAGACGCGUCACUCACAUGACGUCCAAUCAACUGCAGAACUCUGAGGCUAUUGGCAAGGAAUCGAAGCGAUUUUAGUGAAAGGACUCCAUUGAUUAUAGUAACAACUUUCAAUGCUGGCAUCCCUUCAAAAAAAUUUUCUGGAACUUGCAAUUUGUAGCGAUAUAGAUUAUUGUGCAGUCGCAAAAUAUGAAGGUUAGGGCAUACCAAACGACUAGGAAGCUCUUCUUGUUUAUUUCCCAUUACAGAGAUUCCUCUAUAUUGCUCCAGGCCUUCUUCCAUUGCCCGUUCUACCAAUCCAAUGCCAACUUUACUAAAAAAUUUCUUCUCCACUAGUGCUUCUGAGCCUAUCCAUAUGGCUACAUCACGAACUAUGUCAUGCAUUUUCACAGAUCUGUCAUUACCAGUGUCUAACAGCAGUGAAGCAGCUUUGAGUCCCUCAAUUAUUCCACGCAGUAGGCUUCUGGCGUUCUCUAUCGACUCAGCUGGAUGCCAAAUCAACCCCACACCGUAUCCAACCAAAACCUCCAAAUAAAUGUCAUAAUCUUCUGGAAACAUCGAACACAACAAGAAGCAUAACUUGGAAUCCUCACCAUUCAAAUUGUCGUAACUAAAUUUAAGACAACCACAAACGUUUCGCUCAUCCUUAUCAAUCCCUUCGAUUGCAUAGAGUUUUGCUUCCCUUAGGUUAUGUAGAGCUAGAUUCCAUUCAUCAAAUCCUUUUCCUCUUAGUGCACUUCCAACAGCUUCAAUAGCUAAAGGCAGCCCCUUACAUUCUCCAGCAACAUCUUUGGAAACAUCAUUGAAGGUGGAGUCAUUCACAUCAAUGCCGGCAUUUUUUUGCAGUAAAGCCAAUCCUUCUUCUGGCGUUAGUGUACCCAGUGGAAUCUGCGAGUCACAACGCAUGCGUUCACAAACUGACUGCAGGCGAGUAGUUAGAAGGAUUUUGCAGCGAUUGUCUCUAUCACCAAUGGGUAUACCUAAUUUUUCCUUCAAGUUUAGUUCGUUCCAGACAUCAUCGAGGAUUAUGAGGAUUUUGGUGCUUUCGCUCGCAGAAAACAUCGAGCGCAGUUGGUCUGCUCCAUCUUUUUCAUCUUUCUGCUUUAAUUCCCAACCUAAUGAAUUUACCAGCUCAUUUUGAACAUUUAUUAUGUUUGGAUGCUGAGAUACAGUGGCUAGCCCCACUUUAUCGAAAAUCUUUUGUUGCCGAAGUUGACUGCCCACAAAUUUUGCCAAGGUCGUCUUUCCUACACCACCGAGGCCAUGCAAUCCCACCUUCUUUGUGCUCUCUUUUUUCAGCGCGUCAAUGAUCAGAUUGUAAGCUGAUUCUGUGGUCUUGUAAGUAGAAGAAAAAUAACUUGGUAAACUUAAUUCUCUCUCUAAUGGUGGAGGUUUAGCAAGGGCAGCUGUGUUGAAUUGGCUGUAGUGUUGUAGCAGAUCAAACAACUUCCUAGUCUUCUCUGAUGCUUUUCCGCCCAGACUAUAUCGGCAACCCCAUUCAGGACACAAUCCAUGAAGACUACUAUCCUUUUUAUCUAUCUCUGCUUUCAACUUUUGAAUAUCGCCCAAUUCCCCGUCUACAUCCUUCAGCCACUCCGUUACAUUUUGAUCGACUACUAUGUCGGGGCGUUUUUGUCGUUGAUCUUCUAUUCUCUUAUUGAUGACAUCUAGUGCCUUCUUCAACUUAGUUUGUUCAACCUCAAGUUUUUUCACAAUGCGGUCGAAACAGAAUAGAUAGGAAGUUCUUUGAUUUCAUUCACCAAAUAUUUUCCAAUCGAUUCUAAAAGUGGUUUAAAAAUUUCUUUUAAACAAUCUUUUAAAAUUUCCAUGCUAUUUAUCUGCAAAUAAAAAAGUUGAUCUCAAUACGCUAUAAGCAAAAGAACGAGGCUUGAUCACAAGAUCGAAUGAAGACGUUUAAUUACCUUUUUUUGUUAUGUGAAUGCACGUUUAUUAACACCAGCUUUUUUUUUUUUGGUCUAAUCCAUCCGGUAUCCGGUGACCACAUUGGGCCCCGACUACUCCGGAUUCGGAGAGAGGGCGUAAUUCUCCUCCCAACGUAGGCGACUCCACCAAGACUCGAACUGGGGAGCAAACCCAGUCGAGCCCCUGAGGGGUUCAGCCCGCUGCCAACUGAACCAACCAGUCGUUGGUUUAUUAACACCAGCUUUGAUCAAUAAGAGCAAAAUGCAAACGCCGGGCUUCAAGAGUUCUAAGUGGCCUUUAGCUGCAGAAUAGAAGAUGACAAAUAAGGUAAAACGUUCCCAGCAAACGUGAUAUGUGGUGGACUUAAAAUGAUACCUUAUUUGGGAUGAUAAAGAUUGGGGUAAAUUCUCUUUUGUUCUCAAAAUUUUGAACCUAUUAUCAGUUGUAGUAUUUGUAUUUUUAAAAAUUACCUAAAACAUGCAUGUCACUACUUUCAUAGCUAUUGAACAUUUCAUUUCAAAUAUAAAAUACUAUAAAUUAAAAAUCAAACAAAUCUAUCAUGCAACAAACGAAAAGUAAAUACUAAUAAUUAGGUUUUAAUGGAAACUAAUAUAAAACAUAGAGGUUUUAAUUAAUUUUUGUGAUUUCUUUUAAUGUUCGAUUUAGAAUUGAAUAAUUUGUAUAAGGAAAAUAAACUGCAAAAUAAGUUUAUAUGCCGAACUUAAAAUAGUUUCAUAUUAGUAAUCAUAUAAUUAUCAAAUUUUUUAAUAAAAUUUAUUUAAAAAUUGACCAAUUGCGUUUCAUGAGGAAAACAGAGAGCAUAAUGGACUUAUGUUGCGACUUGGGAUUGAAAGGCCAGAAGGUAGUGUUAGCCUAUAUGGCUAUAAAAUAUUGAUUUUGAUGAUAACAAACCACAUGUAUUGACUAAGCAAAGAUUUAUAAAUUAUGCUUUUAUAAUAAGAAAAUAAUGUUAUGGAAUUAAAGUAUUUUGGACUAAAAUGAAAGUAUUUUAAAAUCUUUGAUAGUGUUUUUAAAUUUCGGAUUUGGACCUAUUUAAAACUAUUUAAAUGUUUUUGGGUCAUUCUAUAAGUAUGGGUCAGUUGAAAUUUAAUGGAAAAGUUUACGACAUAGUCAAAGUUCGAGAGCUAUUUUCAAUUUGAGGAUAAAACAAUGUUGCAAUUGUUGGCUUGUUGCAACAUUCCAUAACUUUUGUGUAUUUGUGGCUUAAGUAUAUGGCAGUCCUUGAUAUUGUAUAUUACAUAUAUCCUGCCUUCAACUCACUGAGAGUAAGAGUGCCACUGUUGUCAGUGUCCAUCUCUCUAAAUUUUUCCGUUAGCUUUUGCUUUUCUCCUGUUGGAAGAUUUUCCACAAUGACCUGAAAAUCCACUCAGUUUUAUCAGUAGAGGAAGCACAAUUAAAUGCAUAAAUUUAAUGGCUUGCACAUAUAUAGCUAACUGAAUAUAAUAACAAGUACUUCGCAAUAAAACAUUGUUGGUGAGGAAGUGCAGAUGCAGAAAUUCGAUCAAGCAUUUAACUAAUGAUUGUCGCUGUUGUAUCCAAUUCUCAUACUUAGCCCUAAUCUGAGCUAGCUCCUAAAUGGGAAGAAUCUUUUUAAUUACAUGCGUAUGUAUAUAAUUAUUAGUUAGCUAGUUGUGGUCAAUGUGACCUGUAUUUUAUCAAUGGAAUUUUAAUCAGGUGUGCGCGACAUCACACAUUGUGCACUAGAUCAAUCCUCUUAUCAAUUAAUAUAUAUUAUAUAUAGAUAUAGACACGUAUGUGAGUGGAGGAAGAAAAAAAAAUUAAGAAUAAUUUUGGCAUUUUGAUGGGUUUUAUAGAGUAAAAUCUAUAUUUUCAAAUAUGAUAAUUCUUUAAUUUAAUUUGGUGUUAUGAAAAAAGGGCAUUUUAAAUAUGUUUUAAGUUAUAAAUAACUCCAUCCAAAAUUUAAAAAUGAAAUCUGGGGGGGGGGGGGGGGGGAGGAGGGGGGGAAUUUCACCCGAACUAACAAAGGCCCAGAGUAGCCGCGGCUUUUUUCACCAAUUCUCUAAUUCCCAAUGUGGUCUAAUUAUUUACAAGGAAUAUGAGAUUCUCUACCACUCCAAUUUAUCCCAUUGUUAGUAAUCUUAUUAGCUGUUUUAUAUCCUAUUUUUAUUAUGCUCCCCAAACAAAUAUGUUUCACCUAAAGGUGCCCAACGGGCUGCACCGUCCGUCUGAAUGAACGCAUGAGAGGCUCCACAUGACCCGGCAAUCUUUUUCUUUUUAAUGAGGGCGUGACUGAUAUGCUUUUUCAAGUCUAACGCUCUUUUUUUUAAAAUCCAUAUAUUUUUUUAAGCUCAUGUCAAAUUCGGUAGUAAGAGAAUGCAAUGCUAGUUAAUAAGUUAAAGUGCAUCCGUGCCACUUUUUUCUUGUUGUUUUAUUUGUAUGAUAAUUAUCAUGGACCCACGUAACUUUCUUUUCCAUUUAAAAUUUUAUAAUAUAUUAAAUUAGACAAAAGAAAUGAAUCCCACAAAUAAUUUAUUUUAUAAUUUUUUAAAUAAUACUAUUUUAAAAUAAAUUAUUAAAACAAAUUUUAUAUUCACUAAAAUUAAUCAUAUUCAUAUUAUAAAAUAUAAAAACAACAUUUGAAAAAUAAUAUCAAAUACACCCUUAAAUUUUAUAUCGGCACUAGAACCGAUGAACAAUUUUUGACAAAGAUGUUGCGACCUAAGUAGGGAUAGCAACUAAAUUCGGAUCCAACUCGGAUAUGUAAGGAUCCGAAAGAUCCAGAUCCAGAAAAUUUUUUAUCUGAAUAUUAAAAAAUGUUGAUCCGGAUAUAGAAAUUUGGGAUCUGCACGGAUUGGGAUGGAAGUACAUUCGGAAAAUUGGAUGUCGAGAUCCGGAUAAAUUUUGUUUCAAAUUAAAAAUAUAUAUUAAAAAUUAAAUAAAAAUUAAAAAAGUAAAUUUUAUUUGUGGAUUUAUGAUGUUGUUGUAUAUUAUUCAUGUUGAAUUAUUAAUUGUUGGAUUAUGAUUGAAUUUUGUUUGAAAUUAUUGGGUAAAUUUUUGAAUUUUAUUUUAAAUUAAAAAUAUUUAUUAAAAAUUAAAUAAAAAUAAACAUUAAAUUUUAUUUGUAAAUUUAUGAGAUUAUUGUAUGUUAUUCAUUUUGAAUUAUUAAUUGUUGAAUUAUAAUUAAAUUUUAUUUGGUAUUAAUAGGUAAAUUAUUAAACUUUCAAAUUAUAUAUUAAAUUAUUUAAUUUUAAAUUUUGCAGAUCCGAAUAUCUAGAAUAUUUGUCCGCAUAUUUUUUUACGAAUCCAGAUAUAGAAAUAUGAAUAUGGAUCCAAAUUCGGAUUUUGACAACCCUAGACCAAAGCAUGAAUGUGCCUAAAGUUUUUACUAAGAACAUGGAUCAUUCAAUGACCCGACAUGUUUUGCAGCUCUCAUUAGUAUAAUUGAAUAAUUAAUUCAUCUCUAUAUUCAGCUUACACCGUCUCAAAUUGCAUGCAAAUACGAAAGUACACAUCUGAAUCGUUCACUUGAGGAAAAUUAAUUUUAACGCAAUAAGUCCUAAUUCUCCACGUAGAAUUUUAAUUCAAAGCAUAGCAAAUUAGACAUAAUUCUAAUUUAUAUGGGAAAUAUAAUUAGCGAAGACACUCUUUAUAUAAACAUUAUUGUCAUAGGAUGCCAAACCUAAUAAGAUUCAAGAUCUUAACAUACUUCAUAUGAAAUUUGAUCUUGGCGCGUACCGACACGCUUAACAUCAAGACUCUACUUCAUAUAAUGUAACUUCAUGGAUUUUUUGCUCUCUUGUGAAAUUGACAAUUAUUGGCGCUGUGUGGCAGUGGUACAUAAUAAAAUAAACGUUUAUUUUUAGAAUAUUAUUAUUUAUCUCAAUUUUUUAUUUAAUAGUUAAUUUUAAUAAAUUCUUAAACUGUCAUAAUCAAUUAAUUUUUUACAUUAUGGCAUCUUAAAUAAAUUUUGGAUCUAUAAUAAAUAAAAACUGGUAACGUUUGUUCUAUUAAAACAUAAAACAACCGUAACAUUGGUUUUUACAUUUUGAAUUUUUCUUGCAUCACUAUUUAGAAAAAUGAUGUUAAAUCAACUCACAAAAUAUAUCAAGCCAUCUAAAAUCCAAAUAUUAUUACAUUUGUAUUUGCAUUGUUAAAUUGUUGGAACGACGGCAAAGCAAUUGAAAAGAGAUUAACAAAAAAGUAAAGAUUGGCCAAGGAUUAUUCAUGUUUAGGAAAUGCCUUAACUUUUGAUAUAAUCAUUGUUAUAAUUAUAUUGUAGAAAUAAUCAAUUACCUAAUGUUUGUGGUGGUAAAUAUUAUUAACUUGUUUUACUAUACCCAUGUUUAUGUUGGUCUCCUUUUUGUCCAUUUCUGUACAACGAAAUAUUUGCAUGUUUCGAUAGAAAUUGGUUUAAAUGACAUUUAAAAUAGUAUAUCCCCAGACAAUUAACGAAAAAUUUGGAUGGUAGGAUGAAGUAAUAAGUAGUUUUACAAAUUACCGUAUUAGAGGUAAAAAAAAAUCAAGAGGUUACUUGACAAUUAUGACAUUACUAACUACAAAUUUAACACAAAAAGUUUAAUUAACUUUUCUUUUUGAGAUGACAAAAUCUCUGGUGUUGAAAACAAUGAGGUUUGAGGUUCAAGCUUGAAUAUCAAGUUACAAUUAGUAGAUGGUCUUAGGACAUAUCAAAGAUUUCUUUAAAGACAAAAUAAUAAUUACAAGCAAUAGGAAUUUAUGGUAUUCAGAACAUGUAUAUCUUCGCACAUGAAGCUUGAGUCCAGCAAAAGAUGCAGCUAGCCAAUCCUUCAACUUCCAAAACCCCACAAAAUCUCUGUCAACAUUGUUAGAGUUAUAAAUAUAAAGAAUAUUUUUGUAAUGAUUCUGCUGAUGUGGCAGCUGAGUAAGCAAGGCUAUUAUUGUUAGUUUGUAAGUUUGUUAUGGAGCUAAGAAGUUAGUUAAUCACAGCUCACUCUCAACACGUGUGUGAGCAAAUGCAUAAGGUUCUGGAUCUUAGUAUAUAAGGUCAACAUAUGUAUUCAUAAUUCAUUGAAUAAGAUUCGAUCUAUUUUUUCUUAUAGUUUCUCUUAUUGCUCAUUAAAUUUUCCUUCAUUUUCUCUGCAACCAAACAAGCAUAAAUAGCUUGGUUAAACUUCAAUUUGGUAUCAGAGCCACAUCUAGUCUAAUCUCAUGGCAUUAUCAAGCUUGAACACAAACAUCUCUUCUUCAGCAACAACCUGUACUUUCACAACUCCAAUAAAACUUGAUCGAUCAAAUUACUUAAUCUGGAAAUCUCAAAUUCUAUCCUCAGUUCGAGCAAAUGAGCUUAAGAGUUUGCUUGAUGGAUCCAGAAUCUGUCCAGAUCAAUUUCUCUCAAGCACUCAAGGAAAUUCAGAUGCUAUGUUCAAUGCUUCUGCAAGUUCAACUAUUGCUUCACGAGAGAAUCCUGAGUUUAAUGUGUGGAGAAAGCAAGAUCAGAUGCUACUGAGCUGGCUGCUAUCCUCUAUCAGCAUUGAAAUCCUCAGCUUGUGGUAAACUCUAAAACCUCUUAUGAACUGUGGUCUAGUUUAGAGCAACAAUUUGGAUCUGAAACUGAUGUUAAGAAAGUUCAUCUCAAAAUGAUGUUGAAUAAUCUGAAGAAAGGAUCUAUAACUAUGACAGAAUAUUUUAGUAAGUUGAAGUCAGUUACAGAUGAGCUUGCUAUUGCUGGAAGUCCUGUUAGUUCUUUGGAUUUUAUAACUCAUCUCAUCUCUGGAUUAGGUCAGCCUUAUUAUCCAGUAGUUGUGUAUAUUGAAGCAAAUGUUCUAAAAAUGAGUAUUAAUGAGGCUUAUUCAAUGUUGUUGACACAUGAGGCACGUUUAGAAAGCAAUCAAUCUAAUUCUUUCAAGGAAGUGAAACAGAACUAUGCUGCUAACUUAGCUCAGGCUGGAAAUAAUCAAAAGAAAGUUAACAAUCAGGGAGGCUGGAAUAAUAAUAGUCAAGGAGGCUGGAAUGGAAACACUGGAAACAAACCUGGAUUUCAUAACUGGAAUGGAAACUUUACAAACAGAGGAGGUUUCAAUUCAGGAAGGGGACAAAAUUCAGGUAGAGGACAAUGGAAUAAUAACUGGAAUAACUGGAAUGGAAAUCAAGGUAGAGGCAAUUUUGCUGGUGCUGCUGGAAAUUUUUCUGGUAGAUUUCCUGGUGGCUAUAAUGGAUUUGGAAGAGGAGGAGGCAGAGGAAAUAUUGUUUGUCAGAUUUGUUUCAAACACAAUCAUACUACAGUUGAUUGCAAAGAUAGAUUUAACAGAAAUUUUGUUCCUAAUUUUUCUGUGCAAGGAAAUUUUCCAGAUCAGAAUCAAACUUCUAGAUCUGCUUUCAUGGCUACAUCAGAAGGAGUUGCUGACCAAGGAUGGUAUCUGGAUAGUGGAGCAACACAUCAUCUCACAAACAAUGUGGUGAACCUAGCUGAAGGUAAACCUUAUCUUGGAUCUCAGUUGCUGUUAGUUGGUAAUGGACAAGGUCUUAGAAUCACUUCCAUAGGCAAUAUCUGUCUCUUUACAUCCUUUGGCAAUCAAUUAAACCUUUCCAAUGUUCUGUGUGUUCCCAAAAUUACCAAGAAUCUUAUUAACUUAUCUAAACUUCUCUCUGACAAUCAUAUAAUCAUUGAAUUUGUUUCUAAUCUUUGUUUCAUUAAGGACAAGAUGGUCUCUUUAAGCUACUGACUCAAGAUACACCUCUUUCUGAUUCUAAAGCCUUGGGUCUCAAACCUAGUUCAAUGUUGUCUGUUUUUUCAAAUAAAGAGAAUGUACACUCUUUGAAAGAGUUGAAUAACCAAAUAAAUGUCUGUUCAAAUUUGAUCAAUUCCAAUAAUGAGAAUUCUGUCAGUUUUUUAGCUUCCAGUAGUGAGUCUAUGUAGUUGCUACACAAUAGGUUUGGUCAUCCAACCAAACAUGUCUUGCAAACAAUAAUGAAAAGUCUUCCCAUGCAUUCAACCCAUUCUCAAUCUCUUAAUUUUUGUGAUGCUUGUCAAUAUGGCAAAUUACAUUAAUUCCAUUUUCCAGUCACUGAUAUAAAAUCAAAAUUCCCUCUCCAACUCUUAUAUGCUGACUUAUGGGGUCCAGCUUCUGUGUUGUUUAUGGACGGAUACAAGUACUAUAUUUCUUUUGUUGAUGAUUUCACAAGAUAUUGUUGGAUAUUUCCACUCACACUCAAAUCUGAGGCAUUUGACACCUUCAAAUAUUUCAAGUCUCUUGUCGAAAAACAGUUUUCUUUAUCCAUCCAAACACUACAAACUGAUAUGGGGGGUGAGUUUAUAGCUUUCAGAUCAUUUCUCCAACAAGAGGGUAUUCAAUUUAGAUAUAGUUGCCCCCACACUCACCAUCAAAAUGGUGUGGUGGAAAGGAAGCAUAUGCAUGUUGUUGAAACUGGACUCACACUCUUAGCUCAAGCUCACUUACCUCUCUCUUUUUGGUGGGAAGCUUUUCAUACAGCCACUUACUUAGUGAAUAGAAUGCCAACACCUGUUCUAAACAAUUUAUCUCCUUUUCAGAAACUAUACAAUCAGCUUCCAUAUCACAAGUUUGCUAAAGUGUUUGGAUGUUCUUGUUUUCCUUUUCUUCGAAAUAAGUGAAAAUUAAACCUACAAUUCAAAAUAGAGGACUGUAAAUGCGUAUAAAUUGAAGAAGGUAAAUUUUGUGUGUGCGUAAAUAUUUUAGUUAACAACAAAAAAUUCUAACAAGUUAAUAUAAGAGUAUCAUAGCAGUACAAGAGAAUUUUUUUUUUUUUUUAAUGUUAAGAGUUAUCGUGAUACCCAAUAUAUAUGUGUGUGUGAGAGAGUGGAGGAAGAAAAAAAUAUUAAGAAUAGUUUUGGCAUUUUGAUGGGUUUUAUAGAGUAAAAUCUAUAUUUUCAAAUAUGAUAAUUCUUUAAUUUAAUUUGGUGUUAUGAAAAAAAAAGGGUAUUUUAAAUAUGUUUUAAGUUAUAAAUAACUCCAUCCAAGAUUUAAAAAUGAAAUCUUAGGGGGGAAAAAAUUUCACCCGAACUAAGGCCCAAAGUAGCCGCGGCAUUUUUCACCAAUUCUCCAAUUCCCAAUGUGGUCUAAUUAUUUACAAGGAAUAUGAGUAGGUGUGGGCACGGUUCGGUCCGGUUCGGUUUGGAUCGAAAUUAAGCAGAACCAAUUUAAAUCGGUUAUUUUAGAAAAAGAACUAAAUAAGAACCGAACUCAAUAAAAACCGAAGAUAAACGAAUCUUUUCGGAUUGGUUCGGUUCGGUUCGGUUUUUUCGGUUUUGGGCCUAUUGGGCCUAUUUUCAAUUUUUAAAUUGUUAGCCCAUUAGGCCUCAUAAAUGUAAUAAUUUUAUUCAACAAUUAAUUUAUCCUAAUUUCAUUACAAAUAUUAACAAUAAAUACAAAGUAUUCAAAACACAUUUUAUCAUUAAUAUCUUACUAACUACUAAUAAGGUACUUACAAAAUAUGAAAUAUUAAGAUUUCAAAAUACAUAAUCAAACUCCAAUACUCCAUCUACAUAAACAUAAUGUUGUAAAGAAAAAUAAAAAUAACAACAAUUAAAACUUACAACACAAAAUAAAAAGAAAAUUUGGAAACAAACACCAACAACAAUUUUUAAAUAUAUAUAUAUACCAGUAAUUGUGUGUGUUCAUGCCUAUUUUAGUUAUCUCACGCAACCAAUUAAAAUUUAACACGUGUCUAUUUAAAUAAAAUUUCAAGAAUAACUCGGUUUUUCGGUUCGGUUUUUUGGUUCAGCUGAGUGAACCGAAUAUCGAACCUGUAUUUCGAUUUUUUUUACAAACCAUAUAUUUCAGUUAUUUUUUAAAAUUAAAACUAGUCCGAACGGAACGGAAUGGUUCGAAUCAAUUUUCUCUAGUGCACGAUUUUUUUGCCCACCCCUAAAUAUGAGAUUCUCUACCACUCCAAUUUAUCCCAUUGUUAGCAAUCCUAUUAGCUGUUUUAUAUCCUAUUUUUAUUAUGCUCCCCAAACAAAUAUGUUUCACCUAAAGGUGCCCAACGGGCUGCACCGUCCGUCUCAAUGAGCGCACGAGAUGCUCCACAUGACACGGCAAUCUUUUUCUUUUUAAUGAGGGCGUGUCUGAUAUGCUCUUUCAAGUCUACAUACCUAACGUUCUUUUUUUAAGUGCAUAUAUUUUUUUUAAAGCUCAUGUGAAAUUCAGUAGUAAGAGAAUGCAAUACUAGUUAAUAAGUUAGAGCCUACAAAAUAAUAAUAAUAAUAAUAAAAUUUUCUUUAAGGGUUAACAUUUUAUUGUUAAUUUGAAUUUACAUACAGUUAUAGAUUAUAGUCUAUAAUAAUAUUAAUACUUACAAGUUUCAAAUUAAAAUUUAAUAAUUAACGUUUCAUUAACACAACUAUAUUAUCUAAUUUUGCAAUAACCAAUUAUAAUACAACAAUACAUAAUUCUAAUUUCAUAGACCAUGGUAAUAAAAUCUAUACGUUAAUGAAAAAUUUUAUUUUGAUAUACGUCGGUCUGCUUGUUAUUGAUGGCCGAUGGUCGUAUGCUAGCCUGCUAAUGAAGUGUGUUUAUUAUUGGUUUUUUCACGUGUCUUGCUUUACCACAUCUCUAGUCAAAUUGUGUUCUUAAAAUCCACAGCCUAACCUAGCCUCUGUGUGUGUCCUGUUGUGCCAUACUAUACAAACACGUAUCCAGUACAAUGCCACAUACCGGUCGGCCCUUAGCCAUCUCUAGUUUCACCCCUAAAUGAAAUCUAAACGGCUACUGGCAAGUAAGAAAACUUGUUAUUCUUUAUUUUGAAAAUAAAGGGAAUUGCUUAGUUUGAUAUUGUUUUUGGUAAGUCAUUUUUUUGUUUUGAAACAUUUUUCUGAGAUGUUGUUGUAUUUGGUGAAAAAUAAAUUAUUUUAUUUUAUACUUUUAAUGAAGAAAAGUAGAGAAAAACAUUUUGUUGUUUUCGACAACAUUUGCCUUAUAAGUGCACCCGUGCCAUUUUUUUCUUGUUUUAUUUGUAUGAUAAUUAUCAUGGACCCACGUAACUUUCUUUUGCAUUUAAAAUUUCAUAAUAAAUUAAAUUAGACAAAAGAAAUGAGUCCCACAAAUAAUUUAUUUUAUAAUUUUUUAAAUAAUACUAUUUUAAAAUAAAUUAUCAAAACAAAUUUCAUGUUCACUAAAAUUAAUCAUAUUCAUAUUAUAAAAUAAAUAUAAAAACAAUAUCUGAAAAGUAAUGCUAAAUACACUCUUAAAUUUUCUGUACAGCAUUAGAAUUGAUGAACAAUCUGACAAAGAUGCUGCGACUUAAGUAGGGAUGACAAUUAAAGCCGAAUUUGGAAAAAUUCAUGUCUGCAAAUUAAAAAAUGUGGAUUCGGAUAUAGAAAUUCGGAAUUCAUACGGAUCCAAAUAAAUUUUAUUUUAAAUUAAAAAUAUAUAUUAAAAAUUAAAUGAAAAAUUAAAAAAUAAAUUUUAUUUGUGGUUUUAUGAUGUUGUUGUAUAUUAUUCAUGUUGAAUUAUUAAUGGUUGGAUUAUGAUUGAAUUUUAUUUAAAAUUAAAAAUAUAUAUUAAAAAUUAAAUUAAAAAAAAUUAAAUUUUAUUUGUAGAUUUAUGAGAUUAUUGUAUGUUAUUCAUGUUGAAUUAUUAAUUGUUGAGUUAUGAUUGAAUUUUAUUUGAUAUUAUUAGGUAAAUUAUUGAAAUUUUAAAUUAUAUAUUAAAUUAUUUAAUCUUAAUUUUUACAAAUAUGAAUAUCUAGAAUAUCUGCCUGCAUCCGUUGCAGAUAUUAUCUGCUUCCAGAUCCACAUCUUUUUACGAAUCUAAAUAUAGAAAUAUGAAUGCGGCUCCGAAUCUAGAUUUUACCAACCCUGAACCUAAGCAUGAAUGGGCCUAAAGUUUUCACAACAAACAUGAAUCAUUAAAUGACACGAGAUGUUUUACAGCUCUCAUUAGUAUAAUUGAAUAAUUAAUUCAGCUCUAUAUUCAGUUUACACCGUCUCAAAUUGCAUGCAAAUAGGAAAAUGCACUUCUGAAUUGUUCACUUGAGGAAAAUUAAUUUUAACUCAAUAAGUCCUAAUUGUCCACGUAGAAUUUUAACUCAAACCAUAGCAAAUUAGACAUAAUUCUAAUUUAUAUGGGAAAUAUAAUUAGCAAAGACACUCUUUAUAUAAACAUUAUUGUCAAAGGAUGCCAAACCUAAUAAGAUUCAAGGUCUUAACAUACUUCAUAUCAAAUUUGAUCUUGGCGCGUACCGACACGCAUAACAUCAAGACUCUACUUCAUAUAUAAUAAUGUAACUUCAUGGAUUUUUCGCUCUCUUGUGAAAUUGACAAUUAUAGGCGAUGUGCCAGUGAGGCAGUGGUACAUAAAAUAAAGGAUAAAAGUUCAUUUAGUCCUUAUAUUUUAAUAUUAAUGUCUAUUUAGUCCCUGUAUUUGUUAAAAUACCUCGAAACAUUCCUGCCGUUAAAGUAUUGAUGCCCUUACUGUUACUUUUUAUUUUUUUAGCUUACUUUUACAAUAUUACCCUUUUAUAAUAAAUUUUUUGUUUGGACAUUAAUCAAAAUAAAAUAAUUAAUUAUCAAUUUAACCCUAAAAAAAUUAUAUUAAUUUUUAAUUGUCAAAAAUUAAAUUGUCAAAUAUCAAGUGUGCAAAUGGUGCUUGCAAAAAAAUUAAUAUAAUUUUUUUUAGGGUUAAAUUUGGUAAUUUAAUUAUUUUAUUUUUAUUAAUGUCCAAACAAAAAAAUUAUUAUAAAAGGGCAAUAUUGUAAAAGUAAGCCAAAAGAAAUAAAAAGUAAUGGUAGGGGUAUCAAUACUUUAACGGCAUGGAUGUUUCGAGGUAUUUUUAAAAAUACGGGGACUAAAUGGACACUAAUCUCAAAAUACAGGGACUAAAUAGACUUUUACCCUAAAAUAAAUGUUUAUUUUUAGAAUAUUAUUAUUUAUCUCAAUUUUUAUUUAAUAGUUAAUUUUAAUCCAUUCUUAAACUGUCAUAAUCAAUUAAUUUUUUACAUUAUCACAUCUUAAAUAAAUUUUGGAUCUGUAAUAAAUAAAAACUGGUAACGUUUGUUCUUUUAAAACAUAAAACAACCGUAACAUUGGUUUUUACAUUUUGAAUUUUUCUUGCAUCACUAUUUAUAAAAAUGAUGUUAAAUCAACUCACAAAAUAUAUCAAGCCAUCUAAAAUCCAAAUAUUAUUACAUUUGUAUUUGCAUUGUUAAAUUGUUGGAACGACGGCAAAGCAAUUGAAAAGAGAUUAACAAAAAAGUAAAGAUUGGCCAAGGAUUAUUCAUGUUUAGGAAAUGCCUUAACUUUUGAUAUAAUCAUUGUUAUAACAAUAAUGCUACACAUCCCAAAUUUUUUAUCCCAAAAAGUUAUCCCAAAUGAUAUGUCAUUAAUUGAGUGGUUGAUAAUUCUUUACAAGAUCCAAGUGAAUUAAUUGUAUUAUCUCACCAACCAAUUGAUUAAUGCCACAUCAUUUGGGAUAACUUUUUGGGAUAAAAAAUUUGGGAUGUGUAGCAUUAUUGUUGUUAUAAUUAUAUUGUAGAAAUAAUCAAUUACCUAAUGUUUGUGGUAGUAAAUAUUAUUAACUUGUUUUACUAUACCCGUGUUUAUGUUGGUCUCCUUUUUGUCCAUUUCUGUACAACGAAAUAUUUGUAUGUUUUGAUAGAAAUUGGUUUAAAUGACAUUUAAAAUAGUAUAUCCCCAGACAAUUGACGAAAUAUUUGGAUGGUAGGAUGAAGUAAUAAAUAGUUUUACAAAUUACCAUAUUAGAGGUAAAAAAAAAUCGAGAGGUUACUUGACAAUUAUGACGUUACUAACUACAAAUUUAACACAAAAAGUUUAAUUAACUUUUCUUUUUGAGAUGGCAAAAUCUCUGGUGUUGAAAACAAUGAGGUUUGAGAUUCAAGCUUGAAUAUCAAGUUACAAUUAGUAGAUGGUCUUAGGACAUAUCAAAGAUUUCUUUAAAGACAAUAAUAAUUACAAGCAAUAGGAAUUUAUGGUAUUCAGAACAUGUAUAUCUUCGCACAUGAAGCUUGAAUCCAGAACAAGAUGCAGCUAGCCAAUCCUUCAACUUCCAAAACCCCACAAAAUCUCUGUCAACAUGUCUGUUGUACUAAGCACAUUCAUAGGGGUAUCAACAGCUUACAGCUCCAAAAUAUUUUCCCCAAAAAGAGUUGAGAGAUUUCACUGAAGCUAAUUUGUGACUUGUGACUGCCCAAAUGUUCUAUAACACGGUAUGAUUAUUCUAGUAACACAAAUCCAACAGCAUGCAACAUAAUCUACUCUCUAACAUUGUGCAUUAGCAAAAUAAAACAGAGUAAAAAGAGAAACCAUGCCUGUGAAUCUCUUCUUUUCCCCCUGCCACCCCUUUUUUUGGUGAAGUCCAUCAAAUGAAAAUGCAGCAUGACCAUGUUGGCCACUGCCACUGCCAUUACUUCUUCAACUGUGGCUUUUGUUGCAGGAAAUAUUCAAGUGAAAGAUUGGAUUAUAUAAUUCAAGAUUCCAAUAAACCUGAGCUGCAAAGGUUGCCUUCCACUAGCCUAUCAGAGACUAUGCUUUCUAUUUUCCUAGUUUUUUAAUCAUAAUUUUGCAAGAUUUAUUUAUGGAAAACUGGGACAAAAUUUUAUGUAAGAUACCAUAAAGCCAAACACAAUCUUUUUAAUUCUCAGCAGCAAGAUUUAAAGUUAAAAAAGGGAAGCCAUAUAAAUAUAACUAUGUUUGGUACAAGUAACAAUUAUUUCAAGCUUUCAGAAAUGCUAGCAAGAGAUUGUAAGAGAACUUUACCUAGUCACAGAAUAUGUCAAACAUACUACCACCAACUGUCUUUAGCACGAUUGUUAUGGAAGUAGCUUUUGAAUCGGAAGAUUCCAGCUUCCACCAGGCACCAUUAUUUUCAUUCUUGAUACAAUCUGCAUCACUGGCAUUAGUUAUAUCAUCAACAUUUGCAUCCUCACUCUCAUCAUCCCAAUCAAGGCUUCUUCUCCAGCUCUGGAUUAUAAGUCCACUCCGACAUCUUCAAACAUCUCGGUCCUUCCAUUUGCCAACAACCGAUAUGGCUUCCUUCCUUGCCUUCCCCAUUAAUAUAUCACUCGAAGGAAAAAAAGCAUCAGCAAUUCUCUUCAACGCCUCAUCGUUUAUAACCCCCCAAAAAAAGGGUCUUCAGACACUUCAACUUUGCCUUCUGCAAAACCUCCACAAAAUCUGAAUUAUCCAACACAACAGCCAGACACUCAAUCCUUCUUUUGUCCAUCAUAUCCACCGUAUGAUUCCUCAACAAAAUAUGUACAGCUUGUGGCUUAUCUAACACUGUCUUGAUCCAAAACCCCGCUCUUUUCAACUCAUCUGCCAAACCAUAACCCACUUUUGGAGUCAAAAUUGUCCUUGCAGCCCUUUUAUAUUUUUCCAUCUCCAUCGAAUACUUGCCACUCAAAUGGAAUUACCAGACAGGAAUCCCAGUAACAAGUCCACUCAACUUCUUCUCAUCUGAUCCCUCUUUCACUCUGGCGGAAACAUUAAUAACCAUUCACCAGCCACAAAUUACCCAAGUAAGUACUCGUGUCGUCGACACUUACCCUUCACUUCAUCUACGCAAACGAGAAUUCAAAUUGCUUACUAGCUAGUGCUCGAGCAAAAGCCAGAAUAAAUUAAAUAUGUGUGUGUGGUAGCGAAGUUAUCUAUAUAUAUAUAUAUAUAUAUAUAUAUAUGAAGUUGGGACACGAGGAGAUGACGUGGCAUCACCAUUUCUCAUCUUUGUAUAUUCUCUAUUAUCUAAUAAAUAGAGAAUUUUUUUUUCAGAUUUAACUUUUCAUCUUCUCAUAAUUAAUUUAAUUGUUAUUACACAAUAACAAUUAUGUAAAAAUUUUAAUGAGGCAUAUUCUUUAUAAUGAACAUCCAAAGGGAAGUGUUAUGAAUUUAUUAAAAUAAAUGUAGAUGUUCAUAACAUAUAUCUCUUAUUCUCACCACUAUCUCUCAUUAGCAACCUUUAGCUUCCCUAUAACUCCCACUAUCUCACAAGGAAUUAUGAUCCAUAAUUUUUCAUUAAUUUCAUAGAGUGAUUAUGUAACUAUAAAAGGAGAGCUCAUCUUUUGUUCUGUACACACACAAUUAGAAUGAAUAAAAUCACUCUAUAAUAUAUUCUCUCAUUUUAUUCUUUAUCUUGCGUUGCUUCUUUAUUUGUAUUGCUGGUUAAUAGUUUUUUUUUUUUGUUUUUUAUAAGGCUGCCUCAUCUUCAAAAAAAAUCAAUUCAUAUUUUUUAUCAGUUUCAUAAAGUGUAAAGUAAAAAAAAAUAAUACUAAAUUCUUUUUUCAAAGUCGCAUGAAACGCGGUUCUAUUUUUUAGUAUAUAUAUAAAGCUGGAACUGGAGGAGGUGAUGUGGCAUCACCAUUUCUCAUCUUUGUAUAUUCUCUAUUAUUUAAUAAAUAGAGAAAUUUUCUUUUAGAUUUGGCUUUUCAUCUUCUCAUAAUUAAUUUGAUUGUUAUUACACAAUAACAAUUAUGUAAAGAUUUUAAUGAGGCAUAUUCUUUGUAAUGAAUAUCCAAGGGGGAGUAUUAUGAAUUUAUUAAAAUAAAUGUAGAUGUUCAUAACAUAUAUCUCUUAGUCUCCCCACUAUCUCCCAUUAACAAUCUUUAGCUUCCCUAUAACUCCCACUAUCUCACAAGGAAUUAUGAUCCAUAAUUUUUCAUUAAUUUCAUGGAGUGAUUAUGUAACUAUAAAAGGAGAGCUCAUCUUUUUGUUUUGUACACACACAAUUGGAAUGAAUAAAAUCACUCUAUAAUAUAUUCUCUCAUUUUAUUCUUUAUCUUGCGUUGCUUCUUUAUUUGUAUUGCUGUCUAAUAGUUUUUUUUUUGUUUUUUAUAAGGCUGCCUCAUCUUAAAAAAAAAUCAAUUCAUAUUUUUUUAUCAGUUUCAUCAAAUAUAAAGUAAGAAAAAAUGAUAAUACUAAUUUUUUUUUUCAAAGCCGCGUGAAACGCGGUUCUAUUUUCUAGUUAUACAAUAAAGCAAACCAAAAUAAAUUCUACACUCAUAUAUAUAUAUAUAUAUAUAUAUAUAAAGCUGAGACUUGAGGAGGUGAUGUGGCAUCACCAUUUCUCAUCUUUGUAUAUUCUCUAUUAUCUAAUAAAUAGAGAAAUUUUCUUUUAGAUUUGACUUUUCAUCUUCUCAUAAUUAAUUUGAUUGUUAUUACACAAUAACAAUUAUGUAAAGAUUUUAAUGAGGCAUAUUCUUUGUAAUGAAUAUCCAAGGGGGAGUGUUAUGAAUUUAUUAAAAUAAAUGUAGAUGUUCAUAACAUAUAUCUCUUAGUCUCCCCACUAUCUCCCAUUAACAAUCUUUAGCUUCCCUAUAACUCCCACUAUCUCACAAUGAAUUAUGAUUCAUAAUUUUUCAUUAAUUUCAUGGAGUGAUUAUGCAACUAUAAAAGAAGAGUUUAUCUUUUUGUUUUGUACACACACAAUUGGAAUGAAUAAAAUCACUCUAUAAUAUAUUCUCUCAUUUUAUUCUUUAUCUUGGGUUGCUUCUUUAUUUGUAUUGCUGUCUAAUAACUUUUUUUUUGUUUUUUAUAAGGCUGCCUCAUCUUAAAAAAAAAAAUCAAUUUAUAUUUUUUUAUCAAUUUCAUCAAAUGUAAAGUAAGAAAAAAUGAUAAUACUAAAUUCUUUUUUCAAAGCCGCGUGAAACGCGGUUCUAUUUUCUAGUUAUACAAUAAAGCAAACCAAAAUAAAUUCUACACUCAUGUGGGUGUUUCGUUCGCAAAAUCUGGACAAGAAAAAUAAUAUUGAUACAAUCUCCAAAUAAAGAGCAUUCCUCUUGGUAAAAUAGACAAAUCCUAUAAAUUUUGAUUAAUGGUGCCAAAUGAAAGAGUUGUAAUUUCAUGUACAUUUUGUUAACAUGAAUAAGGGUACAAAAUAGAUAACAAAGUGACAAAAACAAAGCUAAUCACAAUGAAUGAUAAGGCUUAGAGUAAACAAAAAGUUAUAAUCUUGAACAUAAGUGGCGCUCAAAGCCAUGAAUUUGAUAUCAUCCAUGAGGGGAGUUCAAACAAUAGCAUGUAAGAAGCAACAAGUGUUGAGAAAAAAAAAAUUUCAUUCUACCACAACAGAAUAAAUUGUAAAGAAAUCCCAGUUUGUAUAAAAGAAAGAAAACAAAAUUAAGGAAAACAUAAGCACAACAAAAUUCGACUGAUUAUUAAAAAUGAGAAAUGAGUUAUAAUGAGAAUUUUAGCUUUGUUGUGAAAUAAAUUGGGAAGUAUCCAAAGUACGCAUGUAAAUAAUAAAAAUGAUAAGAAGACGAAGGGAACAUAAUGAUAAUAAGCAAGCCAAAUAUUAAAAUGCAGAUUCUACGCUUCUGCCCCCCCAUACUUCAAGUUAGUGUCUCGCUAAUCAUUUUAGAUGUAUCAAUUACAAAGGGAGGCCAUCUAUUUAUAGUAAGCGUACGCCUCUAAUGCUUUGCCAAGUGUCCAUUGAUAAUAUCACAAGGGAAAUUAAAUUGGUGUAUGUGUAUUACACCUCCUAAAGUCAUGUUAAGAUAGUGUGCUGAUAAAGCUUGUUGCACGUGUGAUUGGUUAAGUCUGCUAGAAAUGCAAACGUGUAAAGCUGAGUCAGCAAGUUAGUUAAGGUUAUUAUGAAUGCUUAGAUUCAGCUCACGUGUAUUGUAUGUAAUACUUAGAUUCAGGUCAUGUAGAUUGUGUAAUCUCAAUAUAAAUACUUGAUGAUCAUGAUUCGACAUUCCUCACAGCAGGAGCUGUGGAUCUUUAGACAUCAGAUUUUAAUUUCUGUAAUGUUAAAUUUGGAUCCCAUAUUCGACAUUCCUCACAUCAGGAGCUGUGGAUCUUUAGACAUCAGAUUUUAAUUUCUGUAAUGUUAAAUUUCCCAAAACAUUAAAAAAAACAAUGCUGUAUACAUGGUGAAUGAUCUGGCGUAUCUAUAGGUAUUACCCAAGACAUUUCUGAGAACCUGAACUAGGAAUCCUUGUAUUUUUCUUUAUGUCAAGACAGUGACUUGAAGAUUUUAGAUUAUUUUUUUUGGCCAUUUUAUAAUUGUUGGCAUAUUGAACUUGAGUAAUUUUGAUAAACCAUAGUUCAGGAAUGUCUGAUAGAAAUAUUGGAGACUUGAACUUGAAUAUUAGAUUUGAAAUUAAAGAGGUAAGCCAUUAAAAUACAUCAAAGGAUUUGGAAAAUGGAGGAAUUGGAAUAUUGGUAUGAUGGGAUUACAAGAAAGGGAAACUUUUGCAUCAACAUCAAGCAUUGGGCAUUUUCAUUUGUCCUAUUCUAACACCAGUUAGGAAUAUCAACAAGGAGUUACGCUAUGAAUUAAGUAAUCUGCCAGUAAUGCAAGCAUUGAAUGUGAAGAGCUUCACAUAACUUUGAAUUAGCUUAUGAUUUAACACUAUUCCUUUUUGUGUGUGAUCAUGCAUUACGCCGUACUAGAUUUUUCUCUUUCUCUGCGGGAGAGAAAAGAAAGAGAAACAAUGGAUGCAAUAUAAAAAAAGUAAUACAUAUUUACCUAUUUAGUAGGCAAUUUACGCCAACGGUGACACUAUCACAUCAUGAGCGAGUUAUGUAAUAGUUCUUAGAUGAGAUCAUUCUUGCUGCAUUAUUAUUAGAAGUAUCUAUUUAUGCAAGAUUGAUAAUUUGAAUACACGUCCAAAUUAACAAGAGUUUUUAGGCAGUUUAAUUUAACUAACUAGCUAUUUAGAAUACACAUCAUAAUAAAAAAAAAGUACAAUUUAAGAUGUAUGAUUAGACUAUCUAUCUGCUCAAUCAAGACUGAGUGUGAUAUUUCCUCCGUAAACUCAUAGUUAGUUUUGUCACGCUUACAAAUCAAACUACAUUAACAUGAUUUAGGUAUUAGGGCAAGAUUGGAAAAAAAUGUCGAUAAUGCAAUGAUUAUGACGGAGAACAAACCUACAAACAGUACAGCGCAUGGACCUUUUUUCAAAAGAAAUUAUUCUUGAAAGAUAAAAAAAUUCCUUGCUUUUUACAUUAUUUUUUAAUGUAAAAAAUAUUCUCAGUUCUUGACUUGGUAUCAGAUUUUUACGUUACUAGAAAAAUCUAGUACGGCGUAAUGCAUGAUCACACACAAAAAUUUGAGGAGUUGAUGAUAAUCUCAAUAUAAAUACUUGUAAUCAACAAAUACAAUAAUAAGAGUCAUCAUUCUUCAUUUUCUCUCAGUUUCUCUCAUAUUUUCUCUGCAUCCAAACACAAUAUUCUCAGUUCUUGACUUGGUAUCAGAUUUGCAGUUUAAUUGUCAUGGCUUCCUUCCUUAAGCACAAAUUCAAACACAAAUCAGUCUCCUUCAUUCUUUACCGUCACAAAUGCGAUCAAACUGGACAGAUCUAACUAUACGAUAUGGAAAUCUCAGAUCCUCUCUUCAGUGCGUGCCAAUGGACUUGAAGGCUUUCUUAAUGGAACUAAAAUUUGUCCAGAUCAGUUACUUACUCAAGAGAUUGAAAGUUAUGGUGUUGAAAAUGCUGUUGUUGAAAGCUCAACUGAUAGAUCUCAGGAGAAUCCAGCCUUUGUUGCUUGGAAAAGGUAGGAUCAAUUGUUAUUAAGUUGGCUCAUGUCCUCCAUCAGUGUUGAGAUACUUAGUCUUGUGGUAAAUUCUGAUUCUUCUCAUAAACUUUGGACUAAUCUUGAAGAAAAUUUUUGGAUUAGAAACUAUGGCUAAGAAAGCACACUUAAAAAUGAUGUUAAGCAAUCUCAGAAGGGGAUCAAUGACAAUAACUGAGUAUUUUGCCAAACUUAGAGCUGUAACUAAUAAACUUGCUCUAACUGGUAGCCCUGUUUCUACUCUAGACUUUAUUAAUCAUCUAAUCUCGAGAUUAGGCCAGCCAUACUACCCUGUUGUUUUGUAUAUUGAAGCUAAUAUGAUGAAAAUAUUUGUCAAUGAAGCCUACUCUAUGCUUUUAACUCAUGAAGCAAGAAUUAAAUUUAAUCAUCCGAGUGCAAAUAAAGAAGCAAAGUUGAAUUAUGCUGCUAACAUAGCUUAGGCUGGACCUAGUAAUAACAAUAAGAAGUCUAGUAAUCAAGCUAAUUACUAUCAGGGCAACCAAGGUAACGGGAAUAGAAAUGCUCAUUGGUGUGGUAACAAUGGAGGAAGAGGUGGCUUUGGCAGAGGUUUUUCAGGGCAAGGAAGGGGUAAUUAGAAUAAUGGUGGUCAUUGAACAAUGGACCUUGGAGUAGUAGUCGAGCAGGUUAUAAUUGUUCUGAUAUAAACAUUAUGACAUGGUUGCUGGUGAACCUGUAAACAUAACCACAAAAGUAAGAAGGCAUAAUUUUUUUAUAAGAAACUCAAAAAUGUAUUAAUGAUGAAAAUUUUAAAAUAGAUAGUGGACCAUCUGUCCAGUAAGAAAACAAAAAACUGAAUAUUUGUGCUAUAAAAAGGCACACCCAAUCUCACCCCUAUAAAAGGCUAGAAUCAGCUACAAAUCCCUACCUCAAAACCCCAUCCCAGUUUAGAUGAAUGAAGAAAAAUGAUGAAUCUUGAAACUCCUUAGAAACUGAAGCCCAAAGUGAAGCAAGAAGAUGAACUCUAUCCCAAGCAAGCAAUAUGGCAUAUAUCUCCAUUAAUGGUUCAAAUAAAGUGAAUGGCUUUCUCUGAUGAGUGGGAAAUUGUCAAGAUCAAUAGUCAAACUCACGCAAAGUAAACGGACUUAAUUCUCAGAGGCUACUCAUUCUAAGUCUUAAAGAAAAUUUUUCUAAUUUCUAAAGAUUAUAUGGGGAAAAAAUCAUUAUUUUUAAGAUGGAAAAUUUGAUAUGGUGUUUAAUGUCUGAUCACAAUGAUAAUAUGAGUACUAACAAAAACAUCUUUAAUAGGCAUGGUGCGAGUAAAACACCUUUGUAAUGUACCUCAUCAAAUAUAACCCAAGCCACUUCGCGCGUAAUCUCUGAGCCUUUGUACUGCAUACUACGCCAGAUUUCAGUAGUCAUCACCUGAAAUUAAACUUCAUAUAAGCAAUCCACAAAUCAAAGCGCUGCAACACCCAAAAGAUGACACUACCAAGUUGACCUACCAAACAAGAAGCAUUAGGGUCAAUUGUGACAUCCCCAGUCAUCAAACCAACAUCUGAAACUCUUCUUUAAACUCUUCUGAUUGCUGAGUGCCUUAAUCGGUGAAGUAUAUAUCACACGUUGCUUAUUCCGCAACGACAUAGCAAUAGCAUACAAUGCUACCACAGUUUUCCCAGCAGAUGUAUGGGCCGAUACCUGUCAAAUAAAUGAAAGGCAAAUCCAAAUUAAAAAAAGAAAAGAAAAAAAAAACUAUUUUUAUUUUCACACAUGAUAACACUUCAUGCAAAAAUUCUUAAUUCUUAUCGGUGAGCUGAAAAGCAGAGCGCUUUGUACCAAAGCACUUCCAAAUUCGAAUUAAUGUUUUUACAAAAAAUUACAGCUUUAUAUAUUUGUAUGUGCGCGUGCGUAUAAUAAUAAUAAUAAUAAUUAACGAACCGUAACGGACUCGCCGUUGUCGAGGCACUUGAUAGCUUCGGACUGGAAUGGGUCGAGAGUGAAAGGGAAUUCCUUAGCAUGUUUAGCGUCAGCUUCAGCCACUUGACCAAGACGCAUUAAACAUAAAACGCGGCGUUUUCAUGGACUAGUACAUUCCAUGCUUCGAAAGUUUUAUGGUUUAGACUGAUUGGUUUGAUACAUUAUUUGUUUGUUGCGUUUUUCUUGCUUUAAAUAUUAUGUUGGAUACUUGGAUUGAUAAGUUUUGUACACGUUUAUAUUGCUCGCAGUAAAUAAUUUAUGACAUUUAAAAAACUAUCAACCGUCUAUCAAAAGAUUUCUACUAUAAAUAUAUAUACACAAAAAACUUUUAAUUUGGUCAAUUUGUUCUCUUAUUUAUUUUUGUUCUAUUUCUCUUUUCCUUUCCUUUCAUUUUAUUGUUUUAUGGUAUAAAAUAAAAAAAUAACCUUAAAAUUUAAGGUGAUGUUUGGUUGGGAGGAGAGAAUGUAGGAGAGGAAAGUAAUUUAAAUUCUCUUGUUAUUUCCAUUGUUUGGUUUGACAAAAUGUAUAAGAAUUAAAUUUUUAUUAGAAUUUAAUAUCCAUCAUAAUGUAGAAUUUGAAUUCCAUAUUAAGUAGCGAAGAAUUUAAAUUUCUCUUCUAUUAGAAACUAAAGGUUCCAAAAUUACCCUUCAACUUUUUAGCUUAUUUAAUGCCAUUAAUAAUAAUAAUUUAAUAUUAUAAAUGGACCUCCACCGGAAAGUCGCCGGACUACCCCCGGAUCUCGUCGGACCACCGCCGGAAGAUCGUCGGACCACUGCCGGAAAAUCACCGGACCACCGCCGACCUCGCCGGACCUCCGCCGCCGGCCACCGGAUCGCCAUUUAUAUAUAUAUAUAUAUAUUAUUACUAAUAUAAAUAGUUUAAUAUUUAAGGUAAAAGAUAAAUUUGUCUAAAGAAAAAAAUUAUAAUUCAUUUCCUUAUCAAAUUUUAUAUCAAACCAAACAACAAAAUUUAAUUUCACUACUCUUCUCUAUUCCUUUCUUCUCCAUUCCUCUCCAUUCCACUCUUUUCCACUCCUCCAUUUUCUUCAAACCAAACAUGACCUAAGGGUAAAAUACUCAUUUUACUAAAAUUCCGUUUAAUAUCAUAACGCUGUCAAUGGAAAAAUAUACGAGUGAUAUAAAUUAAAAACAAAUAAAUUGAAAGUUUUUAUGUAUUUUCCUUUUAUUUUUUUAAUAGCCGAUUGAGAUUUCCCUUCAUAUUUUUAAAUUCAAUAGGUUUAGACCGUUUAACAAAUCUUAAAUUAAAAAAACCCGCGGUGUAAUAACAAACUCACAUCAAACCCUGUACACUGUCAUCCCUAAUUAUAUUUACCACUUCAUACUCACAGUGAUAAUAACUGUGUAUCACAAUUGAUUUUGCAUACGGGUAAAAGUUCCAAGUCCGGAUAUUUAGUUAAUGAAAUUUGAUGAAAAGGGCAUGAAAGAAAAUAAGAAAUUAAAUAAUACAGGAGGUAUUAAUCAUUACAUAUUUAGUUAAUGAAAAUUGAUGAAAAUAUUUCUGCAGACGUGAGCCAUAAUUAUAUUACCGUUAAGAAUGAAGCAGAAGAGUUUCCCCAAACAAGCUAAAACACAGCACUUCAAUUUAAAGAAUUUUUAUAUCACAGUACCGGGGUAAAAAGUUUAAUGCAACAACAUACAUUAAGUUAAUUCCAUAAUCUAUCCCCAAAGAAAGACAAACACAAGCUUAUAAGAUUAAAACUUUGGAAAACAUUAGAGUCGGACAAAAUUGUGUAAUCUUCAGAGUUUGGAGCCUAGUUCAUCCAGGAAAGCAAAAGAAAUAAUAAUAAUAAUAAUAGUGGUGGUUUGAUCUCAAAAGGUGGCAUCAAAGUGGUAACUUUGAGGUAUUGGAAGCAAUAACGUCUUCAACUUUGUCCUGAUUUCGAAGUCCCUUAACCCAUCCGCCAUCAAUGGAUUGAAUGCUUCCAUUCAACCCAUCAUCCACAAAAUCACCAACCCGUUUCACCUUCAUCUCCUUGGGCUUAACAGGGUACUUUCCAGAGAAGCAAGCAAAACAAAAAAUCCGAGAAUCAUCGCCUAACAACUUGUUCAAGCUGUCAAUCGGCAGAAAAGCAAGCGAAUCACACCCAAUAAACUCCCUGAUUUCCUCAACGCUCAUCCUGUUGGAAAACAACUCCUCAGUACUUGGAGUGUCUACUCCGUAGUAACAAGAAGCUAUGAUUGGUGGGCUUGCAGCGUACCCAAGUGCAGCCACCACUCCAGAAUCUGGUACUGCAAUCACGACAUCACACUCAGCAGGAGCCUCGGUAGCAAGUACUUCCCCAAAAUGAUACCUCGACUCAUAAACAGACCUUCCAAAAACAACAGAAUUAGGCAAAGCAAAAUAAAUAUGCUCAACGAAGCACUGCUUAGGUUCAGGGUGAGGCAUCAAACAAGGUGAUUGAACCCCAUCUUUAUCCACCAUCAAAACUUCACCGGGAUAUACCGUAUGUGGCCUCAAUCAAAUAGUGCACAAGUCUCUGACGCAAAAACCAGAGCACCAUUACUCCUCCUACCCAUCACCAAUGGCAUAAACCCAUACGGGUUACGAACCGCAACAAGCUUAUCCUCAGUAACAAACACCAUUGAAUAAGCACCCUCAAGCUUCUCACAAACAUCCACAAUCCUCAAAAAGAACGGCCUAGCUUUCGAUAUCGGAAUCAAAUGGAGAACAACCACAGUAUCAGAACUAGUAUUGAAAAUGGAUCCAUUAUCUUCAAGCUUAGCCCUCAAAGUAUUAUAAUUAACUAAUGUGCAACACCAACAGAACCAAACCUGUACCCAGCAACAAAAGGCUGCACAUUCUUAAGCAUAGAACUACCCGCAGUCGAAUAUCUAACAUGACCAAUGGCCAUAUCACCCGGCAAUUGAUCAAGUUUAGACUGAUUAAACACAUCAGAGACUAAACCAACACCAGUAAUAGACUGAAGAACUUUGUUAUUCACAGCAACUAUACCUGCACCUUCUUGGCCGCGAUGCUGCAUCGCGUGUAGCGCCAAAUAGCACAAACGCGAGGCCUCUGGGUCACCAUAGAUGCCCAUAACACCACACUCCUCACGGGGCUUAUCGUCGUCAUCAUCAUCAAAACUGCCAAAACCGUCAUCUGGAUAUUCUUUAUUUGUGGUGAAAAACUCAGAGAUGGGGUUUUUUGAUAGAACAGUGAAGUUAUUUUUGUGGAUUAAAGAUUGUUGUUUCUGAGGAAAAAAAGGGUUUUUUUGCAGGGUUUUGGAGAAAAGAGAAAGAUGGGUUUUUUGCGACGGCUUAGGGUUAACAGAUGGAGAUGGGUUUGAGAGAGGGCAGAUGUUGGCGUGCCUGUUGUGGUGGCUGCCAUUAAUGGCUGAAUUUAUUCUAUUCUAUUUUAUUUAUUGGGUUGCCUUGCCCUUGCUCAAAGAAAAAACAGAGGAGGUGUGUGGAGGGAGACAGUGGCGAAGGGUACUUUAAGUAGAGGGGAACUUGUUCUAGGUUUUUUUCUGGAAUUGUGAGGGAAUCUGAUCCUGGGUUUGUGCAUAUGAUUCAAUUACUUAUAGGUGAUACUGUUGUGUCACCACAAAUUCUAAUUGGGAAGCUUCAGCUGUCAAUUUUUUUCCAAGGGUUAAUUAGGUAGAACUUUCAUGUCGUCGAUUUUAUUUGGAGAUUCUAAAAGUAGUUUCCAAAUAAAGAGAUGGACCAAAAUCAACAAUGUGACAAAGAUACUUUAGAUUUUUUUUCCUUGUGGGACAUGAAAAUUGAUGCAUGUUCCAAUGCAUUGCUCUAUCAGAAUUGGAAUUAAACUUAGUUUGUAUUCUCCUAUUCCGAAAGCAAAACUUAUAAGUGAUAUUAUAAGAAGAAGAAAUUAAGAACCAUAACAAAUUUGAUGAUUCUAAUUUGCUAGAAAUAUUGCAAUCCAAAACUAAGAAAGUUAAAACCAAUUAUUAGAAGAAAAAAGUAGGACGGAAGCUCCCAGAAUAUUGUUAUGUGUUGUAUUUUUUCAGUUUGUAUUUCCCAAUCAAUAAGGAAAAGUAAGUACACACGUUACAAAAAUUUAAUAAAAAAGAUUGGAGGUGACAAAACCGUCAAUUUUCUAAUUAACUUUCUCUCCUUUCGAAUUUCCUGAGUUUGGUAGAGACUGCUUAAGUGGUGUAUCUAUUAUAAACAAGCAAAACUAUGUUGCAACAGUGGUACGGUACCACUGUUGCAACAGUGGUACGGUACCACUGUUGCAACCAGCUAUUGAAUCUAUAGUUGUAUAGUUACAUUAGCAAGAUCCAAUAGCUAAACGAAACAAUAGUACCGUACCACUGUUGCAAUAUAGCUAGACCCAUUAUAAAUACCUGAAGUCAAAGUUAAUGUUUUAAUUGUUAAGAAAAGUUCGAAGAAGAAAUUUUUGUAUAAGAGAAUUGGGUUUAAAUUUAGAAUUCUUUGGAAGGAAAUGAGUCUAAAUUCCAAUAAUAUAAUUCAGCUCUAUUUAUAUAUAUCAUUAGUUGGGUGAAAAAUUAAUUUCCCUCAUUUGAUGUGAUUUUCAUCAUUUAUUUUCAUAUGAUGAUAAUUUUUUGUUUAGAGUGAAGUUAUUGGCACCCUUUCAUUAUCCUUAUAAAACCCUACUUCAAAUAAAAUUACACUUAAAGACAAUAGAAUUAAAUAACAUAGUUUUUUUUUUCAAACAAAUUACUCACAUUCAUAAUUUUUUUUUCUUCUAAUUUUCUAUAGGUUGCUUUGCAUCUAACUAAAAUAAAUUGUACAAAUUUAGAAUAAUUUAUUAUUCUUUUUAAAUUUCUUAUUGAUUAAAUAUUUGUGUAUUUAAGAUAGCUUUAAAAUUAUAAGAUAAAAUAUAUAUAAUUUAAGCCAAUGAUUAACAUUCAAAAAUUUCUCUCUCAUAAAAGUUUUUAAUUUGUGCGUAGGGUAAUAAUAAAAUUGCAAAAGAAAUGAGAAAUAGCAUAACACUAUUUUGAGUUUAAACAAUAAAAAAAUUAAAUGAAAAAUUAGAAGUGUAUUUAAAAAAAGGAUAUUUUUAAAAGUAAAAUAAAUAUAAUUAAAAAAAAAGAGUUUCAUGAGGGGUGCAAGCAAUAGUUCAACUCUUUUGUUUAUAAGUUUUAAGAUGUUGGUAUCCGUAGCUUAGCUUUUCCCUAAUUAUUAUAUUAAAAUGCAACAACAAUGAUGAUCAACCCUAAUUUCAUGGAGGUCAAAGAUUUUGGUCAUGCCGCAUUAAUUAGUUCGGUCAUACUUUCUACAAAUUUAUUUACAUUUAAUAAUUUGACCAAGACUAAGGCGCCGCCUGGAGUCAUAGAAUUUUAUAUGUCAAAAAUGCAUUUCACUUCAAUUAAGCCAUAAAUGUCGUUUAAUAUGCUUAUUUUGUAUUUUUUUAAAAAGUUUUAUUAAUUUUUUUUGUUUUUAAAAAUAUCAUUUAUUUAUUUUUAAAUUUUUUUUUUUAAAGGUAAAUAAGUGGGUAAAGUUCAAAUUCAAUUUUUAUCCCUUACGUCAUGGCUCCUAAGAUUUGAACUUAAGUGACCAAAUGUAUAAUAAUAGGCAUCUCAAAUAUCAUUUCUAAUUAUAUGUAAUUUAUUAAGUGAUUGUUAAUCUUUACAAGAUCCAAGUGAAUUAAUUGUAUUAUUUCACUACUAAUUGAUGAGUAUCAUAUUAUUUGGAAUAACUUUUGAAUAAAAAAAUUGUGAUGGAUGAAAUAUUCUUUUGAGAAUUUAUUGACUUAUCUCAUUUAUGAUUUAUUGUUGCAUUUAAGUGAUAUUGCAAAUAAUUUUUCCAAUAAUAUUAUUGUUUUGACGAGUAAGUUUGGAGUAAAUAAUACAUAUGGCAAGUGUGAGGUUUGUUAUUGCAUAUAUUUUGUGGAUCCAUUUUAAAGCCAAAAAAAAGGCAUUUCAAUUCAUUAUGAUUCCAGAUAAUUUCAAGCCAUAUGUCAUUAUUGGGAUAAAAAUAAAGUAAAAUGAUUAAAACUAUUUUUAUGUAAUUUAUAAAAAUUAAUGAAGCAACUGCAAAAAUUUUUAAACGAAAAACAAUUGAAAUGUGUGUGGAAAAAGAAGAAAAAAAUAAGGCAUUUAAAUAUCUUCUUAAAAAAUACGAUUGAGUAAAAUCAUUUUAACAGAAUGCUCUUCGAAAUGCAAUUCCACAUUAUUUUUUUUAUUGCAGUGGGAUAUUCCAAAAUUGGCACAACUCAUUAAGAAUUCGGCAACUAAAAUUUUAUUUAUCACUCUAUGCAUUUGACAAAUUAAAAAGAAAAAAAAAUCAUAUAUCUUCUGUUCAAAAGAAACCUUGGUAAAUAUUGUAAAACAAAUUACCAAUUUUUUUAAUUUAUGCCAUUAUAUCGUCGCUAUUUUCUCGCCCACUUUCUUAAAAUAGAAUCAAUAUUUAUUGAUGGGUUGGGUUCCAAAGUAAGUACCAAUUCAACAAAAUGGUUUUAUAGCAGAAAAAACACUUGUAAGACAUUCAGAACACAUUUUUCAAUUUUGUCUUUUGAAAAUGAGUCUUGAGUUUCCACAAGCCAAGAAGAAUGGCUAAAAAAUGUAUGGUAUCAAAGAAAGAGAAACACACACACACACAGAGAUUAGUGAGGAGAUAUAUGAGUGUGUAAUUUGUAUAUAUAUCCCCAUUAAUUGUUGAUAGUCCAAUGGGUAUAUGCAAAAGGAAAAAAUUGGCUGUCCUUUUAAGACAAAAUUGACUGUCACAUGAAAAUGUUAGCACACUUGCCACGCAACGAAAAUAAAGAUUCCAAGAACAAACUUUAUAGUCCCCUUUCUGUCCAAACAUAUGCGAUAGAAAUUAGUGUAAACGACACUUGAAAUAUAUAUGUAGAUCCUCACACAAUUGAUUAAAUAUUUAGAGUAGGAUGGAGUGAUAAAUAGUUUCACAAAAUUAUUGGAAUUAACUACUUAAUACAUGAGAUCUAUCUCAUUAAGUAUAAAAGAUUGAGUGCUGCUUCAAAAGCAUGACGUUGCUGGCAACAAAUUUAACACAAAAAUUUAAUUAACUAUCCUAGUUGAGAUAAUAAAAUCUUGUGUUGAAAACAAAAGGUUUGAGGUUCGAACCUUCUCAUUCAAGAAAAUCAAGUCAAAAUAUUACAUCUUCCAGCACAUAUCAAAGAUUUUUUCAAAGGCAGACUGAUAAUUCAGGGUAAAACAAAAAAAAACACAAGGACUAUAUGCUAUUCAAGACAGGUAUACCUUGGACAUGAAGUCUGAAUCCAAAACAAGAAGCACCUAGCUGAUCUUUCACUUUCAAUUUCCAAAAUCCAACAAAAUCUUUGUCAAAAUAUCUGAUCUAGUCUCAUAUUAAGCACAUUCAUAGCCGUAUCAACAGGUUCAAAAUAUUUUCCCCAAAAUGAGACAGAGAUUCCACUGAAGUUGAGUUGUGAAUGUCCCAACGUUCUGUAAUUAUAUGGUUCAGGAUACCAUGCCUAUUAAUCUUUUUUUUUCCUUUUAAAAAAAGGAAGCCAUAUAAAUAAUGCUUAAAACAUUAUUUGCAACAAGGAACAAUCAUUUCAUGCUUUCAUGUAUUAGAAACUUUCCAAAAAUGCUAGCAAGAAAAUGAAAUGGAACUUUACCUAGUCACAGAAUAUGUACUGCUGUUAGCCCAAUUGUUAUGAAGUGGCUUCUGCAUCAGAAGAUUCCAGCUCCCACCAAACAUUGUUAUCUCUCUUCUGAAUACAAUCUGCAUCGUUGGGCAUGAGUUAUAUCAUUAAUGUCUGCAUCCUCACUUACAUCAUCCCAAUCAAGUGCUUUUUCUCCAUAUCUGGAUUAUAAGUCCACUCCAAUCUCUUCAAAACAUCCUAGUCCUUCCAUCACAACUGAUACGACUUCCUUCCUAAUUACUUUCCCAUUAAUAAAUCGCUCCAAGAAAAGAAAGCAUUAGAAAUUCUCUUCAACACCCCAUCACUCAUAUCCCCUACAACAACCCUCUUCAGACACCUCAACAUUGCCUCUUGAAAGACCUCCAUAAAAUCCGAAUCAUCCGACACAACCACCAAACACCCAAACCUUCUUUUGUCCACCAUAUCCACCAUAUAAUUCCUCAACAAAACAUCGGCAUCUUGUGGCUUAUCUAACACCAUCCUGACCCAAAACCAUGCUCUUUUUAACUCAUCUGCAAAACCAUAACCCACUUUUGGAGUCAAAAUUGCGCUUGCAGCCAUUUUAUAUUUUUCCAUCUUUAUUGAAUAGUUGCCAACCAAAAGCACUCUCACAUUCCCUCUAGCUGAUUCUAUUUGAUUCGACCUUUUCUUUUGUUCCUCAUGAAUUUGCCUAAAAUGAUUAACAAGUUUGUCAUUAUUAUAAAAUCUCCUUCCACAAUCACCAAUACAUACGGCUUAGCAUGCCUAAUUACACCCCUGAUUUCUAAUUGGUUAAACAAUUCUCUUUCUUUCUUUGCUCUCUUACAACUUGAGGCACAUAACUAAACGCGUGGCUAUUAGCAUUUGCCACCAUGCAUUUAACAACCCCAAAUGAAGAUAUUAAUUUUUUUAGUUUAAUUGCUGCUUCAAAAUGGGGUACUGAAUUUGGAUUUUGUUAUCCAAAUACCAAAAAUUUCCCACAUUGUGAUGGACAGUUUUUAGUUCUAAAGUUGAUGACUGGUUUUGCGAAUCAGGCUUCAAAUGAGAACUUCUAAACAAUAAGACAAAUGAGUUUUUGAGUUUCUAAUCUUGUAAACUUUGUUCUAUUGUAUAAGUUAUGAAAUCGCUGAAACAUCACUACAGUUACAGGUCUUUAUGUGUCAAUGAACUGCAGAAGCCGAUCUUCACGUUUUCACGCGGAAGUGCACAUUUGUGAGGCGUACUCUUCAUGCACGAGGACGUGCAUGGUCAUGGCGGUGGGAGAAUGUCACGGACCGCAAUCGUGGCACCCAAGAUAUGUGCUUGUAUGCUAAUGUCGAUUAUGGUUGUGCUGAUUGUUGGAGACGUGCUUCAGGGGCGUGCAUGUGGGGAAUAUAAUGGCCCUAGACUCUUUGGAGUUCAGGCAGGCCAACCCGGUUUAGUUUGGGGAGCUUGUUGCUAGUCGAGGACUUAACCUUGAAGAGGGGUCUAGGCAAAACCCUACACACACUAGUUGGGAACUGGAGUCGUUCUCCUAACAAGCCCAAGGCAGGGCGAAACCAGUCGAUAUUGUGCCACUUCCACUAGGCUUACUCUCGUAGUAUGGGAUGCGGGAGUGCCGCACGGGUUCAAAACCUCUCGUCUCGUGACACUCUGCUCAAAAGCUAUGCUGCAAGAUAUAACAUCUUUGCAAUGUUAUACUUUCUAAAAGUAAUAAGAAAUCAUUUUAAAAAAAAGUAAUAAGAAAUGAAACCAAGGGGUAAAUCGAACACCAAAAGAAAUUUAGUCGGCCAACCACAUUAUGUUCCCACACAGUCCACUAAUUAAGUUAAUAAUUAAAGGGAAUCAAAAUCUAAGAAAUCUCAUCUUCAAGCAGAAUACAAACACACCGCGAUUGAAAAUCACAAAAUCGUAAAAAGAAGUUGACUUGAAAAGGGGUGGGCCGCCUCAUUUGCCCACCAACCACACCACACACACAAACACUCCAGCACACACACAAACUCUCUAGCUUUUGUAAAAAACUCUCUUGUAUAUUCUCUCUUUGUCAGUAAUAAAAUCAUAUUCAGCCCUAUUGCUCUACUUCUCUCUAGCAUUUUCCUCAAGUGUUCUUGCUUCGCUAGUUUGAGGAGUGGUCUAGGCUUGCUUAGCAACUUGUUUGCUACAAGGACAUCUUGGUCACAAAACAUGGACAUGCAAGGAAAAAAAAAAUAUUGAUACGUUCUAAAAAUAAUACGCAUUCUUCUACAGUGAACCAAAAAAUUUAGGCUAAUGGUAGCAAGUGAAGGAAUUGUGAUUUCAUGUGCAUUUUGUUGACAUGAAGGUAAAGAACUUUUUUAUAGUUUAUAUUGUUUAAUAUAACAUUUGAAUUGCAAAAUAGGGGUACAAAAUAGAUACACGAAGGGAUAAAACUAAGCUGAUUAUGAUAAAUAUUGAAUUAUAAGAUUUAGGUUUAAUCAUAAAGACAUAAGUGGCCCACAAAGUCACGAAUUGAUAUCAUACACGAUGCAAGUUCAAACAACUGCAUAAUAAGUUGCCCCAAUCUAAACUAUUAAUCUAGUAACUAUUCUAGUCGAUGGGGGAUAAUUUUCCUAUCACCAUUUAUCACGUGCAAGCCAAAUUUGUUGCUUGGUUCUUACAUGUGGUAAGGUAAUAUGAAUCCACUUGUGCAUAAAUUUGGCUCCGAUAUUAUAUAGAAGCUUAUGACCCAAAAUUAUACUUAAAAGUUAUUUCAAGAUUUGAGGGUUGCCUCAAGGUAAUAUUAUUAUUAGCCUGGUAACCCUUUUUUUGGUUGAUAUGUGAUAUUUUCCCUAUAACUUUUAUUAAUCUUUAUGCCUAUGUUUUGUCAUUUAUCCCAAAAUAUAACAUUAACAAAAGUUCCAAAAUUUCCUUCAAGAGAUAUACUUGAGACAAGUAAUUUGUGCAAUAACUUUGUGAAUUGAUGAGCAAAUUCAGAGAAAAGAAUAUAUGUGCCAAACGUAAUGUUUAUUAUUGUGUUUAUUUGUAGAGCUAUUUAAAGCCCCAAAAAAAAAAAAAAAGCACCGGUCCGCUAUUAUUUCAAAUAAGUUCAAGCCCUAUGUCAUUAUUGGUACAAAAAUGUAUUAGAAUGGUUAAAAACUAUUUGUAUUUAACUUAUAAACUUAGGAAAUUAUCAACUGUCCACCCUUAAAUUGCAUUGUUAUAAAAAAUAUUACAACAUUUUCAGGUUGUAUCAUUCAUCUACCAUAAAUUUACAAUCUGCAUCAUUUAUCCACCAAAUCAUUAACUUUGUUAAAAAGUGAUAGACGUCACAAGGGUAAUUUAGACAUUUAACACACACAAAAAUAAAAGAGAAAUUAUCUAAGCUUACCAUGUUAUCAAAAUUGCUACAAAAUUUUAAAUUUAUUCAAUUUUCCAAUCUAAGUUUAUGCCUCCAAGAUGUUAAUUGCAGUUUGUAAUUAAUGAGUUCAUAAGGAUAAUUUAGACACUCAAUAUGCAAAAUAAAAAAUAAAAUAAUGGCUUAAAACAUUAAAACAAAAAACUUGAUAUUCAAUUAAAUACACAUAAACUCUAUUUUUUUCUUAAUUAAAAAUAUUCUAAUUUUUUUUCUCAAUUUAUCAUCAUAAAUUUACAUUAAUAAACUAAAUCCACAAAUUACCCUAAUUCAUAAAUGCCCAAUCAGUCUAAUAGUUUACUUCGAUUUCAUAAUUAAAAAAGCUAAAUUUAUUAUAUUAGUUAUGGUGCAAAGUCAAAAAUGCCCUUAAAUUCAAGGGUAAAAUAACAUUUUAUUUAAAUUCUAUAAAUUAUUCUAACAAUGUUAACAUUUUGGUGGACGGUUAAUAUAAAUUGCAAACUUAAAAUAGAAAAUCAAAUAAAUUCAAAUUUUCAAACUAUUUAGGGCAAAUUUAGGAUAUAUGGUUAAUAAUUUUCCCAUGUCUUUUUACAUUGGUUGAUACAAGUUACAAACUUAAAAUAGAAAAUCAAAUAAAUUUAUAUUUUCAAACUAUUUAAGAUAAACUUAGGGUAUAUGGUUAAUAAUAUUCCUUUAUCUUUUUACGUUAAAUUGAGUUUCAAAGGUAAAAUGAUCAAUUUAUUAUAAUUCUGUUAAUUUUUUAGUGGAAACAAAUGAUAUAAUAGACGAAUGAUAUAAAUUGUAAAAUUAAGGUGCAUGAAUGAUACAACUUUAAAAUAUUGUAGUAAUUUUAAUAAUAGAACAAUUUAAGGGUGGAUUGGCAAUAAUUUAAACUUUAAUGAAGCAGCUAAAAAAAAUUUUUAACAAAGAAAAAUAAUUGAAUGCUUUGUGAAACCAAAAAUAAUUGAAAUGCUUUAAGAAAAAUAAAGGAAAUUAAAUAUCUUUAUAAAACCAUAAUUGAGUAAAAUCAUUUUACAAAAUGCUCUUUCAAAUGCACAUUCCACAAGCCAGGGAGAACGGGUGGCUAACAAAAAUCUCACUUUUUAUGAGUUUAUAAAAUCUCACUUUUGCAGAAUCCAAAAAUAGCCAAUACUAAUCACACAAAAAAUAAAAAUUAUUGCUGUCACGACAUUACACACUUUCUUCGCGGUUUAUAAAGCUAGAACAUUUUGAAGUUCCUCAAUACAAAAUGCGUGCUGCUACUAAAUUGGCCCAAUUAAUGCCCAUCGAAAAGGCCAUCAAUUUAGCCAUCAAUUUUGUCAAAAUUUCAACAAUUAAGAAACAAUGAUCGCAAACGGAACAUGUGAAUUUUGAAGUUGAAGAAAUCUUGAGAUACAUACAACAAAGCCUUGAAACUUUAUUCUUCACAAUUUGAGCACGCACUAAAUAUUAAACAAGUAUAGAACAAAGCUUAUUUUUAGCUUCUUGUGCGAACUGAACACGCUGAAUGAAGCUUUUUUUUUUUUGGAUUUUUGGAAUUUUUUAAAGUCAUUUAUGUUCGCUGCCAUCUUUUUCUUCGCUGGCGUCUUCCUCUCGGGGCUGGCAUCUGCCUCGUCUGUAGUUUGCUGUGCCUAUAUAUCCAACCAAUAAAUUGGGCAUUAAAUACGAAUGAAUGAUGAAUAAAAUGAUUAAAAAAAAACAGAGAAAAUUAUAAUAUAACACAUAUAUAUUGAAAGAGAAAUUUUGAUUUUAGGAUAGAUCAAUUAGCUAUCACAAACGAAAACAUGAACCAACUGUGUAUAGAGUCAAUUAACUAAAGUUCUCAAGAGUUGACCUGUGCUCCUGAAUUCUUGGACUCAUCUAUCUCCUUCUGAAUUUCCACGAAGCUUGGGACAAUUACGAACAACUUUAUGGGAUGCAGAUGGAAAUGGGAUCUGAUAACCCGCAGGCCAAAAGUUGGUGAGGUUUGGUAAGUCUUCCAGUAUCAAGUCCCGAAGUUCAUUCAUAACAAUUUCAUUGUAAUCCGUGACGUCUGCUCCAUCUUUAUGCCAGAAUACUUCUUCUAAUUCAUCAUUAGCUGCUAUACAUAGGUGCUUCAGUUUUUGAAGACUUUGAGCUAUGCUGAUAUGAAAUAGAUGCUUUAGUUUGGGGCAAUCAAGGACAGCGAUAUUUGUGAGUUUUGGGAAACAAACAGGUUGGAGAUGAUCCUCAUCCUCAUCCUCAUCAAUGAUUUGCUCUAAUUCCUGACAAUUCACAAUAGAUAACACCUCCAAUUGCAACAGAUUUCGAGCAAGUGUUGAUGAGAAGAGACGUCUCAGCAUAGUGCACCCGUCCACCCUUAAUCUGGUAAGACUUUGCAGGCUAAAAUUAUGCGUGGGACCUACGUGAUAUAAUACUUGCAGUUCUCGAAUGUUUUCCAACCACAACGACUUCAAACAUGGGAAUAGUUUAUUUUCUUGUCCCUCAGCGAUAAUAGCUUCCACUUGAAAUACCACCUGUACUCCAAUUUCCAAAAUAUUCAAUUCUUCCAAAUUUUUUAAGCCGUGCUUCAACAGUGCUGGAAUCGUGUCACUCAAAUGGGAACAAUUGGCCACAUCUAGAGUAUUUAAGUUCUGAGACAAAUAAAUAAAUAACUUGAUGCAAUUAAAAUCUAUUAGCAGCUAGGAUUAUCACAUGAUAAGUGAUGAACACCGCAAAAAUAUCAUAAUACAUAUGUAAACUAAUAAAAUAAUUAAAAAGUAAUGGAUUUAAAAAAAAAUGAAAUUAGUUAAAAGAGAUCAUGUGAAGUGAUAUAAAUGUGACAUUAUAUUGUUUGAGAAAAAUUAGUAUUCUAUUAAUUUCUAUGGAUUGAUCAACUAAUUAAUUGAAUUUGAGUAAUAUAAUAUACACUUCAGUAGUGUUUGCAUCAAUUCUUUCUAAACCGAAAUGAGAUAUGACUUUCAUUUGAAAAAUGAUUUUAGGCCCUAAAAUAAAGGAAUUUCCUUAAGAUAUUUGAGCAUUAUUAUUAUCAUCAUCACAUCCACGAUCAUCAUCAUCUCCAUAGGACCAAAUAAUUAAUGGCUGAUCAUAAAAUUUAUUGCUAAACUAUCAUUUCGAGUAAAAUUGAAGGAAAAGAAAAAACAUAAACACAAACAAACAUACCUCUUUGAGAUAUUGCAAAUUGGCUUUAAGUUCAGUACUGUUGAUGGUCAAGUUGGGACAGUCAUGAAGCUGUAACUCUUCCAAUGCUGUCCAAAUUGAACAAUAAUUUUCUGAACAAAAGCUCUUGAGUUCUGGGAGUUCUUGAAGUGUUAAUCUUCUCAACAAGGGGAGGGCGAGCAUCGUAUUUCCACCUUCGACACUUAUUUCCCCUUCAUUGUGAUCAAACUUUGCUUCGACAAUACAUUCCAGUCUCUUGCAAAAAGUCACACUGAGACUUUUAAGCUGCUCCAAACUUCUAGCUUGUGACAACGUGAAGAUAUAUGUCAACUUGUUGCACCUUUGCACAUUCAAUUCUGUGAGAGUUUGGAGGCUGAUCACAUGUUGGGCGGGCGCCUUCCAUAUCCACUUCAGUUCUGGUAAUUGGAACAUAUUUAACUCUACUAAUCUUGAGAGACUCUUUCCAUGCAGCGACUUAGAGGCAUCCAUUAUGCAUUCUAAAUCUUCGCAAUCGCGAACAUCAAGACAAGUCAACUCAUUUAAGCCCCUUUCAUCUAUGCUUGGCACAAUAUUAUGACAACCUAUUAACCCCCUCAAACGAAGAAAUUUCAGAUUUUGAUACAAUGCUGAAAAAAUAACGAGCGAGGUCGCCACUUCAUGAGGGUAAUUCUCAAUGAUUAAGCUCCUUGUUUCAUCACCAUGUUCCAUGUCAUGAUCAGAUAAUUGACCAUUACCGAUGACGUACCUUUGCAUUUUCGGGAAUGUAAAGUCUUUUGGAAGACAUAUAACUUGGGAGUUCAACUCAGCAAGCCUAGCAUUACUUUCUUCUGAACUCAUCUCUUCAACCUCCCAAUCUUUUAUCCGACCAUAAAAUUCUUCCAAUUGAGGAAAUUUUUUUAUUGUAAUGGGAGAAACAGAACCAGUAUCAAUAUAUAGAAGUUUCAAUCUACCAAGUUCAUCCGACGACAAUUCUUCAGGAAUUUCAAUGGGAGAUGACUGGAGAUAAAGAAGUUCAAGUCUCUUCAACUUUCCAAGAAAAAACGCGUCACUCACAUCACACCGAAUCAACUGCAGAACCUGGAGGUUGGUGAGGCUCUGAAGCGAUUUAAGUGAAAGAACUCCACCUAUUAUAGUGACAACUUUCAAUGCUGGCAUCCCUUUAAAAAAAUGUUCUGGAACUUGCAAUCGGUGGUCGUAUUCAGGAUUCUCCAAUCGCAAAAUAUGAAGGUUAGGGCAUACCAAACUACUAGGAAGCUCUUCUACUUUAUUUCCCAUUACAGAGAUUCCUCUGUAUUGUUCCAGGCCUUCUUCCAUUGCCCGUUCUGCCAAUCCAAUGCCAACUUUACUAAAAAAUUUCUUCUCCACUAGUACUUCUGAGCCUAUCCAUAUGGCUACAUCACGAACUAUGUCAUGCAUUUUCACAGAUCUGUCAUUACCAGUGUCUAACAGUAGUGAAGCAGCUUUGAGUCCGUCAAUUGUUCCAAGCAGUAGGCUUCUGGUGUUCUCUAUUGACUCAGCUUGAUACCAAGUCAACCCUACUGCAUAUCCAACCAAAUCCUCCAAAUUAAUCUCAUAAUCUUCUGGAAAUAGCGAACACAACAAGAAGCAUAACUUGGAAUUGUCAUCAUUCAAUUCGUCGUAACUAAAUUUGAGACAACCGUAAACGUCUAAGUUCUCCUCAUCAAUACCUUCUAUUGCAUAGAGUUUUGCAGCCUUUAGGUUAUGUAGAGCUAGGUUCCAUUCAUUAAAUCUUUUUCCUCUUAGUGCACUUCCAACAGCUUCAAUAGCUAAAGGCAGCCCCUUACAUUCUCCAGCAACUUCUUUGGAAACAUCAUUCAAGGUGGAGUCAUUUACAUUAAUUUUGGCAUUUUUUCGCAGUAAAGCCAAUCCUUCUUCUGGCGUUAGUGUACUAAGUGGAAUCUGUGUGUCACAACCCAAAGAAUCACAAACUGACUUUUUGCGAGUGGUUAGAAGGAUUUUGCAACAAUUAUCUCUACCACCGACGGUAAUACCUAAUUUUUUCUCCGAGUCGAGUGGUUUCCAAACAUCAUCAAGGAUUACGAGGAUUUUGCUGCUUUUACUCUCAGAAAACAUCAAGCGCAAUCGGUCUGCUCUCUCUUUUUCAUCUUUCUCAUUUAGUGCCCAGCCUAACGACUUUGCCAACUCACCUUGAACCUUUAUUAUAUCUAGAUCCUGAGACAUAGUGGCUAUCCCCACCUUAUCGAAAAGCUUUUGUUGCCGAAGUUGAUUGCCCACAUAUUUUGCCAGGGUUGUCUUUCCUACACCACCGAGACCAUGCAAUCCCACCAUCUUUGUGCUCUCUUUUUUCAGUGCGUCAAUGAUCUGAUUGCAAGCGGAUUCUGUGGUCUUGAAAAUAGAAGUAAAAUGCCUUGGCAAACUUAAUUCUCUUUCUAAUGGUAGAGGUUUAGGAGAGGCAACUGUGUUGAAUUGGCUGCAGCCUUGUAGCAGAUCGGACAACUUGCUAGUCUUCUCUGAUGCUUUUCUGCCCAGACGAUAUCGGCAACACCAAUUAGGACACAAUCCAUGAAGACUACUAUCCUUUUCAUCUAUCUCUGCUUUCAACUUCCAAACAUCGUCCAAUUCUUCGACUCCAUUAUUCAGCCACUCCAUUACAUUUUCAUCGACUACUAUGUCGGGGCAUUUUCGCAGUUCAUCGUCUAUUCUUGUUUUGAUGCCAUCUCGUGCCUUCUUCAACUUAGUUUCUUUAUCCUCAAGUUCUUUAACAAUGCUGUUGAAACAGAACAUAUAGCGAGCUUGGUCAAUGGCUGCAUUCACCAAUAAUUCUUCAACCUUUGAUUUUAAAGCUUCCAUGCUAUUUAUCUGCAAAUAACGAAGUUGAUCUCAGCACACUAUUAGCGAAACAACAAGGCUUGAUCACCAGACAAAAUGAGAACGUUUAAUUACCUCUUUCUGCACUGUGAAUGCACGUCUAUUAACACCAGCUUUGACCAAUAAGAGCAAAAUGCAGAGGUGGGGCCUUAAGAGUUUCGGUGGCCUUUAGCUGCAAAACGGCAGAUGACAAAUAAGGUGAACGUUCCUAGCAAACGUGAUUUACGGUGAAUUAUAUUCAAAUUAGAUUAUUUUAAAAGUUGGUAAAUUAUUUAUCACUCUAUCUUAAUGAUACCUUAUUUGGGAUGAUAAAGAUUGGGGUAAAUUCCCUUUUAUUCUCACAUGUUUAUAGUAUUUAUAUUUUUAUAAAUUACCUAAAACAUCCAUGUAACUUACUUUUAUAGCUAUUGAACAUAUCAUUUCAAAUAUAAAAUACUAUUUCUGUCUAAUAUAAAUUAAAAAUCAAACAAAUCUAUCAUGCAAUAAAUGAAAAGUAAAGAAUAUUAAUUAGGUUUUAAUGGAAACAAAUAUAAAACAUAGAGGUUUUGAGUAACUUUUGUAUUUUUUUUAAUGUUCAAUUUAGAAUUGAAUAAUUUGCAUAAUGAAAUUUUGAGGUUUCUAUAAUUUAUAUGAAGAUAAACUGCGAAAUAAGUUUAUAUGCCGAAAUUAAAAUAGUUAUAUAUUAGCAAUCAUAUAAUAAUAAAAAAUUUUAAUAAAAUUUAUUUAAAAAUUGGCCAAUUGUGUUUCAUGAGUAAAACAGAGAGCAUAAUGGACUUAUGUUGGGUCUUGGGAUUGAAAGACUAAGGGUAAGGGGCCGGGAGGUAGGACGGUAGGAAAAUUAAUUUUUGUUAUUUUUAAAGUAUGGUCAACAUUAGUGACUUGGAGGUGAUUGCCGUUAAUCAAUUACCUUUAACUUAAGAAUUAAUACAAAUAAAUGGAAAAAAUAAUUUAAUGAAAAUUAAUUUAAUAAAAAAUUGCACUAAAAACUUAGAACUCAAAUUCUCGAUCAUUUUAUCCGUACGUUUUAAUCCGACGCUCAGAAUUGGCAUAAAACAAACUAAUAUAGCCAUUGGAAAUAAAACAAACAUCAAAUCAAGAGCCUAUGAAACAAUAUUAUCUCGUACCUUCUUCCUUAUAGAUCCUCAAUUGCUGUUGAAAGCUGCAUAUGACAAUAUAAAUAAACAUGAGAUCAAAACAUCAUAGGAUAUAUCUAGCCAAUUAACAUCAUAUAUAACUCCUUGUUCUCAGUCAAAUCUUUCAUUCUUAGAUUAAAAAAAAAAUGAAAUAAUAACUGUUAAGUGAUAUAGGAAGCAAAAGUAACACACCGAAAUGAAAGCAGCUAGUUCACAGAUGACAGAUGCGGUGACUUCAAGAGCAUGAAAAAUGAUUAAACUUUGGUAGAAGGGUCUGAGCCGUGUUUCACAAGUUGCUAUUGACUUCGUGGCUUCGCUUUUAUUUAUUAUUAUUAUUUUUUUAAAUUCUAUAUCAGUGAGAAUUGAAAUGUGGAAAGUGAAAUGAUACACAUGCCUUAUCAUCUAUCAUGAGGGGUGAUUUGGUAAAACCGAUUUAAAAUAAAAAAAGUUUAAAAAAAUUUAAAAAGAUGCUUUGUGUCUGACUGCUUGUAUUUGGGGUAUUUUUCGGGUUGUUGAGACUUGAGAGUGAGUUUAAUUAAAUAUAAGAUUUUCAUUUUUCUUAUUAUAUUUUUCUCUUUAGAAUGAAUUUAAAUCUCAUUCUUAUUAAAUUCAUUUUUUUAAAUGAAAAUAGAUUUCUCUCCACACAUUUGAGAUAUAUUUUAAAAUUAAUGUUAAGCAUAUCUCUAAAUUAUAUUAUAAAUAUUUUUAUUUAAAAUCUCAACAGAUUUCAUAACACACAGAGAGAAAUACAUAUAUAUGUUGUAAUGUUUUAAUGAUGGAUCUCUAAAGUUAUCAAGUUAAAAAAUAAAUAAAUAAAUAAAAAAUACACACUUCAACUUAUUAUAUGAUAAAAUAUAGUAUAUUAAAGUGAGUAUUUUUUGUGUGAAAUAAAAUUAAAGUGAGUACUAUUACCACCUCACAUCUUAUAAAUUCUAGAAAAUAAUCAAGGCUUGACAUACUUUUAUUUAUGCAAAAGCAUAAGAAAAUAAUUCAAAGUACUAAUUAGUGUACUAUUCCUCAAAAUUCUAGAAUAGAUUUGUUAGUUCUCUUUAGCCAUAGAUUGGUCCGUGAUUGGCACCGCAAUAGCUCAUAAUCACCUCAACAAUUGUUCCACACGGCCCAACAUGACACAUUGUAAACUAGUCUACAAGAAUUUUUUGAGUGGCUUUCUAGCAAUAUUCUUAGAGAAAGUGUUUAGUAGUUUCAAAUCUUCUUUUUUUAACACAAAUGUUGGCAUGAUAUUCUUAAUAUAUUUCUAAAAUCAAAAUAAGAUGCAUAGAGGACGAUAAUUUUAUUUCAUAAUUGAAUUUUUUGCAAAGAAAGUUUGAACAUGAGAGUGAUGAGAGAUGAGAAUAUUGAUGAUGGUGUGUACUUUGAAUGGAAAAAUAGAUUGGAAAUAUAUAUAGACAUAUUAAAAGAAAAAAAUUUGGUCUAUUUCAUAAGAGAAAUAAAAAAUUAUAAACGCGGGUGUUAAAAUGUAUUCAGAAUUUAUAAAUUUUUAUAAAUAUGAUAAUCAUCAGACCCUUAUAAAAGUAUAACAAAAAAGUUUAAAAUUUUUUAAUAAAUGUAGAAGAGAUGAACGAAGAAAUCAUCCACCAGUUCAGAAUUAACAAUCAAAGAUAUGAGGACUUGAUUGAAGAAAUGAUGAAAAAUAAAAGGAAACUGGGUUGGUUAGCGGGACCCUAAUAUUAAUGGUGAAAAAUAAAAGGACACUGGGUUGGUUGGCAGGACCCUAAUAUUAAUGGCAAAAAAUAAAAGGACACUGGGUUGCUAUCAAUUUCGAUCGUGUAGGUUCAUAGCCGGGGAAGUAAUUGGGCACAAAUAUCUCGGAUGAGAAAUAACCAUUUUAUCCCGCAACCAUAUGUUUAUGGCCUCUAAAAAUUUUCACCUCUUUCACUUUCUGGAACCCGUGCUUUCUGGCACAUGCACAAAUACUUGGUUGCUACUUAUAGAGCGUUUUUGGAAUUGCAACAACAUGGUGCUCUUUGAUAAUUCAAAAAUCCAAUAUAAUUUAUAGAGAAUUACAGAAUUGUGGUACGUGAUAAUUUGCUGAUGCAAUGAGGCGCCGAAAUUCUUAUACAUGUGAUUUAAGUUAUAUAUGUAUAAUUAAGUAAUUAGAAUAUACUAGUUGGGGGUAUUUGUGUCCAUGAAAAUUUACAGCUGGUUGUUGACAUUACACUGCGGGUGUGUAAGUGUAAUCAUGGAUCUGACCAUUCAAAUUUAAAAAAUGGGGGUCCCGCUAGCUUACGGAGUUAGUAAUUAUUAGAUAUGCAUAUAUGCUCCCAUACGAUAAUCUUAUCAUAAAUUUGAAGGAUACGAGGACUUGAUUGAAGAAAUGAACGAAUAUUUGAAUUAAAAAAAAUUUUAGAAUAAAGACAAGUAUUAAUUUACUAUGAAUGCAACUUACAUAAGCUGUAAGUUAGCGGGACACUAUUAAAUCACAAGCAAAAAGCAAUCUGACUUCUUCUUGAUUCCGUAAUUUGGCUGUCAAAAUGUAAUCUAUAAAAAUUACGAUACCUCGAUUCAAAAAAAUGUUGUUUCUGAUGAAAUAAAUGAAAAUUGAACGUACAAUCUGCCACGAACACUGUUUAAUUAACCGUUUAUUUCCCCUUAAAUUUUUAAUCUCAAUGAAACAUAGAUCUAAUGGGAACUACAUAUAUAUAAAAAUACUAUAGAUUGAAGAAGUUGAAUUUUUCUUGUGUGUUAAGUAUUUUUAGUUAAUACGAAAGGAUUCUAGCAAGUUAAUACAAAAGUAUCAUAAAUUCAUAGUAGUACAAGAGAUUUUUUUUUUCUUUUGAUAUUAAGAGUUUUCGAGAUAAAAAAAAAAAAAUAGGUGAAAGAAGAAGAUGAGAGAAGAAAAAAUAUUAAGAAUAGUUUUGGCAUUUUGAUGCGUUUUAUAGUGUAAAAUCUAUAUUUUAUAGUAUAAAAAGGUACACCCAUAAUUUAAUGAUAAAAUUUUAGGAAAAAAUUGCACUCGUCAAAAAAAAAAAAGAAAAGGCUCAGCUUAGCCCAAAAAUUUUUUAUUAAUCGUCUAGUCGCUAAUGUAAUCUCUUUUUUAUGAGAUUCUUUGGCGUUUUAGUUUAGUCCAUUGUUAGCAAUCCUAAUAGCUUUUAUGUGCAUCUAUUUUUAUUUGGAAUAUGUUUCAAGCUUGAAUAAAAUCUGCGGGACAACUGGUAAGUAAUAAAGCUCAUCAUUUUUUUAUUUUGAAAAUAAAGGGAAUCACUUACACUUAGCAUGAUAUUAUUUUUGAUAAGUCAUUUUUUUGGUAGAUUAUUUUUUCUAACACGCUCUUAGAUUUAGUGAAAAUAAAUUGUAUACUUUUAAUGAAGAAAAGUAAAGAUCAACAAAAUAUUUUGUUCUUUGCGACAACUUUUGCGUUCUCAAGUGCGCCUGAUACCCUUUUUUUUUUAACAUGGGCCCACGUGCCAUGUUUCCAUUUCAAGUUUCAUAAGUUAACAGUAGAAAUGGGUUCCACAGAUAAUUUAUUUUAUAAUUUUUUUUAAAAAUUACUAAAAUAUAAUAAAUAAGGUAAUAAUAAUUAAUAAAAAAGUAGAUUUUAAGAUGGAAAAAUCUUUUUGUGUACUUAAUAAAAAGAUGAUAAGAAUGGGAUGCUUUUAGUUUACAUUCUCAUAGCUAUUUAUACUGAAAAAUUACAUCAAAAUUUAAUUAAUAAAUCAGUGAACUGCAGACUUAUUAAAUUUAAGCUAUUUUAAUAAGUCAUAAAUAUACUAAAUUAAAAUAGUAAUAAACCCAUUGUUACACAAUACUCUCCAUUGAGUGUUCACCAUUUUAAGAUAAUCAUAAAAUGACACCGGAAGUGCUAUUAUAGCUGUCUCAUGGAAAGCCUUCACCAAUAAAAAGGAGGAUAGAGCACAUACAUCCAGUUUUUAUACCCUUUGAUGCUCAGUCGACACGUGCCAAUGCUAUAGACUAGCUUUUCGAAGGUUGAAGUGGGUAUGCUAUUAGUAAAAAGACCUGCAAAAUUAUAGUGUACCUAUUUGACAUCAACUUUUUUUAUCUGCUGGAGCUUAUGAUUAUAGAAGAUCUUCGGUAAGAUGUGUUUGAUUUUAUCUUCUUUUAUAUAUCCUCCUCUAACUUGUGUAAUAGUAGUAAACCCCUGCCCGUUUUUAUUUCGUUUAGUAUUUUCUAAAUGGCCGAAGGAAAAUUGGUAAAAACUCAUUUAAAAAUUAAAAAAAAAAAUCAAAGAAAUUCAAGAAGAAGCUUUGUAUCUGUCAUUUGUAUUUGGGGUAUUUUUUUGGUUGUUAAGUGAAUGAGCUUAAAUCUAAAACAUUUAUUUAUAUAUUUCUUGUUGGAAAGAAUUUAAAUUUUAUUCUUAUUAGACUUAUUCUCUUUAAACAAAGGUAGAUUUUUCUCUAUGUGUUUAACGUGUAUUUUAAAAUUAAUGUUCAACAUAUCUUUAGAUUCUAUUAUAAAUAUUCAUAUCUAAAAUCUCAACAGAUUUCAUAAUAUAUAAAUGUAUAUAAAGAGAGAGAAUAACGUUUCUAAUAAGAAAUUUAUUAAGUUAAAGAAUAAUUCAAAAGAUAAAUUUGUAUUAAACCCAUUUAUAUGAUUAAUUAAGGUUUUAAACAAAUUUUGGACUUGUUCUAUUGUAGAGCUUAAAUUCAAAAUGGAAGAGUGAAGAAGGGAAAAAGAAGACGAAUAAAGAAGAAAAGAGGAGAACAACUUAUACAAAAUAGGGAGAACGAAAAAGUGAAGGGCAGAAAAAGAAAAAGAAUAAAGAAGAAAUUAAUCAUCGCUGAUAUGAAAAUAAUUCCUUCUUCUUUAUUGUUCUUAGUGGUUCUACUUUUUUUUAUUGGAUUCUAAAUUUUUGUCGUAGAUGGAUUAUAAGAACUAGAAAAUUAUAAAGAUAAUUUUUUAAUUAUUCGAUUAAUUAAUUCCAGCAGAAGACAAGAAAUUGAUUCUGCUUCGUUAGAAAGCCAUCACAUUCUAUACGCAAUUGCAAAAAGUAUAUAUUUUUGUCUGUUUUAGACAAGAAUAAAAGGGAUACCUGGUAUUGCAAAUCUAGACACGUUUUAGUGCUUUAUGUCCGAAUGAAUUCUUUCUUGCAACAAUAAACUUGGCCGAUCAGGAUUUGCCGUUUACAUAUGUAGGUCCUGUUGGUUCUGUAGUAGGACUCAUAAAUUUUUAUUUUUAAUUUACUGAAUCCAUAAAUUUAAAAUAACGGUGCAACUCCUGAGGAUGACAAUGGGGCGGGUGAGGUCUUGGAGUCCUGAAAAAAUUUAUAUCUGCAUAUUAAAAAAUGUGGAUCCGAAUAAGAAAAUCCGCAUGAAUCCGAAUGCAAGUGCAUUUGGAAAAUCGGAUAUCGAGAUCUGGAUAAAAAUUUAUUUCAAAUUAAAAAUUAAAUUAAAUAUAUAUUAAAAAGUAAAUGAAAAAUUAAGAAAGUAAAUUUUAUUUGUAGAUUUAUGAUGUCAUUGUAUAUUAUUCAUGUUGAAUUAUUAAUUGUUGGAUUAUGAUUGAAUUUUAUUUGAUAUUAUUGGGUAAAUUAUUGAAUUUCAUUUUAAAUUAAAAAUAUUUAUUAAAAAUUAAAUUUUAUUUGUAGAUUUAUGAGAUUAUUGUAUGUUAUUCAUUUAAAAUUUUUAAUUAUUGAAUUAUGAUUGAAUUUUAUUUGAUAUUAUUAGGUAAAUUAUUAAACUUUUAAAUUUUAUAUUAAAUUAUAAGCAGUAGGAAAUUAUGGUAUUCAGAACAUGUAUACCUUCGCACAUGAAGCUUGAGUCCAGAACAAGAUGCAGCUAGCCAAUCCUUCAACUUCCAAAACCCCACAAAACCUCUGUCAACAUAUCUGCUCUACUUCAAUAUCAAGCACAUUCAUAGCGGUAUCAACAGCUUACAGCUCCAAAAAUAGUUUGAGAUUUCAUUGAAGCUAAGUUGUGACUUGUGACUGUCCAAAUGUUCUGUCACACGAAAUGAUUAUUCUUGUAACACAAAUCCAAUAGCAUGCAAUAUAAUCUACUCUCUAACACUGUGCAUUAGUAAAAUAAAACAGAGUAAAAAGAGAAACCAUGCCUGUGAAUCUCUUCUCCUCCCCCCACCACCCCUUUUUUUGGUAAAGUCUAUCAAAUGAAAAUGCAGCAUGACCACAUUGGCCACUACCACUGCCAUUACUCCUUCAACUGUGCCCUUUGUUGCAAGAAAUCUUCAAGUGAAAGAUGGAUUAUAUAAUUAAAGAUUCCAAUAGAAGCAGCAAAGGUUGCCUUCCACUAGCCUAUCAGAGAAUAUGCUUUCUAUUUUCCUAGUUUUAAUCAAAAUUUUGCAAGAUUUAUUUAUGGAAAACUUGGACAAAAUUUUAUGUAAGAUACCAUAAAGCCAAACACAAUCUUUUUAAUUCUCAGCAGCAACAUUUAAAGUAAAAAGAUGGAAGCCAUAUAAAUAUAACUAUAUUUGGUACGAGGAACAAUUAUUUCAAGCUUUCAGAAAUGCUAGCAAGAAAUUGUAAGAGAACUUUACCUAGUCACAGAAUAUGUCAAGCAUACUACCACCAACUGUCUUUAGCACAAUUGUUAUGAAGUAGCCUCUGAAUCGGAAGAUUCAAGCUUCCACCAGGCACAAUUAUUUUCAUUCUCCAUACAAUCUGCAGCAGUGGCAUGAGUUAUAUCAUCAACAUUUGCAUCCUCACUCUCAUCACCCCAAUCAAGGCUUCUUCUCCACCUCUGGAUUAUAAGUCCGCUUCGACAUCUUCAAACAUCUCGGUCCUUCCAUUUGCAAACAACCGAUAUGGCUUCUUUCCUUGCCUUCCUCAUCGUUUAUAUCCCCCCAAAAAAGGGUCUUUAGACACCUCAACUUUGCCUUCUGCAAAACCUCCACAAAAUCUGAAUUAUCCAACACAACAGCUAGACGCUUGAUCCUUCUUUUGUCCAUCAUAUCCACCGCAUGAUUCCUCAACAAACAUCUGCAGCUUGUGGCUUAUCUAACACUGUCCUGACCCAAAACCCCACUCUUUUCAACUCAUCUGCCAAACCAUAACCCACUUUUGGAGUCAAAAUUGUCCUUGCAGCCCUUUUAUAUUUUUCCAACUCCAUUGAAUACUUGCCACUCAAAUGCACUCUCCUACCUCUAGCUGAUUCUACUUGAUUCAACCUCUUCUUUUGUUUACACUCAUGAAUUUGGAUAAAAUAAUUAACAAGUUUGUCAUUAUUAUAAAAUCUCCUUUCACAAACACCACAUAAAUAUGGCUCAGCAGGCUUAAUUACACCCUUGCUUUCCAAUUGGUUAAACAAUUUUUCUCUUCUCUUUGCUCUCUUACAACUUGAGGCACAUAACUAAAUGCAUGGCUAUUGGCAUAUGCCACCAUGUAUUUAACAACCCAAGUGAAGAUAUUGAUUUGGGGGUUUGUUGUCCAAAUCCCUAAAAAUUCACACAUUGCGUUGGACAGUUUUUAGUUCUACAAUUAAUGAUACGUUAUGUGAAUUAAGCUCCAAAUGAGAACAUCUAAACAAUGAGACAAAUGGGCUCUAGGUUUCUAAUCAGUAAACAUCGUUCAGUCGCAUAAUUUAUGAAAUUUUUGAAACAUCACUACAGCUACAGGUCUUUAUGUGUCAAUGAACUGCAGAAACUAAUGAUCUACUAGUAGUAGACGUUUGUUGUCCCCACCGUUCCAGGAAGAAAAAUAAGUAGAAGAACUACUUUUAGACCAAAAUUAAAAAAUUGAAACUAUCUUGAAAGACUUUCCCUUCAACUAAGUAAAAAAGAAAAGAAAAAAAAAAGGUAUUAGACAAGCAUUUUCAAAGGAAAAAGAUCAUCCAUUUAUUGUAUGUACUCAGGAAAAAUAAAUGUACUAAUAGGUAGAAACACAGCAAUAAAACUCAAAAACUAACAUCUAUAAAGCUCAAUAACAAUUAUGAAUUAGAUAUUUUGGUCCCUUCAUAAUUCCUCCUCUUGACUUCACAUUUCCCCUCAGCCCGUGAUAAUUUUACCUAUUGAAUUCACAUUUCCCCUCAUCCAUUGAAUUUUCCCAAUAACAAGAUGAGUCUAAAUCUGUUAGGAAAUUGAUGGGUGAAGCAGACACGCAGCUAAAGUAAAAUUGGAAGAAAAUAAAGAACAAGCACAAUAGAGGACACCAGAAAUUACGUGGUUCGGCUUUUAGCCUACGUCCACGGGCGAAGACAGAAGGAAAUAUUUUACUAGUGAAAAUGAGUUACAAGUAUUGUAGUAUUUUAGCUCACUUCCCAAAACCCCAAUACACCCAAACUCUCUAACUCACUAGACACUCAAGAGUUUAUUAAACUCUUAAAACUCUCAACACUCAAGAAAGCAAUGCUUCUCUCUCGAUGGAAAUUGAAUACAAAUGAAUGAGUGAGCACUUCCUUUUAUAGCCAAAAAAUGGCUAUUAAAUUAAUAUAUAUAUGUAUAUAUUUCAAAUGUAGUUACCAACUUCUUCUUUUUCUCCAUUUGGAUGGCACCAUUUUCUUUGGCCGGCUGCACCAUUUUCUUUUUUCAAAUGUCAAACCUGUGUGCUCAUUUUCCUUUCCAACUUGCUGCAAAAUUCCUCUUCUUUGAACAACAUGGAUGUUGACCAUCUAGAUGGCUGCUUUUGACAUUUCUCCCACUUGGAGAUUAGAUUGAGAAGCAAUCAAUCUCCACACCAUCCUUUCUGCUUCGCCAUAAUCAUGUUGCCUACGUUUCUGCUAGACCACAAGAGGAUCUACUCCAGACAAACUUAUCAGUAUUUAUCGGCUUGGUCAAAACAUCUGCUAGGUUCUCUUUGGUAUGGAUUUUCUGCAAAUCCACACUUCCAUCUUCCACUACUUCUCGAACGAAGUGAUACUGAACUCCUAUGUGCUUUGUCCUGGAAUGAAAGGCUGGAUUCCUUGCAAUGUGCAAGGCACUCUGACUGUCACAAAAUACAGGAAUUUUCUGUUGUUUGUGCCCGAGCUCCUCCAAUAACCUUUGUAUCCAAAUAGCUUCCUUGCAAGCUUGUGUAGCUGCCAUGUAUUCUGCUUCUGUUGUAGAUAAAGCCACAACGGUCUGCAGUUUCGAAACCCAGCUUACAGCUGCUCCCGCAAGUGUAAACACAUAACCAGUAGUGGAUUUUCUUUUAUCAAGAUCUCCUGCAAAAUCUGAAUCCACAUAGCCCCUGACAGUAAACUCUGAUCCUCCAUAACAUAACGCAACAUCUGAGGUUCCUCUUAUGUAUCUCAGAAUCCUCUUAACAGUUAUCCAAUGCUCUCUACCAGGAUUCGCCAUGUAUCGACUAAUUGCUCCCACUGCUUGUGCAAUGUCUGGUCUUGUACAUAUCAUAGCGAACAUCAAACUUCCCACUGCUGAUGCAUACGGUACUCGAGACAUCUCCUUCCUCUCUGCUUCAUUACUAGGACACAUACUUGAGGAUAAUUUGAAAUUAACAGGAAGUGGGGUAGAAAUUGACUUACAAUCUUGCAUGUUGAAGCGUCGCAAGAUUUUCUUCAAGUAAUUCUUCUGCGAAAGCCAAAUCUUCCUGUUAUUUCUGUCUCGGUGAAUUUGCAUCCCUAGAAUCUUGUUUGUUGGUCCCAAGUCCUUCAUGUCAAACUCCCUAGCUAACUGUGCCUUCAAUUCUUGGAUUCGAUCUUUGUUGGGACCUGCUACCAACAUGUCAUCCACAUACAAUAGCAAAAUAAUGAAAUCAUUAUCUUCAAACCUCUUGUAAUAUGCACAAUGGUCUGAACUGAGUCUGUUGUAUCCAAGGCUCAUGAUGAAGGAAUCAAAUCUCUUAUACCAACACCUCGGCGCCUGUUUGAGACCGUAUAGAGAUUUGUUCAACCUGCAAACCAAGUUCUCCUUUCCUGUUUCUGCAAAACCUUCUGGUUGGAGCAUAUAUAUUUCUUCUUCAAGUUCUCCAUGAAGAAAUGCAGUUUUCACAUCUAACUGCUCUAGAUGUAAGUCAAAUGUAGCACACAUUGCCAAGACUACUCUGACUGUUGUGAGUCGAACCACGGGCGAAAAUAUCUCGUUGAAGUCAAUGCCUUCUUUCUGAGCAUAUCCUUUCACUACCAAUCUUGCACGAUACCGCUCCACUUGGUCAUUACCAUCACGCUUGAUCUUGUAGACCCAUUUGUUUCCAAUGGCUUUUCUUCCAUGUGGUAGUGGUACAAGUUCCCAUGUCUUGUUCUUGUGUAGAGCUUCAAUUUCUUCCUGCAUUGUUGUCAUCCACAAAGCAAUAUCUGAGCUUUCUAAAGCUUCAUGGAAAGUUGAUGGCUCUCCAUCCUCCGUUAAAAGACAGUAUGCAACGUUGAUCUCUGUGACAUACUCCGAGUGCCACGUUGGCGGUCGUCUCUCACGAGUUGACCGACGAACUCUGGAGCCUCGGACUCGACUGGUUCUUGUUCCUCGUUCUCUGGUGCUGCUUCAGAAGAAUCUGAAUCUUCUGGAUUAUUUUCCACAUAUACUGGUACAAUCUCUGACUUUUCUUUUACAGUGCUUUCAUCCUCAUCUUUCCUUUGCAGUUGAUCUUCUAUAAAGAUAACAUCUCUGCUGAUGACGAUCUUGUGGGCAGUGGGGUCCCACAGACGAUACCCCUUUACUCCAUCAGCAUACCCUAAGAAGAUACAUCUUCUAGAUUUUGGAUCCAGCUUUGUUCUUUCUUGGGCAUUGUACAUCACGUACACAGGACAUCCAAAUGCAUGUAGGUAGGAAUAAUCAGCUGGCUUUCCAGUCCACAUCUCCAUCGCUGUCUUCAACCCAAUAGCUGUAAAUGGCGACCGAUUUACUAUAUAACAGGCGGUUUUGGCUGCUUCUGCCCAGAAUGAAUUGGGUAAACCAGCAGUCCUCAACAUAGCUCUUAUUCUUUCUGUAAGAGUUCUGUUCAUCCGCUCCGCUACUCCGUUUUGUUGAGGAGUGUAUGCCACCGUGAACUGCCUCUGAAUACCUUCUUGCUUACAGAAAGCAAGAAACUCUCCGUCUGUAUAUUCUCCACCAUUGUCUGUCCUUAAGCACUUGAUCUUUUUACUAGAUUCAAGUUCCAACCGCGCUUUGUAUUCUUUAAACACAGGAAAUACAUCUGACUUUUUCUUAAUUGGAUACACCCAACAUCUUCUGGAAUAAUCAUCAAUGAAAGUCACCAUGUACUUUGCACCUCCCAUAGAUAUAUCCGGUGAUUCCCAAACAUCAGAAUGAAUCAAGUCUAGAAUGCAUUUACUCCUAGCAAUAGAUCUACUGAAUUUUAAUCUAUGCUGCUUACUUGUAACACAAUGCUCGCAAAAUGGUAAACUUACCGAUUUGAGCCCCGGAAGCAAUUUUCGCUCAGAGAGAAUCUUCAAACCUUGUUCUGACAUGUGGCCAAGUUUGAGAUGCCACAUCAUCGUUGAUUCUUCUCCAUUUGAUGCGACACACGCAUCAGCCUCCUGUAGUGUUUCUCCUUUAAGCAUGAAUAAAUUAGCACCGAUCUUUUCUGCCUUCAUCAAUACAAGCGCACCUUUAACGAUCUUCAUUAUUCCAUUUUCCACAUGAGUUUUGAACCCAUGACUAUCCAUUUGUCCCAAAGACAAUAGAUUUUUCUUCAGGCCAUUGACAUGUCGUACCUCCCCAAUUGUGCGAAUUGUACCAUCAAACAUUUUUAUUUUGAUAGUACCAAUACCAGCGAUCUCCAAGGCAUGAUCAUCUCCCAUAUAUACAGAUCCUCCUGAGAUAGGUUCAUAUGUGUGGAACCAUUCUCUCUUAGAGGUCAUGUGCCAGGUAGCUCCUGAGUCUAUAAGCCAGACAUCAGAUAGUCGUUUUCUGCCUUCUGAAACAGUUGUUGCCUCGCUGUAGAGAAUUUCACCAUCAUCUGAGGUACUUGCUACACAACCCUGAGCAUUUGAUGACUCAGGUUCUUUGCCCUCUCUUCUCUUCUGGUUACUCCAACACUCUUUCUUGACGUGCCCUUUCUUGCCACAGUUGUAGCAUUUAACAUUCUUCUUACUUCUGGAUUUUGAUCUACCCUGAUUUUGACUCCCACUGGGGCCACGUUCCGUUGAUCUCCCUCUCGUCACUGAUAGCGCUUCUGCUUGCUGCGAACUUGCUUGUCUGUUUUCCUUGUUUUUCCGCCUGCUCUCCUCAUUUAAUACGGAGGCUGCAACAUCGUCGAAAACUAGACCCUCCACUGGAUUGUUGUUCGUCAGGUUGAUGAUGAGUUGAUCAUACGAAUCUGGUAGACUUUGAAGUAGAAGCUCUGCACGUUCAUUUUCCUCUAUAUUAUGACCCAACGUUGUGAGUUGUGAAAAUAGAGUCUUCAAUGUGUUGAUGUGGUCGGUCACCAUUGUAGAUUCCGCCAUUCGAAGAGUAUAGAGUUUUCUCUUCAAGAAGAUUUUGUUGUGUAGUGACUUGGCCUCGUACAAUUUUGUGAGAGUAUCCCAAAUUUCCUUCGCCGUAUUUUUCUCUGCCACACUGGAUAAUACUCCAUCCGCAAGUGCCAAGUGUAGAUCAGAAAUAGCGUUGCCGUCUACCUCGUUCCACUUGUCAUCAGUUAUCUCUAUGGGCCUUUCUCCAAUUGCUGCCAAACAAUUAUUUUUCCUCAAUACAGCUUUCAUCUUCAUUUUCCACAACGAAAAAUUAUUUCCGUUAAACUUCUCAAUUUCAUAUUUUGCCGCCAUUUUGUUGAUAAUACUGCACACAAGCUAGUGUACCACCUUGAAUAGUUGUGAGUAUGUGUGAGAAUGCACACCAGGAAAGUUCCCAGGAAAGACUAGAGGGGUCACAAUGGUCCCACUUAAAACCCAAACUCCUUAAGCUCUUAUCGCCUUUGUGACAGAACUUUCCUAGACAUGUACAGAACCACACAGUUGCUUUACUCACACCACUAUUCCCUGCUUUGCACCGCAAAAUUCUUGGAUGGCUUCCACCGUUUCACGUGAAUAGUACCGUAUACGUGAAUAGUGCCGUAUACGUGAAUAGUGCCGUACACCGUAUACGUGAAUAGUGUCGUACACCGUAUACGUGAAUAGUAUCGUACACCGUAUACGUGAAUAGUGCCGUACGCCGUAUACGUGAAUAGUCCCGUACGCCGUAUACGUGAAUACGUGAACAAUUCCUGACUCCAAAAAUACAACCAAUAGCUCUGAUACCACUGUUAGGAAAUUGAUGGGUGAAGCAGACACGCAGCUAAAGUAAAAUUGGAAGAAAAUAAAGAACAAGCACAAUAGAGGACACCAGAAAUUACGUGGUUCGGCUUUUAGCCUACGUCCACGGGCGAAGACAGAAGGAAAUAUUUUACUAGUGAAAAUGAGUUACAAGUAUUGUAGUAUUUUAGCUCACUUCCCAAAACCCCAAUACACCCAAACUCUCUAACUCACUAGACACUCAAGAGUUUAUUAAACUCUUAAAACUCUCAACACUCAAGAAAGCAAUGCUUCUCUCUCGAUGGAAAUUGAAUACAAAUGAAUGAGUGAGCACUUCCUUUUAUAGCCAAAAAAUGGCUAUUAAAUUAAUAUAUAUAUGUAUAUAUUUCAAAUGUAGUUACCAACUUCUUCUUUUUCUCCAUUUGGAUGGCACCAUUUUCUUUGGCCGGCUGCACCAUUUUCUUUUUUCAAAUGUCAAACCUGUGUGCUCAUUUUCCUUUCCAACUUGCUGCAAAAUUCCUCUUCUUUGAACAACAUGGAUGUUGACCAUCUAGAUGGCUGCUUUUGACAAAAUCAUCAAUCUCAUUAAACACUCACAUCUACUAAAUAAUAUCGCAUGCAGUAACUUUAAGUAAGGAUCUAAAACUUACAAGAAAAAGAAAACUACUGUUUAUUAAUUUCAAAAUUUACACAAAAUUACAAAUGAUUUUAUAAACUGUACCAAAACAUGUUCUCUAAAAGAGAUUCAUUAUCCUGCAUUUUCAAAAACAAUAUAAACUAACACUAGAAUAGCCAUUUGAUAAUGAUGUGAAUUUGGGCAGCACCAAGAAGCAGUGAGCCCCAUUUGGUGAAAGCAAAAAGAAAAAAAAUUAAAAUAAAGCACUAUAAAUUCUAAUCAAAUUAUUAACAUUAGCUACACAUCAAGAAACCAGAAUAAAAUCGUUAUCUAAACCACAUACUGAAAAAGAAAAAACAAUGCAGUUAAAAUUCUAUCAUUUUCACUUACAAACAAAUAAAGAAAAAAUUAAGAACAAAGGUUGAAGCAAAGAAUGAUUGUACCUUGAGGUACUUGAGGUUAAUGUUUCCAUAAACGAGACCGAGCGAAAAAGCCGAAACCAGAGCAACCUAUUCUUACUACUCAAAAACACGCCCAGAUCAGAAAAUAAAUGAUCAUUCAAUAACAAUUCAUAGGAAAAUGAUGUUUGCCCCGGGUCAAACCCCGAAAAUAACUUAAACGGCGUCGUUUUGAUUUUUUUUUUUCUUUUGGAAUACUCCAAAACGACGACGUUUCUGAUGAUAUUUUGAGAAGAAUAAAAUCUAUCUUCCUCUUCGUUUUCGUUUCUUCGUUUCACCUGUGAAAGAACAGAGCAACAGAGCAACAGAGAUCCCAACUUGGUCUUGUUCCGUUUGACCGUAAAUCUCUUCAUUUCUUCGUUUCUUCGUUUCUUCAAAUAACGGCAAUAUCACCCAAAACAAAGUUUCAUGCAAUGUUGUAAAAAAUAAAUUAUGAUUUGAGAACUGAAAAAAUAAUAUGAGAACUAAAAAAAUGAGACAAAUCAAGAAUAUGAGAACUGAAAAAAUUAAUUCAAUGUUACAAUGUUACAAUGUUCUAAAAACGAAGGCCAACUUCCUAAAAUAAAAUUAAAAAACAAAAUGCUACAAUGUUAAUCUUCGAAAAUUAAACUGAAAAAAUGAGACAGUACCGAAAAAAACAAAUCUUCGAAAAUUCAAGCUUGGCACAAUGUUAAUCUUUCGUCCAAACUCAGCUUUCAACCGUCCAAAUUCAGCUUGUCCAAACUCAGCUUUCAACCGUCCAAACUCAGCUUGUCCAAACUCAUCUUUCAACCGUCCAAACUCAGCUUUCAAGGACACAUUUCGCAGCCGAAACUCAGCCGAAACUCAGCUGCUGUUGGUCUUGUUCUUCAAUGGGUACCAAACGAAAAAGAAACGAAAAAGAAACUCAGACGCUUUCAACUCAGCUUCCAAGGACAAAUUUCGCAGCCGAAACUCAGUCGAAACUCAGUUGCUGUUGGUCUUGUUCUUCAAUGGGUGCGAAACGAAAAACAAACUCAGAUGAAGAGGAUGGAGCUUUAAUUAGUAGAUCCCGUUCUGCUGUCGAUGAGUGCUCCGGCUGUGGAUCUCGGUCGAGGAUGGAAGAAACGAAAAAGAAACGAACAAACGAAAAAGAAAAUAAAAGAAAACGACGCAAAUCAUUCAAUAAACAAACGAAAAAGAAAAAAAAAAAAGAAACGACGCAAACGACGCCGUUUAAGUUAUUUUCGGGGUUUGACCCGGGGCAAACAUCAGCACUCUUUCCUUUAUGAAUUGGGAAAAUGCUACUUUCCCCGGGUCAAACCCCGAAUUAUUUCAAAACGGUGUCGUUUUGUUUUUUUUUUUUCUUUUUACUUGCAUGAAACGUGGUCGUUUGAGCUAGUAAAAACAAAACAAACUAAAGCAGAAAAAACUCAAGUGCUUAUCUUCUCUGCCCCUUUCUUAAUUUCCUUUUGACAAACCACGGAAUCACACCCACAAACAACAAUCACCCACAGUCACGCGAACAGCCGGCACAGACGAAGGAUGAGCCCACAGACGACGGACCACCGCAUUGAAAUCUCUGUCCACAUCACCGGCACCAUCAUCGUAGGUCUGUAACAAACUGUCGUAAGUUAAACCCUUCUCACCGUCGAUGAACUCGACGUAAGUACGGAAUACUUCGUCGAGAAUUGCGUUGAUUUGUUCGUCGCUGAAUUUGACUCGAGGGUUUACGGCCACCACUAAAGCCGCCAUUUCUUCUCUAUUACGGCCACCGUCGCGGUUCGUGUCAAAUUGUUGAAAAAUUCUCUUCACUUUCUCUGAUCUGCUUCCUCUCGUAGCCAUUUUUUUUUUCUGUUUUUCUGGGGGUCAGUUUGGUUUCUCAGUGUUUGUUUGAGAAAGCGGAAUUAGUAGAUAAGGGAAUAUAAGGAAAAGUUGAUAAAAAGGCAAAGGGUGGUUACUUUAAUUGUUGGUGAGAAUAAUGAUGAUGAUGGCUUAAUUCUGGGUUUUGUUGGAUCUGAAUGAAUUCUUAACGGCAAAAGUUAAAGAGUAGAAGAAGAGCAAGAGGACGGACUCUCAUUCUUUCCCUUUUUUCUUUUAAUUUUAAAUAUAUCAAAAACGGCAGCGUUUUGGAGAAACAAAAAAGAAAAAAAAAUUAAAACAAAACGACGCCGUUUUUGUUUUCGGGGUUUGACCCGGGGCAAACAUCAGCACUCAUUCAUAAAAACUCCAUCCCAUCGCAUUUAAAACAAAACAAAGAAAAUAUUGAUUAGAAAAAAAAUUACACGCAUGGAAUAAAAGAAUAUAAAAAUGGAAUUACCAGAGGGAGCUAGUGCCGGAGUAGGAACCAGAAGGCAGCGCCAUAUGAUGCUCUUGUUAUGGUUUUCCUUCUUGUGGGUCUGCGCUGAAGUCGAAGAUGAAGAAACAAGAAAGAGCCAGCAAAUUGAGAAAUCGACUACCAUCUUCGAUUCCGACUCGCAUGGCCAUUUUUCUUUGAUGAAUGAAAUAUUGUUUUACUCCCUAAUUCUUAACCAAAUUACAAGUUUUGACUUCUGUUUGUAUGUUCUUUCAUACGGGUUCUUGUUCACAGGAAUAACAAAUGGGCCGGACGUGUGGCUAAGCCCGGGCCUGGUGUCGAUAGCCAGGCCUGGGCUUUUACGAGCCCAGGCAUUUUAUUCUGAGUAUGAUCCUUAUAUCACUUCACUUUUGUAAUCGUAAUUUUAUUGUACUGAAAAUUAUAUGAACGAUUAAUAUGAAUUUAAUUAAACAAACAUGUCUUUACAACUCAUGCAACCUUACUAUUUUCUAAUCCUAAUAUGUGAUAUAAUUAAUUUUACUGAUAAAAUCAAAAUAAUUUUUAAACAAUGAAGAAAUAAAUUAUAAUAACAGUAAAUUUAUUACGAAAAAGUAUGUUUACAAAAUUUAUUUUAAAUGAUAUGAAAUCUAAUUAAAAUUCUAUUCUAAUUUUAUGCCCUUUUUUACAAUUUUAUUAAAAAGUGGGAUCUCUUAAGAUUUUAGGAGUGUUGGAAUUCUAUUUUUCCAGAUUUGAAUUUUAGUGACCUUUACUUCAUUUAAAUUUUUUGUUAUAAACUUGCAAGCAAGUGCAUUUAGGAUAUCUUUGGUGAACUGGAUUGUAACAAUAAUUUUAUUUAUUAAAAUUAUUAAAAGUAUUUAAUUAAUAAAACUUCACGUAUCCUCGGGUCUAACCAAUCAAAUUCUUUCUCUCAAAAGUACACAAAAGUGAGAUUGGCUCUUGCCUAUUAGUUAACAUAUGCAUAUUAAUUAACACUGACAGAUAUAUAGAUAUACAGCACAGCUAGCAGCACAUUCGACUUACAGAUAUACAGAACUUGAACAUAAUUCACAUAUCUGAAGGGAGAGGGAUAUCGAUGUUGCGGCCUGCAAUUCAUAACAUAUCAUCGGUCAUUUAAUCUAGAAUUGAGGAGAGAAAAUGAGUCUAAAUUCGAAAACUUUGGCACUAUUUACAUAUCAUUAUUUGGGUGAAAAUUCAUUUCUCUGCUUUGAUAUGAUUUGGUCUUUCAUUGUUACGGUGCCAAUUUUUUAUUUAAAGAUGUAAGGUAGUGGUACUAUAGCUUAUAUUUUCCGUAAUUACUAUCCGGUAAGUACAAAAAUAAAAUACUAGUUUAAAAUAUAAAAAUGAAAAAUUAUUUUUAUAACCAAUAUUCAAUUAAAUACAUUUAAAACUCUAUUUUUUCUUAAUAAAAAAAAUUCUAAUUUAUUUUCUCAAUUUAUCUAAACAACUUUACCUAAUCAAGCUAAAUCUACAUAUUACCCUAAACCUUAAUUCAUAAACACCCAAUCAAUCUAAUUGUUAAAUCUUAUUUCAUAAUAAAAAAAAAUUAAUUUCUUUUUUAUUAUUUAUGGUGCAAAGGAAAAAAUGAAUUUAAAGGUAAAAUUGAUAUUUUAUUUAAAUUUUGUUAAUAUUCUAAUAAUAUUAAUGUCUUGGUGGUUAAUAAAAGCAUAAAGUUAAACUUUUGUAGUAUUUUUAAUAAUAUGGUAAAGAUAUAUGUUUGAUAAUUUUCUUAUGUCUUUUUACGUUAAAUUGAGUCUCAAGUAUAAUGAAUAAAUAAUACAUAUUAUAAAAUUAGUGUAGAUAAAUAAUACAACUUGAAAAUAUUAUAGUAUUCUUAAUAAUAGAGAAAUUUAAAGGUGGAUAGUUGAUUGUUUAAUGAAACAACUACAGAAUUUUCCUUUCAAAUAUCUUUUUAAAAAACAACAGAAUGACCUUUCAAAUGCCCAUUCGACAAGCCAAGAAGAAAGGGUAGCUAACAAAUUUACAAGUACCAGAGAUCCAGAAACACAUUUAUAGCCAAUCCAUUUAUGAGUUACAUUCAACACUCUCACAAACUUAAAAAAUAAAAAUUAUUACUGCCAAGACGCACACUUUUUGACAUCUAAAAAGCUAAACAUUUGAAGUUCUUUGAUACAAAAUGCAUACUAAAUUGGCACAGUUAAUGCCCAUCGAAAGGGUCAUCAAUUUAGCCAACAAAUUUGCCAAAGUUUUAACAGUGACCACAAACGGAACAGGUAUAGAAUAAAAGCUUGUUCGGUUCUUGCGCGAAGUGAACCCCUCUGAAACGCUAAAAGAGGAAAUACAAAAUAAAGAAGACCAUAUUACGUGGCUAACUAACAGCCAUUCCCAAAGAAAUAGAGUGACGAUAAUGUGCUUCUUUUUUUUUUUUUAGAAAAGAACACAGACCCCUAAUAUUUAAAUAAAAAACAUAAAAUUUCUUAAUAUUUAAAAAAAAACAUUCAGACCUUAUUGUUUAACAGAAACUGUUUUUUUAACAGAAAUUAUAAUUUUAAAAUAUAAUUACCAUUAUAUCCUUAUAACAUAUUAAAACUAAUUAUUCAUUGUCCAAUUUAUCUUUAUAUUAUUAAUAAAAUUACGAAAAUAAAUUUGAUAAAGAAAAUUUCAUGCACAUCUAAAAAUUGAUAAAGAAAAAAAAAUAACAAAAGUAAUUAGUAAGAAAUCUCCAAUAAACCGACAAAUUAAGAACCCUGUUCAUCAAACUACCAUAAACCAAAAAAAAAAAUUCUCGUAAUCAUUUAUUUAUAUUCUUGCACAUACAUCACAUAUGCAUCAAGCAUGCUAGAGAAGUUAAUUUAGUAAAAAAAAAUGAAAAUUAAAGAGAAUUCAACAGGCAAGAUCAGCAACCAAACGCAAGCACAAGCAGCAGCCAAACGCGAGAUUCAACAAGCAAGAUCAGCAACCAAACGCGAGCACAAGCAGCAGCCACAAGCGAGCACAAGAAGCAGCUAAAAGCGAGCACAAGCAGCAGCCAAACGCGAGCAAUUCCAACAGCCAAACGCGAGCGAUUCCAACAGUUCCAACAGCACAAGCAGCAGCCAAACGUCGAUUGCGAGCAGAUCCAGCAACCAGACGCGGUCUCGAUCGACGCACGAGCAGUUCCAGCAGCUUCUGGUAGCGUGAGCAGUUCCAGCAACUUCCGGCAGCCCUAGCAGCUUUCGGCAAAGGCAAACCGUGAGUGUGUGUUAAAAGAUUUGUCUGGAAUCAGCGUGUGAUGUGUGUGUGGGGUUUGUUUGUGCGUGUGAUGUGCGUGUGGGGUUUUAGUCAAUUCACUUGUUUUUAAUUUAUAAUUACGAUAUUAACCUUGUAAUGAUUUAAGGAAACGAUUUCCGUUAAGUAAUGGGUCCGAAUGUUUUUUUUAAAAUAUUAAAACGUUUUGUCUCUUACUCAAACGUGGGUCUCUGUACCCUUUUCCCUUUUAUUUAUUCUUCGCUGGCAUAUUUCUCUUCAUCUUCUUCUUCACUGGCAUCUACAUUGGCGUCUCCCUCUUGGUUGGCAUCUUCCUCGUUUGUUGUUUGCGGUGGCUGUCCAACCAAUAAAUUGGGCAUUAAAGAACAAACAGAUAAAGUUAUAACAAUAAGAAUUAUAAACAUAAAAAGAAAAAAAAAAGAUAUUUGAAGGGAAAUUUUGGUAGAACUCCAUGGCUCAUCUAUGAAAUUAAUUUAAAGUUCUCGAGAGCUUACCUCUGCUCCAGAAUUCUCGGAAUCAUCCAUCUCCUUCUGAAUUUGCAGGAAGCAUGGGACAAUUACGAAUAAUUGCAUUCACUGCAGAUGGAAAUGGGAUCUGAUAUCCCGUAGGCCAAAAGUUGGUGAGGUUUGGUAAAUCUUUCAGCCUCAAGUUCCGAACUUUAUCCAGAACAAUUUCAUCGUAAUCCAUGACGUCUGCUCCAUCUUUAUGCCAGAAUACUUCUUCGAAUUCAUUAUUUUCUUCUAUGCAUAUACGAAUUAGUUUUUGAAGACUUGGAGCUACGCUGAUAUGAAAUAGAUGCUUUAGUUUGGGACAAUAACAGACAGAGAUCUCUAUGAGUUUUGGGAAACAAACAGGUUGGAGAUGAUCCUCAUCCUCAUCAAUGACUUGCUCUAAUUCCAGGCAAUAUAGAAUAUCCAACCUCUCCAAUUGCAACAGAUUUCGAGCAAGUGUUGAUGAGAGGAGACGUCUCAGCUUAGUGCACCCCCUUACGGUUAAAUCAGUAAGAUUUUGCAGGCUAAAAUUAUGCGUGGGACCUUCAUAAUAUAAUACUUGCAGUUCGUCAAGAACUUCCAAUUUCAACUCUUUCAAACAUGGGAAAUGUUUGUUUUCUUGUCCAUCAGCGAUAAUAGCUUCCGACUGAAAUAACACUUGCACUUCAAUUUCUCUUAUAUUCAAUUCUUCCAAAUUUUUUAACCCACGCUUCAACAGUGCGGGAAUUGUGUCACGCAAAUGGGAGCAAUCGUCCACGCUUAGAAUUCGUAAUUUCUGAGAAAAAUAAAUAACUUGAUGCAAUCAAAAUCUAUUAGCAGCUAGGACUAUCUCAUGAUAAUCAAUAAACUAACACCAAAAAAAAAAAAAAUUCCAAAUCCGUACAAAAUAGUUAUAUUUUAUGAAAGUAAUAUAUUUAUUAAAAAAAUAAAAUUAAUUAAAAGAGAUCAUGUGAAGUGAUAUAACGGUGAAAUCUGUUUGUUUAUGAAAAAAUUGUAUUCUAUUUCUAUGGCUUGAUAACUACUUAAUUGAAUUUGUUUAAUAUUAUAUAUGCUUCACAAGUGUUUUCAUCCGACCUUUUUUUUACCCCCUUCAAAACAAAAACGAGAAUUUGACUUUCAUUUGAAGAAUGAAUUUUAGGCCCUAAAAUAAGGAAGUUUUCCUAAGAUAUUGGAUCUUAUUGUGAUCAUCACCGUUAGCACUACCAUCAUCAUCAUCUCUCUACAAAGCCAAAUGCAAGGUGAUAUGAAUGGCGCAUCAUAAAAAUUAUUAAUAAACUAUCACUUUGAGUAAAAUUGAAGAAAAAAAAAAGAAAAAAACAUAAACACAAACGGACAUACCUCUCCAAGAUACUGCAAAUUAGCUUCAAGUUCUGUAUUGUUGGCGGUCAAGUUUGGACAGCAUCUUAGGUCUAACUUUUCCAACGCUGGCCAAGUUGAAUAAUAAUUUUCUGAACAGAAGCUGGUGAGUUCGGGGAGAUCUUCAAGGCUUAAUUUUCUCAACAAAGAUAGCUCGAGUAUUCUAUUUUCAUCUGCUACACUUAUUUCCCCUUCAUUAUGAUCAAACUCCGCUUUAACGAUAAAUUUUAUUCUCUCGCAUCUGAACACUGCAAGACUUUCAAGCUGCUUUAAACUUCGAGCUUGUGACAACGAGAAGACAUACGUCAAAUUGUUGCACGCGUACACAUGCAAUGCUGUAAGAGCUUGGAGGCUCACAUGUUGGGCGGGCGCCUUCCAUAUCUGCUUCAUUUCUGGUAACUCCAGCAUAUAUAACCUUGCUAAUUUUGAGAGCAUCAUAGGAUUCCCACUCUCUCCUUGCGGCGACUGAGAGGCAUCCAUUAUGCAUUCUAAAUCUUCACAAUUGUUGACAGAAAGAUAAGUCAACUCAUUGAAGCCCCUUGGAUCUAUGCUUGGCACAAUAUUAUGACAACCUAUUAUCCUGCUCAAAUCAAGAAAUUCCAGAUUUUGAUACAAUGCUGAAAAAAUACGGAGCGAGGUCGCUUCAAAAGGGUGAUCAAUGAUUAAACUCCUUGUCUUAUCACCAUCUUCCAUUUUAUAGCCAACUCUUUCACCUUUAAUCAUGUACCUUUGCAAUUUUGGGAAUGUAAAAUCUUUUGAAAGAUAUACAACAGGUCUGCCAACUUGGAAGUUAAACUCAGCAAGCCUAGCAUUACUUUCUUCUGAACUCAUCACUUCAACCUCCCAAUCUUUUAUCCGACCAUAAAAUUCUUCUAAUUGAGGAAAUUUUUUUAUCGUAACGGGAGAAACAGAACCAAUAUCAAUAUAUAGAAGUUUCAAUCUACGAAGUUCAUCCGACAAAUCUUCAGGAAUUUCAAUGGGAGAAUCCUCAAGAUAAAGAAGUUCAAGUCUCUUCAACUUUCCAAGAAAAGACGCGUCACUCACAUGACAUCCAAUCAACUGCAGAACUCGGAGGCUAUUGGCAAGGAAUCGAAGCGAUUUUAGUGAAAGGACUCCAUUUAUUAUAGUAACAACUUUCAAUGCUGGCAUCCCUUCAAAAAAAAUUUCUGGAACUUGCAAUUUGUAGACAAAUAGAGUAUUGUGCAGUCGCAAAAUAUGAAGGUUAGGGCAUACCAAACUACUAGGAAGCUCUUCUUUUUUAUUUCCCAAUACAGAGAUUCCUCUGUAUUGCUCCAAGCCUUCUUCCAUUGCCCGUUCUGCCAAUCCAAUGCCAACUUUACUAAAAAAUUUCUUCUCCACUAGUACUUCUGAGCCUAUCCAUAUGGCUACAUCACGAACUAUGUCAUGCAUUUUCACAGAUCUGUCAUUACCAGUGUCUAACAAUAGUGAAACAGCUUUGAGUCCGUCAAUUGUUCCAUGCAGUAGGCUUCUGGUGUUCUCUAUUGACUCAGCUUGAUACCAAGUCAACCCUACUGCAUAUCCAACCAAAUCCUCCAAAUGAAUCUCAUAAUCUUCUGGAAACAACGAACACAACAAGAAGCAUAACUUGGAAUUGUCAUCAUUCAAUUUAUCGUAACUAAAUUUGAGGCAACCGUAAACAUCUAAGUUCUCCUCAUCAAUACCUUCUAUUGCAUAGAGUUUUGCAGCCUUUAGGUUAUGUAGAGCCAAGUUCCAUUCAUUAAAUCCUUUUCCUCUUAGUGCACUUCCAACAGCUUCAAUAGCUAAAGGCAGCCCCUUACAUUCUCCAGCAACUUCUUUGGAAACAUCAUUCAAGGUGGAGUCAUUUACAUUAAUUCUGGCAUUUUUUCGCAGUAAAGCCAAUCCUUCUUCUGGCGUUAGUGUACUAAGUGGAAUCUGUGUGUCACAACCCAAAGAAUCACAAACUGACUUUUUGCGAGUCGUUAGAAGGAUUUUGCAACAAUUAUCUCUACCACCGACGGUAAUACCUAAUUUUUUCUCCGAGUCGAGUGUUUUCCAAACAUCAUCAAGGAUUACGAGGAUUUUGCUGCUUUUACUCUCAGAAAACAUCAAGCGCAAUCGGUCUGCUCUCUCUUUUUCAUCUUUCUCAUUUAGUGCCCAGCCUAACGACUUUGCCAGCUCACCUUGAACCUUGAUUAUAUCUGGAUCCUGAGACACAGUGGCUAUCCCCACCUUAUCGAAAAUCUUUUGUUGCCGAAGUUGAUUGCCCACAGAUUUUGCCAAGGUCGUCUUUCCUACACCGCCGAGACCAUGCAAUCCCACCAUCUUUGUGCUGUCUUUUUUCAGUGCUUCAGUGAUCUGAUUACAAGCCGAUUCUGUAGUCUCGAAAGAAGAAAAAAAUCUUGGAAUAGGCAUUUCUGUGUCUGAUGGUAGAGGUUUAGGAAGGGCAACUGUGCUGAAUUUGCCGCGGUCUUGUAGAUCGGACAACUUGCGAGUCUCUUUUGAUGCUUUUCUACCCAUCCAAUAUCGGAAACCCCAAUUAGGACACCAUCCAUUAAAACAACUCUUCUUUUCAUCUAUCUCUGUUUUCAAAUUUCGGACAUCGGCCAUUUCUUCGACUACAUCCGCCAGCCACUUCUCUACAUCUUUCUCAACUACUAUAGCGCAAUGUUUUUGUCGUUCUUCUUCUACUUUUUCGUUGAUGCCAUCUUGUGCCUCCUUCAAAUUAGUUUCUUUGAAACAGAACAGAUAGCGAGCUUGUUUUACAGUAGCAUCCACCAAUAAUUCUCCAAGCUUUGAUGCAAUAGCCAAUAAAAUUUCCAUGCUAUUUAUCUGCAAUUAACAAAGUUGAUCUCAGUACGCUAUAAGCAAAACAACAAGGCUUGAUCACAAUGUUUAAUAAGUUUUUUACUGAACGUUUAAUUACUUUCUUCUAUUCUGCGAAUGCACGUUUAUUAAUGCCAGCUUUGAUCAAUAAGAGCAAAAUGCAAACGCCAGACUUUAAGUAGCCUUUAGCUGCAAACAGAAGAGAAGAAAUAAGGUAAACGUGAUAGAUGGUGGAUUAUAUUGAAAUUAGAUUACUUUAGAAAUUUUUAAAAUUUGAAGAUAAUUAUCCCAUUCUUACUUCAAUCAAUAUUCUAAUACAAUAAUUCCAUAAAUCUCAAAUAAUAUCUUAAGAUUUUUUGUUUUCCUCAAACACUCAUAUGAUUAGUUUAAUUAUUUAUUACUCUAUUUUACUACAUAAUUGAUGCAAAUAACACUUUGUUUGGGAUGGUAAAGAUUGGGGUAAAUUCCCUUUUAGUCUCUAAAAUUUGGGCCUAUUAUAGCUAUUGAACAUACUUUCAAAUGUAAAAUAGUAUUUUCUGUCUAAGAUAAAUUAAAAAUCAAACAAAUCUAUCAUGCAACAAAUGAAAAAUAAAGAAUAUUAAUUAAGUUUUGAUGGAAACAAAUAUAAAAUAUAGAGGUUUUGAGUAAUUUUUGUAUUUUUUUAAUGGUUGAGUUAGAAUUGAAUAAUUUGCAUAAUGAAAAUUUGAGGUUGUAUAAUUUAUAUGAAGAUAAACUGCAAAAUAAGUUUACGUGCAGAAUUUAAGAUAGUUAUAUAUUAGUAAUUAUGCAAUUAUCAAAUUUUUUUAAUAAAAUUUAUUUAAAAAUUGGCCAAUUGUGUUUCAUGAAGUAAACAAAGAGCAUAAUGGACUUAUGUGGGUGCUUGGGAUUGAAAGACUAAGAGGCCAGAAGAUAGGACGGUACGAAAGUUAAUUUUAAUUAUAAGGUAUGCUCAACAGAAGUGACUUGGAGGUGAUUGUCGUUAAUCUAUUAUCUUUAACUUUAGAAUUAAUACAAAUAAAUGAAUGAAAAUUAAUGUAAUAAAAAAAUCGCACUAAAAACUUGGAACUUAAAUUCUCAAUCAUCUUUUCCGUAUGUUUUAAUCCAACGGUCAGAAUUGGCAUAAAACAAACUAGUAUAGCCAUUGGAAUUAAGUAAAAUAAACAUCAAACUAAGAGGCAAGAGCCUAUGAAAGCAAUAAUAUCUCAUACCUUCUUCCGUUUAUAUCUUCAAUUACUGCUGAAAGCUCUAGCUAGAGAGUCGCACAAGCUCGGAGAAAAUUAAAAGCUGCAUCUAGCAAUAUAAAUAAACAUCAGAUCAAACCAACAUAGGAUAUAUCUAGAUAAUUAACAUCAUAUAUAACUGCUUAUUCUCAGUCAAAUCUUUCAUUCUUAGAAAAAAAAAAUUGAAAUAAUAACUGUAAGUGAUAUAGGAAGCAAAAGUAACAUACCAAAACGAGAGCAGCUAGCUCACAGAUCUGGUGACUUCCAAGAGCAUGAAAAAUGAUUGAGGUUUAAUAGCAAGGUCCGAGUCAUGUUUCAUAAGUUGCUAUUGACUUCGUGGCUUCGCUUUUCUUUGUUUUUUUUCGUUUUUUGUGUUUGUUUAUAUAUAUAUAUGAUGAGGGGGUAAUAAUUUUUUUGGGUUCGGCUAUAUUGUAGUUUAUCUACGGUGGAGCGCAAAUCACAGCCACACACAUAAAGUGAUAAUUAAUAAAUAAUGAAUUAUAAUGAGAUUUUUACUAUUUAUCAUUUUGCGUGUGUGAUUGAGAUUCGUGCUCACUGUAGGUGAAAUUCAACAUAGCCAUACCCUUUUAAAAACCUUUCGUGAGGUUUAAGGUCACUCGGAUAGACUAUAUUUCGGAACUACCAAAUAUCCCCCUGCCCAUUGUACUCUGUUUAGCAUCUUUUGGAUGGUUGAGGGUAAUUUGGUAAAACUCAUUUAAAAAUAAAAAAUUUCAAAGAAAUUCUAAAAGAAGCUUUGUAUCUGGCCAUCUGGGGUAUAUCCUUGGAGUUGUCGUGGGAAUGAGUUUGAAUCUAAAGAUUUUCAUUCUCUUAUUUUAUUUAUUUCUCCUAGGAAUGAAUUUGAGCCUUAUUUUCAUGAGACUCAUUCUUUUUAAAUAAAGAUAGAUAUCUCCCUACAUAUUUGAGGUAUAUUUUUAAAAUUAAUGUUCAACAUAUCUGUGGAGUGUAUUAUAAAUAUUUAUGUCUAAAAUCUCAACAGAUUUCACUAUAUAUAUAUAUAUAUAUAUAUAUAUAUAUAUAUAUAAGCGGGAUUAGCUAAACAAUAAAAAGAACACAUUAUGAUUGGAAAUACGGAAUUAGAAUUGUGAUUAUAAUAUGAAUUUUAAUUGAAAUUGAAAUUGUAAUUGCAACUAGAAUUGUAAUUGCGAUCGGAUAUGUAAUUAUCAAUGUAAUAGAAGUUGUAAUUAUUACGGCUAUUGUAAUUGUUCUUGUGUAAUUGCAACUGUGUUUUUAAUUUUAAUUACACUUAAUAAUACAAUUAUAAUUGUGAUCAUAAUUGCAAUUGUAAUUACAAUUGUAUCUUUAAAAAAAAAUUAAUUACAGUUGUUAUUCUAUUUAUUGUUACAAUUACAAUUUUAUUAUCGUUAUUCUUAUUGUAAUUGUUGUUAAAUAUUAUUAGAAUAAAAAUAUUAUUAGAAUAGCCAUUGUAACUGUCAAUGGAAUUACGAGUACAAUUGUUAUUGUAAUUAUUAUUGUAAUUGGGAUUAAAAUUGAAAUUGUAACAAAGUAAAUGGAAUUACAAUUGAAAUUAAAUUUGUAACGGUUGUUUAAAUUAAUAAUAAAAAAAUGAAAUUGAAAUUAUUGAUGUAGUUAUUAUAAUUGCAAUUGUAAUUUUAGUUGUAAGAAAGUUCAACUGAAAUUAUCAAUCGUAAAUAUAAUUAAAAUUGCAAUUAGAAUUGUUCAACAAACAUUUACAGAAAAAAGUGUCAAUGCUAUUUUUUAUUUUUGAAAAAGAAAGAGAAGCAACAGUAACCAAAUUCUUAGAGCAGUAUAAAUGCUGCGUUUAAUUGUCAGUAAUCUAAAUGGGUUGGAAUGAGUAUGAGCUGUAAUGGAAAUGGGGAAUGAAAAUCAAAAUAAGUUGUUUACUUGAGCUAUAGGAAUCAAAAUCGAAAUAGACUGAAAUUCUAUUGAUGUGUUUAUUUUAUUUUGAAAUAAGAACCGAAAUAAGUUAAAUAAUUCUAAAUUACUAAAAUGUUGUUAGUUAAUUAUAAUAUAAUUAUUUUAUUAUCGUCGCCAUCAGGGGCGGAUUCACCUUAGGACCAGUGGGGACUUAAGCCCCCACUGGAAAAUUUUUUUUUUAAUAAUUAAUUUAGUUUUCUUAAAAUUCUCAAUAAUUUUUUCUAAAGCCCCCACUAAUUUAUAGUCAAGCCUAUAAUUUUUUCUAAAGCCCCCAGUGAAUCACUAUGAUUUUUUCUAAAGCCCCCAGUAAAUCACUAUGCUGUCUCCGCCCCUGGUCGCCAUCAUCAUCAUUAUCAUUACCAUUAUCAUAUUUUUUAAUUUUUAUUAUUAUAAAAAUAAUUGUUAAUAAUAAUAAUAUUAAAAAUAAUAUCAUUAAUAAUUUAUUAAAAUGCCUUUUGUUAAUUAUUGUCUAAUGAUGGUGGUGGUGGUGGUGGUGAUAAUAAUGGUGAUAAAUAAUAAUUAAUAAAUUAAUAACAAUAAUGACGACACCAAUAAUAAUAGUAAAAUUUGUAAUAUAAAUAAAAUAAUUAAUAAUAAUUAUUAUUAUUACAAUAAUAAAUAAAUAAUAGAAAUAAUUAAUAAAUUAAUAACAAUAACAACAAUAAUAAUAAAUUUUAUAAUAAUAUAAAUAAUAAAAUAACAACAACAACCAAUUAUAACAACAAUAAUAACUAAAUUCCAUAAUAAUAAUAAUAAUAAUUUUCAGUUUUUUUCAAUUUAUAUUUUUAAUUUCUAAAGAGGGUGUAUUUAAAACGUAUUAGAAAUAAUUUUGUUAUUCUAGGGAAUGGAGUUUCCAUUCCCAACUCUUCUUAAGAAAUCACAACUCUAACAAUCAAUCUAAAAUUUAUGAGGAGUCAUGAAACUCAUUCUGAUUCCGAAACUUAAUUUAACAAAUAAACAAAUUAUUCAUUUCAAUUCAUUUUCUCCGAUUCCCGAGUUGUAAAACACAGUAUAACUUUUUUUUUUUUUUGUUGUUGUUUCAGCUGGGCGACCACAAGUUGUUGCUGUCAGUUGCCCGCAAAUUCUCGACUAUUUCAAAAUAACUUCCAGUCGCUGAUUGUACAAGGCAUCAAAUCCAGUGCUCUAUAUUUGUUUAAAAACAUUUUAUUACAUGGGAUCUUUUAAUAGAUCCAGUGCAUGCAGCCGUAGCCGUUGUGGGGUUUCGACAACUUUUGUCUUAUAUGGCGACUUUUUGUUGUUGUUUUAUUUGUAUGAUGACUAUCAUGGACCUACGUGCCCGCAUUUAAAACUUCAUAAUAAUUUAAAAAAACAAAAGAAAUUGGUCUCACAUUAUAAUUUGUUCAAACAAUAUUAUUUUAACACAAACGAUCAAAAUAAAUUUUAUAUUCACUAAAAACUUAAUAUAUAUAUAUAUAUAUAUAUAUUAUAACAUAAAUAUGAAAACAACAUUUGAAAAAAAAAUACAUAGGCACCUUUAAAUUUGAUGUAUAGCACUAGAAUAUUCUUUGUUGUAGGUCGCUUCUUUUGUAUUUAAAAUUUUCUAAUAAUUUAAAUAAAAUAAUAGAAGUGCGUCUCACAUAUAGUUUAUUGUAUAAUUUUUUCAAACAAUAGUAUUUUAAUACAAACGACCAAAGCAAACUUCAUAUUUACUAAAAAUUAACCAUAUAUAUUAUAACAUAAAUAUGAAAACAACGUUUGACAAAAAUAUAAAGGCACCUUUAAAUUUAUUGUACAGCACUCUAUCAAUAUUUGUCGUAGGUCUUUCUUUUGCAUUUAAAAUUUCGUAAUGACUUAAAUAAGACAAAAGUAGUGGGUUUCACAUACGAUUUAUUAUAUAAUUUUUUAAACAAUAUUAUUUUAAUACAAAUGACGAAAAAAAAACUGUAUAUUCACUAAAAAUUAUAUAUAUACACACACACACAUAUACAUAUUAUUACAUAAAUAUGAAAACAACAUUUGAAAAAAAUACAAAGACACCUUUAAAUUUAUUGUAGAACACUCGAUCAAUUCUUAUCUUAGGUCCCUUCUUUUUCAUUUAAAAUUUUGUAAUAAUUUAUAUAAGACAAAAGAAAUGGACUUGACACAUAAUUUAUUGUAUUUUUUUUAAGGUUGUAUAUUUUUUUCAAAUAAUAUUAUUUUAAAAUUUCAUAAUAAUUUAAAUGAGACAAAAGAAAUGGGUCUCACAUAUAAUUUAUUGUAAAUUUUUUUUUCAAACAAUAUUAUUUUAAUACAAACGACCAAGAGAAAUUUCAUAUUCACUAAAAAUUAAUCAUAUUUACAUUAUAACAUAAGGCAAUUCCUAAGUUACGAUUUGUGUAACUUACGGCCUGGCAAAUUUUAAGUGUUAAAUGUGCUUGUAUCCAAUCCAACGGACGACAUCAAAUUUAUCACAAAGUAGUAACGAGUGGUAACUCGACUGAACUGAUUGUUUCAAGUGAUGGGCUACCUGUCCUUGCCUCUCUCUUAAGAAUCUAAGCAGCGAAGAACUUGACUUGGAAAUUGGCGAGGAAGGACUGUUUAUCGGAGAUGAGUAUAGAGGUGGUGACCUCCCAAGUAGCGUCGGCUUGUUGAAACUGAAUGAGCCACUAAUUCGCUGCCACGCGGUUGCAUAAUUAGUUCUUGUGAUUCAACCCAUGAAAAAUUGCUCCACCUGAAUUUGCAAGUCCAUCUGCAUCACAUGACAAAUUCGGUUGCGGAUUUUGAGGAGGAUGGUCUUGGAGGAUAUGAAACUCCUCUUGCUUAACAUUUUGGGUCUUCCUAAUUUUUGUUUCUUCAUACAAUAGCAAACAUUUGAGGUUAAAGCCUAUUUAAUCUAUUUAUUUUUUAAAAUAUCUUAAAACAUCCUUAUCGUUAAAGUAUUAAUACACCUGCCGUUAUUUUUAUUUAUUUUGGCUUAUUUGUACAAUAUCACCCUUUUAUAAUAAUUUUUUUAUUUAGACAUUAAUAAAAAGAAAAUAAUUAAAUUACCAAUUUAAUUAUAGAAAAUAAAAAAAAUUAUAAUAAUUUUUUUACAAGCACCAUUUGCACACUUGGUAGUUUGCAUACAAUUUUUGACAAUUAAAAAUAAUAUAAUUUUUUAUUUUAUUUUUAGGGUUAAAUUGGUAAUUUAAUUAUUUUUUUAUUAAUGUUCAAAAAAUAUUAUAAAAGGGUAAUAUUAUAAAAGUAAGCCAAAAGAAAUAAAAAGUAACGGUAGGGGUAUCAAUACUUUAACGGCAGGGAUAUUUCGAGACAUUUUAAAAAAUAUAGAAACUAAAUAAAUACUAAUCUUAAAAUAAAAGGACUAAUAAACUUUUACGUUUGGGAUUUAUUUCAGUGAAAUCCACCAUAAAGCCCUCAAAUCUCUAAUACUCGCUUCUUUGGGAAGAUCUUUCACUUAACCAAUCACAAAAAAAGAUGUCUCUCUUUAAAGUUAAGGAAAAGGCACAAAGAAACAUUAAACAUAACCGACCACAGAAAAAAUCCAAUUUUCAGUUUAAUGUUUAAAAUUCAAUAAAGUUAAGAAAGCAUGUUUCACUCUUUCAGGGAUUGCAUCCCUUGUCAAUCAAUCGUUUCUUCGUGCAUGGUCCAACCUGAAUAUGUCAUUCAACCCGUAAAAGCUUCCCUGAAGUUUUGGCAUCAAAUGGAACAUCUGCUGAACCCACAAGUUGGAGAUUAUCGGAGACAAAAAUAAGCACGCUGCCAGCGGGACUACAGAGCUGGCAAUUGAUGGUGGUGAUGGAGUGUUGGCACUGCAGGAAGGGAUGGCUAGUGAACUCAGCAACGAUAUUUUGCGAGUCUACGCCUCCCUCUCUUUUUUAAUUUCGCAUUUACUGUUUCCGCUAGAGACUCACGUGACCGAGAGAGAGAGAGAGAGGGGUCUUCUUAAUUUAAUGUUUAGAAUUUAAUCGUGAAACGACCUCGUUUUUAUUUAUCGCCAUGGAUUAUAGAAGGUAAUCUUUUACGCUACGUUUGAAAGAUAUAAUUGGAUUAAAUUAGAGUUGAUUAUAUAAUACUAUCUUUUGUUUGGUACAAUAUUAGACAAGACUAUGCUAAUUUAAUUUAAUAAAGCUAAAUACUAUUUAAAUAAUAUAAUAUUUUUAAAUUAUAUUGAUAAUUGUUUACUUUAAUAUUUAAUAUCCAAUAUUAGUUUAAGUAAAUUAAUGAAUAAAAUUUUGAUGUUCUAUAUAAAAUAAAAUUACAUGUUGAAAAAAUUAUGAAAUUAACUUCUAUGUUUAAUUUUUUUUUCUAAAUAUUAGGUUAAAUGAAAAAUAAAAUAGUGAAAAAAAUACACAAAUUCUUCAUUUAAUUUUAUCCCACCUAAACCCAUAUAAAUAUGAGGACUAAUAAUCCCAAUUUUUUUGACUAAAUCUUAAUCUAUCCUAUUAGUUCAUGACACCUAAACAUAUUUUAGGAUUAAAUUAUUUUAUUAAUCUUAAAAUAUAAUCCAAUCGCACAAUUUAUCCAACCUUCCAAACAUAACCUUAAUUGACUCUUUUACCAUCGCUCUCCAACCGUUUCAACCAAUUACAAUUUCCUUACUGUUACGUACAUGUGGCAUAUUUUUACUGGUUGACUAAUUAAAUCACGGGCUGUAACAUACAGUAAAACGUAACUUAGGGUGACCCCAUAACAUAAAUAUGAAAACGGGAAAAUUCUAUAAUGUCGUAAUUAAAUUUACGGCAUUGAUGCCGUAAUAGACGUGGACCGUUAGAUUAAAUCAACGAUUCACAAUAAUAAUAAAAUAAUAAAAAAAUUUAAUUAAAUUAUAUAUAACCGGUUUAUAACCGGUUAAGUACUUUUUAAAAUAAAAUUCCGGUGAUAUAAAUUUAAAGGAAAAAAGGAUUUACUUUUUAAAAGAAUAAAAAAAAAUACAAAGGGAAAACUUGAUCCCUAAUUAACGAAUUGCAAAAGAUAUAGUCACACCCACUGCUGCGUUAACUUCCGUUCGGGUGCACCGGCGAUACGUCUGCAGAUUGCAACCAUUCUUUGAGUUGAUUUUCUGUCUUGUUCGAAUUGUUGAGUCUCUGUCGUUGCUGCCUCUGUCUUGGUUUUGGCAGUCGUCACCUGUGCAAGGUAAGUUUAAUCCUCUUUCUCGUUCGAAUUGCUAAGCAAUUUCGUUUUCUUUGCUGAAUUUGCUAAGUAAUUUAAUUCCAGAUUUCUCAUUCAAUUUUAUAUUAACUGACAUAGUAUCAUCGUCAUAAUUUGUUCACGGAAUUCUUAGAUUCAAUUCCGCUGGAAUUAACAAGUCUCUGCACGCCGGAUUUGUUCACGGAAUUAAGAAGGUCUGUGCAAAGUGUUUGGGUUUGCUGGACCACAUAGACAUUGCCCACUUGCCUGGCAAUCUGUCACUAUACCGGCUGGACCACAUAGACAUCUUUCUCAAAGUCUUUGAGUGAAUAGUAAGUUCAUACUCUCCAUUUUCUAGUGUAUAUAUAUCUCAAUUGUGGGAAAGAAAUCUGUAAUAAUUCACUGCUACUAACAGAUCAUAAUUUAGUACAAGUUCACGCUCAUGAUAAUUUGUAAUAAGAUGUCUGUUUUCCAGCAAUUGUUAAACUUGCAAUCAUUGUUCACAAUUGCAGCCUGCAUCUUUGCCGUAUUUCUCAUUUUCAAAUGGUUUCUUAUCCAACCACUUAGCACCAAAAAAACUUCAAAGUAGGUUGAUGAUUUUCUUGAGGUAGUCAUUCAAGAACAUGAGAAUAAGAUGAGUGACAAUUCUCAAGUUGAAGAUCAUAAGGACUUUAUAGAUGUCUUGUUUUGGCUUGAGAAAGAAAAUAAUUAGCUGCUGUUUUUAGGUUAAAUUUUCUGUUGUUUCUGGGUAAAUUGGCUGGUGUUUUUCAGUUAUUUUUCUGCUGUUUUUGGGUUAUAUUUUUUGCUGUUUCCAGGUAAAAUGUUCUGGUGUUUUGGGCUUCAUUUGCUGCUGGUUCUAGGUUAAAUAUUUUGCUGUUUUUGGGUAAAUAUACUGCUAUUUUUCAGUUAAAUUUUCUGCUGUUUUUGGAUAAAAUUUUUGCUGUAUUUGGGAUGAUUUGCUACUGUUUGUGGUUAAAAUUUUCUGGUGUUUUGGGCUUCAUUUGCUGCUGUUUUUAGGUUAAAUUUUCUGCUGUUUUUGGGUAAAUUGGCUGCUGUUUUUCAGUUAAAUUGUUUGCUAUUUUUGGAUAAAUUUACUGCUGUUUUUGGGUUAUAUUUUAUGCUGUUUCCAGGUAAGUCUUUUUGGUGUUAUGGGCUUCAUUUACUGCUAUUUUUUGGUUAAAUAUUUUGCUGUUUUUGGAUAAAUUUACUGCUUUUUUGGAUAAAUUUACUGCUGUUUUUGGGUUAUAUUUUUUGCUGUUUUCCUGGCAGUCUGUCACUAUGUCGGCUGGACCACAUAGACAUCUUUCUCAAAGUCUUUGAGUGAAUUGUAAGUUCAUACUCUCCAUUUUCUAGUGUAUAUAUAUCUCAAUUGUGGGGAAGAAAUUUGUAAUAAUUCACUGCUACUAAUAGAUCAUAAUUUAGUACAAGUUCACGCAUAUGAUAAUUUGUAAUAAGAUGUCUGUUUUCCAGCAAUUGUUAAACUUGCAAUCCUUUAUCACAAUUGCAGCCUGCAUCUUUGUCGUAUUUGUCCUUUUCAAAUGGUUUCUUAUCCAACCACUUAGCACCAAAAAAUCACUACCACCUUCUCCCCCACAGCUCCCAAUCAUUGGAAACCUUCACCAACUGGGCUUGUUCCCUCAUUGCUCACUCGGUGCUUUGGCACAAUGCUAUGGCCCCCUGAUGUUGCUUCACUUAGGCAAAGUGCCAGUGCUUGUUGUCUCUUCUGCUGAUGUUGCCUGUGAGAUCGUUAGAAAUGUAAUCUUUGCAAUCAACCAAAAUUAACCCCAUUUGUAAAACUUUUAAACGGUUGUAUAGAUGUCUCUAUGACACCUUAUGGUGAGUACUUAAGAAAAGUUAAAAGCUUAUUUGUUGUACAACUUUUAAGUAACAAAAGGAUUCAUUAUUCUUUUCGUGAUGUUAGAAUAGAAAAAUAUAAUGAUCAAGGAGAAGUUGGUAGUAAGUUUAGGAAGCAGUUUAAGGACUUUAUUGAGUUGAUGGCUACUUUUCAUGUGGGAGAUUAUAUUCCAUGGCAAGGUUGGUUGUGCUAUUUUAAUAGCUUGAAUGCCAAGCUUAAGAAAACUUCAAAGGAGGUUGAUGAUUUUCUUGAGGUAGUCAUUCAAGAACAUGAGAAUAGGAUGAGUAACAAUUCUCAAGUUGAAGAUCACAAGGACUUUAUAGAUAUCUUGCUUUGGCUUCAGAAAGAAAAUAUUUUAAACUUUCCUAUUGAUAAAGCUUCAUUUGCUGCUAUUUUUAGGUUUAAUUAUCUGCUGUUUCUGGGUAAGGUGGCUGCUGUUUUUCAGUUUAUUUUUCUGCUGUUUUUGGAUAAAUUUACUGCUGUUUUUGGGUUAUAUUUUUUGCUGUUUUAAGGUAAUUUUUUUGGUGUUUUGGAUCCUCUUCUUUCUCCAAUUGCAGGGCCUGAAGAUAUAAACAUCAGCUAUCAGGAAGCCCAAAGUAACAAUGAUGAGAGUAAAACUACCAAGAAUUUCAAUAAUUCCAUAUUUAAAGUUUAUAGAAUUUGUUACUAGAAUACUCUGAAUGGCUAAGUAAUUUCUCAAAAGAUUUGGAAACAAUGAAACAUAUGUUUGACUUACAAUUGAUCAAAAAAUAGGUCCAUCAACAUUGUUUUCCCGGUCCCUACUCCCCCAUAAAGGUACAAUCCUUUGACAGGUGAGUAUGAAGAUUGUGGUAGUAAACGUGACCACAGCCACCGACUCCUGUAGACAAACAGGACUAUCUGUCAAAUAGUUAUGUAAAUUCGCACCACAUUAACAUUGUAGAAUUACAAAUUUAAAAAAAGAAAAAUAGACCAGAUGAACAGGGGAGUGAUCCUGCAAUAUUAAAAUGUAAUCCAUUAGUUGAAAUCUGAACAAAAUUAGAGUAAACUGUAAUAUUUACCUUUCAGAUUUCUCAGAAGAUGAAUAGCGAUCUAACUUCCAGGCAUCAGCUGAUUCAACAAGCUAAUCAUACAGUCUUUGAAGUUCUCCUAACGCUCCUAACUGCCAAAAAAAAAAAUUUCACUGUAAGGGCAACUUUUACAUCAUUAAACAACAUAGUAGAUGGUCCACUCACUUCUUAGUCAUCAGGGAACUGACCGUUCCAGUGGUGCCAACUUUGAUGGAUCCUCCACUGCUCUUGAUAGUUUCUAGUGUAUGAACCAUGUUUUUCCACAAGUUUCAAUUAGAAGUCUAAGAAAAGAUCUUCCAAAAGAUGAAGUUCUUUGCCCUCAAAGCUCGCUUGGAGAAAGAUUGCAGAUGAAAGGAAUUAAAAUCCUGCAAAGCAAUAACACCACCCAAUGCAUGUAGAUUUGAGUUGUAUUUUCUGGUUGAAAGGUAGCUCAUAUUCUUAACAUUAAAGUUAUUUUUUUUCCCCAAAAAAUGAUAUAGUUACACUGGCAAACUAUAAAGCUGCAAAUUGAAAGAAAAGCCGGAUAAUUCCCAGAAAAUACUAUUUUCUUCUACAGUGACGUUGAGACUUAAUGGGAAAUGUUUUUUUUUUUCCGCCUUUUAUUUUCAAAAAAGGGGAAAAAUAGAUAGUAUAAAAUUUUUUUUUUUUAACUUUUUUGCUGUUGAUGGUGCCAUAAUUGUUAUAAUAUUGAAUUUUUUUAAUAAAUAAUAACUAUAAAAAUAUUUUAAUUAAUUAUUAUAAAUUUUAAUUAGGUAAUAUUAAAUAAAUAAUAAUAAUAAAAGAUUAAUAAAUUAUAAUGAAUUAUAAUUAUAAUAAUAUUAUAAUAAAUAAUAAUGAAAUAAUUUCAUACUGAUAGUAAUACAACAAAAUUAUAAAUAUAAUAAUAUUUUUACUAAAUAACAAUAUAAUAAAAUAUUAAUAAUAAUAACUUAUUAUUAUAAUAAUUAUUAUAAAGUUUGAUUGCAAUAAUAUUUUCAUAAAUAAUAAUCAUAUAACAAAAUCAUGAAAUUAAUAAAUAAUAACAAUAAUGAAUUAGUAAUCAUAAUUAUAAUACUAUUUUAAUAAAUAUGAUGAUGAUGAUGAUGAUGAUGAUGAUGAUUAUUAUUAUUAUUAUUAUUAUUAUUAUUAUUACAAUAAUCAACAAAGGGCAUUAAAGUAAAUUAUGAUAAUUCAUUCUGAUUUCAAGACAAAUUAAACACAUCGAUGGAAAUGAAUCUCAUUCCGACUUCAAUUUCUACAACUCAAAUAAAUAACUUAUUCUUAUUCACAUUCUUGAUUCUAAUUGUAGCCCGUUCCGAUUACUGAUUAGUAAAUGCACCAUGAGCAGAUUAUUGUGGUUUAAUUGGGUCUGUUUCAUUUCAAGUUUCAUAUCAUUUUCAUUGUUCAAUUUAAAAUUUUGAUUUGACCUUCAACCUAAUCAACUUAACCAGAUGAUAUAAGGUUUGGGUAGAAUUGGGUUAAACAAGUUUAUUUAGUUAAGUUUGAUGGAUUUUAUCUCAGCUCAUUAAAAAGUAGACCAGGUUAGAAUUUCACUAACCCUAUCAAAUCCAACUCAUGCUCACCCUUAUAUCAUUCUAUCUAAAUCAUAAAAUGCCAAUAAUCCAACUCUUUAACCAUUUUCACAUUGGAUUUAAGUUGAGGCAAUUGACCUGAACUAAAUAACCUAAAUUUCAAAUAAAUGUGAAAUAACACAAAAAAUUUCUAAACCACACAUAUGACUCGUAAAUUGAAGGUAAAACAGGUAAAUUAGCGUUAGAGUGGUAAAUUGGUAUACAAAAUUUAUAAAAAAAAUAGAAAAAAAACUAGUAAAUUGAUAGAAAAUGUAGUAAAUAAAUGUUGGAGUUGUAAAUUACAAGAAGAAAUUGUAAACAAAACAAAAACUUAGAAAAAUGACAUAGAACUUGUAAAUUGAAAUUAAAUGUGAAAUGAAACAAAUAAUUUGUAAACCACACAUAAAACUAGUAAAUUAAUGGAAAAAGGGGUAAAUUAAUGUUGGAGUUGUAAUUGGCAAGAAGAACUUGUAAACAAAACAAAAACUUAGAAAACUUACAUACAACUAGUAAAUUGACAUUACGUGUGAAAUGAAACAAAAAAAAGUGUAAAUCACACAUAAAACUAGUAAAUUGAUGGAAAAAAUGGUAAAUUAAUGUUGGAGUUGUAAAUUGCAAGAAGAACUUGUAAACAAAACAAAAACUUAGAAAAAUGACGUAGAACUUGUAAAUUGACAUUAAGUGUGAAAUGAAACAAAAAAUGUGCAAAUCACACAUAAAACUAGUAAAUUGAUGGAAAAAUGAGUAAAUUAAUGUUGGAAUUGUAAUUUACACGAAGAACUUGUAAAUAAAACAAAAAAUUAUAAAAAUGACAUAGAACUAGUAAAUUCACAUUAAGUGUGAAAUAAAACAUAAAAUUUGUAAACCACACAUAACACUAGUAAAUUAAUGAAAAAAAUGGUAAAUUAAUGUUGGAAUUGUAAUUUGCACGAAUAACUUGUAAAUAAAACAAAAACUUAUAAAAAUGACAUAGAACUAGUAAAUUCACAUUAAGUGUGAAAUAAAACAUAAAAUAUGUAAACCACACAUAAAACUAGUAAAUUAAUGAAAAAAAAUGGUAAAUUAAUGUUGGAAUUGUAAUUUGCACGAAGAACUUGUAAACAAAACAAAAACUUAUAAAAAUGACAUAGAACUAGUAAAUUGACAUUAAUUGUGAAAUAAAACAAAAAAUGUGUAAAUCAUACAAAAAACUAGUAAAUUGAUGGAAAAAUGAGUAAAUUAAUGUUGGAGUUGUAAUUUGUACGAAUAACUUGUAAACAAAACAAAAACUUAGAAAAAUGACAUAGAACUAGUAAAUUCACAUUAAGUGUGAAAUAAAACAUAAAAUAUGUAAACCACACAUAAAACUAGUAAAUUAAUGAAACAAAUGGUAAAUUAAUGUUGGAAUUGUAAUUUGCACGAAGAACUUGUAAACAAAACAAAAACUUAGAAAAAUGACAUAGAACUAGUAAAUUGACAUUAAUUGUGAAAUAAAACAAAAAAUGUGUAAAUCACACAUAAAACUAGUAAAUUGAUGAAAAAAUGAGUAAAUUAAUGUUGUAGUUGUAAUUUGUACGAAAAACUUGUAAACAAAACAAAAACUUAGAAAAAUGACAUAGAACUAGUAAAUUCACAUUAAGUGUGAAAUAAAACAUAAAAUAUGUAAACCACACAUAAAACUAGUAAAUUAAUGAAACAAAUGGUAAAUUAAUGUUGGAAUUGUAAUUUGCACGAAUAACUUGUAAACAAAACAAAAACUUAGAAAAAUGACAUAGAACUAGUAAAUUCACAUUAAGUGUGAAAUAAAACAUAAAAUAUGUAAACCACACAUAAAACUAGUAAAUUAAUGAAACAAAUGGUAAAUUAAUGUUGGAAUUGUAAUUUGCACGAAGAACUUGUAAACAAAACAAAAACUUAGAAAAAUGACAUAGAACUAGUAAAUUGACAUUAAUUGUGAAAUAAAACAAAAAAUGUGUAAAUCACACAUAAAACUAGUAAAUUGAUGAAAAAAUGAGUAAAUUAAUGUUGUAGUUGUAAUUUGUACGAAAAACUUGUAAACAAAACAAAAACUUAGAAAAAUGACAUAGAACUAGUAAAUUCACAUUAAGUGUGAAAUAAAACAUAAAAUAUGUAAACAACACAUAAACAAGUAAAUUAAUGAAAAAAAUGGUAAAUUAAUGUUGGAAUUGUAAUUUGCACGAAGAACUUGUAAAUAAAACAAAAACUUAUAAAAAUGACAUAGAACUAGUAAAUUGACAUUAAUUGUGAAAUAAAACAAAAAAAAUGUGUAAAUCACACAUAAAACUAGUAAAUUGAUGGAAAAAUGAGUAAAUUAACGUUGGAGUUGUAAUUUGUACGAAUAACUUGUAAACAAAACAAAAACUUAGAAAAAUGACAUAGAACUAGUAAAUUCACAUUAAGUGUGAAAUAAAACAUAAAAUAUGUAAACAACACAUAAAACUAGUAAAUUAAUGAAACAAAUGGUAAAUUAAUGUUGGAAUUGUAAUUUGCACGAAGAACUUGUAAACAAAACAAAAACUUAGAAAAUGACAUAGAACUAGUAAAUUGACAUUAAUUGUGAAAUAAAACAAAAAAUGUGUAAAUCACACAUAAAACUAGUAAAUUGAUGAAAAAAUGAGUAAAUUAAUGCUGUAGUUGUAAUUUGUACGAAAAACUUGUAAACAAAACAAAAACUUAGAAAAAUGACAUAGAACUAGCAAAUUCACAUUAAGUGUGAAAUAAAACAUAAAAUAUGUAAACAACACAUAAAACAAGUAAAUUAAUGAAAAAAAAUGGUAAAUUAAUGUUGGGAAUGUAAUUUGCACGAAGAACUUGUAAACAAAACAAAAACUUAUAAAAAUGACAUAGAACUAGUAAAUUCACAUUAAGUGUGAAAUAAAACAUAAAAUAUGUAAACCACACAUAAAACUAGUAAAUUAAUGAAAAAAAUGGUAAAUUAAUGUUGGAAUUGUAAUUUGCACGAAGAACUUGUAAACAAAUCAAAAACUUAGAAAAAUGACAUAGAACUAGUAAAUUGACAUUAAUUGUGAAAUAAAACAAAAAAUGUGUAAAUCACACAUUAAAACUAGUAAAUUAAUGAAAAAAAUGAGUAAAUUAAUGUUGGAAUUGUAAUUUGCACGAAGAACUUGUAAACAAAACAAAAACUUAGAAAAAUGACAUAGAACUAGUAAAUUGACAUUAAGUGUGAAAUAAAACAUAAAAUAUGUAAAUCACACAUAAAACUAGUAAAUUGAUGAAAAAAUGAGUAAAUUAAUGUUGGAAUUGUAAUUUUCACGAAAAACUUGUAAACAAAACAAAAACUUAGAAAAAUGACAUAGAACUAGUAAAUUCACAUUAAGUGUGAAAUAAAACAUAAAAUAUGUAAACAACACAUAAAACAAGUAAAUUAAUGAAAAAAAUGGUAAAUUAAUGUUUGAAUUGUAAUUUGCACGAAGAACUUGUAAACAAAACAAAAACUUAGAAAAUGACAUAGAACUAGUAAAUUGACAUUAAUUGUGAAAUAAAACAAAAAAUGUGUAAAUCACACAUAAAACUAGUAAAUUGAUGAAAAAAUGAGUAAAUUAAUGCUGUAGUUGUAAUUUGUACGAAAAACUUGUAAACAAAACAAAAACUUAGAAAAAUGACAUAGAACUAGCAAAUUCACAUUAAGUGUGAAAUAAAACAUAAAAUAUGUAAACAACACAUAAAACAAGUAAAUUAAUGAAAAAAAUGGUAAAUUAAUGUUGGAAUUGUAAUUUGCACGAAGAACUUGUAAAUAAAACAAAAACUUAUAAAAAUGACGUAGAACUAGUAAAUUCACAUUAAUUGUGAAAUAAAACAAAAAAUGUGUAAACCACACAUAAAACUAGUAAAUUAAUGAAAAAAAUGGUAAAUUAAUGCUGUAGUUGUAAUUUGUACGAAGAACUUGUAAACAAAACAAAAACUUAGAAAAAUGACAUAGAACUAGUAAAUUCACAUUAAGUGUGAAAUAAAACACAAAAUUUGUAAACCACACAUAAAACUCGUAAAUUAAUGAAAAAAUGGUAAAUUAAUGUUGGAAUUGUAAUUUGCACGAAGAACUUGUAAACAAAACAAAAACUUAUAAAAAUGACAUAAAACUAGUAAAUUGAUAUUAAUUGUGAAAUAAAACAAAAAAUGUGUAAAUCACACAUAAAACUAGUAAAUUAAUGAAAAAAAUGGUAAAUUAAUAUUGGAAUUUUAAUUUGCACGAAGAACUUGUAAACAAAACAAAAACUUAGAAAAAUGACAUAGAACUAGUAAAUUGACAUUAAUUGUGAAAUAAAACAAAAAAAUGUGUAAAUCACACAUAAAACUAGUAAAUUGAUGGAAAAAUGAGUAAAUUAACGUUGGAGUUGUAAUUUGUACGAAUAACUUGUAAACAAAACAAAAACUUAGAAAAAUGACAUAGAACUAGUAAAUUCACAUUAAGUGUGAAAUAAAACAUAAAAUAUGUAAACCACACAUAAAACUAGUAAAUUAAUGAAACAAAUGGUAAAUUAAUGUUGGAAUUGUAAUUUGCACGAAGAACUUGUAAACAAAACAAAAACUUAGAAAAUGACAUAGAACUAGUAAAUUGACAUUAAUUGUGAAAUAAAACAAAAAAUGUGUAAAUCACACAUAAAACUAGUAAAUUGAUGAAAAAAUGAGUAAAUUAAUGCUGUAGUUGUAAUUUGUACGAAAAACUUGUAAACAAAACAAAAACUUAGAAAAAUGACAUAGAACUAGUAAAUUCACAUUAAGUGUGAAAUAAAACAUAAAAUAUGUAAACAACACAUAAAACAAGUAAAUUAAUGAAAAAAAUGGUAAACUAAUGUUGGAAUUGUAAUUUGCACGAAAAACUUAUAAAUAAAACAAAAACUUAUAAAAAUGACGUAGAACUAGUAAAUUCACAUUAAUUGUGAAAUAAAACAAAAAAUGUGUAAACCACACAUAAAACUAGUAAAUUAAUGAAAAAAAUGGUAAAUUAAUGAUGUAGUUGUAAUUUGUACGAAGAACUUGUAAACAAAACAAAAACUUAGAAAAAUGACAUAGAACUAGUAAAUUCACAUUAAGUGUGAAAUAAAACAUAAAAUUUGUAAACCACACAUAAAACUCGUAAAUUAAUGAAAAAAUGGUAAAUUAAUGUUGGAAUUGUAAUUUGCACGAAGAACUUGUAAACAAAACAAAAACUUAUAAAAAUGACAUAAAACUAGUAAAUUGAUAUUAAUUGUGAAAUAAAACAAUAAAUGUGUAAAUCACACAUAAAACUAGUAAAUUAAUGAAAAAAAAUGGUAAAUUAAUAUUGGAAUUUUAAUUUGCACGAAGAACUUGUAAACAAAACAAAAACUUAGAAAAAUGACAUAGAACUAGUAAAUUGACAUUAAUUGUGAAAUAAAACAAAAAAAUGUGUAAAUCACACAUAAAACUAGUAAAUUGAUGGAAAAAUGAGUAAAUUAACGUUGGAGUUGUAAUUUGUACGAAUAACUUGUAAACAAAACAAAAACUUAGAAAAAUGACAUAGAACUAGUAAAUUCACAUUAAGUGUGAAAUAAAACAUAAAAUAUGUAAACCACACAUAAAACUAGUAAAUUAAUGAAACAAAUGGUAAAUUAAUGUUGGAAUUGUAAUUUGCACGAAGAACUUGUAAACAAAACAAAAACUUAGAAAAUGACAUAGAACUAGUAAAUUGACAUUAAUUGUGAAAUAAAACAAAAAAUGUGUAAAUCACACAUAAAACUAGUAAAUUGAUGAAAAAAUGAGUAAAUUAAUUACCUGCUACUUAGGUAACAUGUUACCUAUUUAUUUAGAAUUAAUGGUAGAGAUUUUUUAUUCAAAUCUAACAGUCCACGUCCAUUACGGCAUCAAUGCCGUAAAUUUAGUUACGGCAUUAUAGAAUGACCCAUGAAAACGACAUUUGAAAAGAAAAAUACAAACGCACCUUUUCAUUUGAUGUGCAUUACUAGAACAAUUUUUGACAAAGAUCAUUUGAUGUGCAUUACUAGAACAAUUUUUGACAAAGAUGUUACAACCGAAAGAAUGAAAAGGUCUAAAGUUUUAGGGUGAACAUGGACGAAUUGAUGACACGACAUGUUUUACAGCUCAAUGUCGUUAAUUAAUAUAUAUAAUUGAGUAAUUUCAUCUCUAUAUUAAGCACGCGCCGCCUCAAAUUGCAUGCAAAUACAAAAACAAACUUUUGAAUUUGUUUUUUGAAUUUUUAGGUUAACAAUUGAUUUUUUAUUUUACAUUUUUUUGUUUUUAUUUAACAAUUAAUUUUAAUCAAAUCUUAAACUGUCGUAAUCAAUUAAGAUUUUUCAUUAUGACUCCUUAGCUAAAUUUUGCUCCUUAACUAGAUUUUGGAUCUGUAAUAAAUAAAAAAAUUGGUAACAUUUGUUCCUUUAAGAUAUAUGUUUGAGGGAAAAAUAGGAAAGGCAAUAAAGCGCUACGUGUUAACUAAUGGAAUGAUUCCGACACAAUUUGAGGUACCCCACACAAUUAAAGGUACCCUAUAUAAAUAGAGAUACCCCAUGUAAAUAGAGGUACCCACACAAUCAGAGGUACCCCGUACAAUUAGAGGUACCCCACGUAACUCGAGGUACCUUCGAAAAUAUCCGCCAUGAGAAACGUCUCCGCCUCCUAAAAGAUAUUAUUCGAUUUUAUCAGAAUUAAGAAUAAAAAACGACGCCCUAAAAGGAGGGACAGCCGCCUGCGACCUCUGCCAAAAGUGAAGGACACUGUCCCAAGGAUAGUGGUCCCCAACCGCCUACUCGACAGCUACUGCAAAGGUACCCUGGACCACUCUCCAGUGCGCGCCACGUUUCUAAAAGAUGAGAUAUGCCGCGAACAUACAGAUAACGGCCAAAAAAAUUAUAAAGAGGUAAAAGGACGUUAGCCAAAAAGGGUAUGCCACGUGGCAGCUGAGGUACUCCAUAUAUAAAGGCGCCUAGGUUUCAUUUUCCAUCAGGCUCUCAUUCGCCUAAAAAACACUCACACUCCAAAAAUAGGUUUUUUUAACCUUAAACCCUAAUUUAUAGAGGGCUAGCCAGCUCUCUUUACCAUAAAAGCUUGAGUUUGCUAACUUGAGCGUCGGAGUAUGAACGCCAGGUUACCCCGGCUUCACCUCUAACCUCUAUUUCACUGUUUUGUAGGCGUGAAGCUCAUUUUGAAGGACACCUCUCUUGUUUUUGACCUUCCACCAUUAUUACCACUCUCUCUCCCCUUCUCACCUCCCCCGAAUUUCAGAUACACUGCACCGCACCGCACACAAUAUACUAGUGAGGUACCCCAUCUCCCCCAAAAAUAUAAAUUCAUUGUUCUAGAUUGGUUUGACUUUUCCUACCCCAAAAUCAGUUGAAAACAAUUGGCGCCGUUUGUGGGAAGUCGCACAAAAAGCCUCAUCUGCGAUUACCAAACUAGUUGUUGUGUGUGCUCCAAUACAUAGCACCCGACGUACCUCCCGAAGGUUUAAUGGGGGAUCCUACAAGAAUAAGAGAUGACAGCAGCAGUGAAGGAAGUGAUCCCGCAAGAAGGGUAGCCCGCAUCAGCAAAGCAAGGGUAUCAAGUAAUCGACGGGUGUUCGCCAAGAUGAGGAACCUAUUUCUCACAAGCGUUUUGAAGAUCUUGCCCACGCAAUACUUAGGGCGUUUGGAUCUCGGGCACCCGAAAGUUCACUUCCACCAGUGACGCUAGAUGCUCCACCACCUCAAAUGGGCGACCAAGCUAUGGUCAGAAAAGAGGUACCCGAGGCCAGCAAACUAAAGCAUAGGCCAUUGGGUACCCGUUCUAAGUUUCAAACCAUGGGCUUCCGCGACAAGCGUUCCACCGCCUCUUGCAAUUCCCGUAGCAGCCAGGGUACGAGGCGUGCAAAGCAUACCCACGAGGAUCUUCGUGAGAAGUUAAACGCCAAAAAGGCUUCUCAAAUGACGGCGACAUUAUCGGGUACACCGAGGGUACCCCUCGAACUUGUGGAAAAGAUGGAGAACCUGGAAGCCCAAGUGAAGCUCCUCUCCAAGAAGCAAAACAUCACAGCUGCACCAACGCCAAUGACCUACCAAUCUCCAUUCACUAUGGAAAUUAGGACAGUAGCUCUCCCCGAGGCGUUCGUCAUGCCUCAGAUACUCCAAUACUCGGGUACCACUGAUCCCUCGGAGCAUGCUGAGCUAUACUGUGAUCAAACACUUAUCAAAGGUGUAGAUGAGAGCGCCAUGUGUAGGAUGUUUACACACACACUCACGGGCCCCGCGAAGUCGUGGUUUCGCUCUUUGAAAGCGGGUAACAUAUCUUCCCUACACCAAUUGCUAUUCGAAUUUACUAAACAGUUUUCCUACGCCUCCACUCAAGAUAGGGUAACCUCCAAACUUGGCUUUAUCAAGCAAGGGGAAGCCGAGCCUUUGGCGAAGUACGUGAGUCGUUUCCACUAAGAGGUGUUGCGAACCGGGGUAUUUGGAAACCAAUACACAUUGACCCAUUUUGAGAAAAAUUUAAAGCUGGGCAAGUUAUGGCGUUCUUUUCAAAAGAAGAGCCCACUCUCAUAUGGGGAUGCCCGUUCCCGAGCGUUCCAGCAGGUGGAAAUGGACGAAAAAUGCCAAUUGAAGCGCCAAGAAGAUAAGGCUGAUGUUACAAAGAACAAGGAGAAACCCAAGAGGGUGGAGGCCCCAAUACCACGGGUACUCUGAGCACGAAGCCCUCCACGGGCUGCCCUGCGGGGACGAGGGUAUAACCCUCAGGAUACCUCAAGGGUACCCCAACCUCCAAGAACGCCACCACCGGAUCAGCGAGAGCCACCACCGAGGCCUCGGUACGAAUCUUACCAGAAUCGAUCCCCAGAGCAUAUCUUCUACCAUAUUCGGGAUAGCGGCCUCCUCCGUCCUCCUAAGCCAAUGAAGAAGUACCCCAACAUGAAGCGUAGCCUGAAGUAUUGCGAGUUCCAUGAGGACUUUGGUCACAGCACAGCCGAGUGCUUCACCUUGCGAGAGGAAAUUAAAUCUUUGAUUCUCAGCGAGUACCUCAAAGAAUUUAUUGCUGGCAUGAGAAAAGCUCGGAAAUCUGCGGAACAAGAUAAAGGCAAGCGGGUAGCUGAUGGCAGUCCUGAACGAGAGGUACCCCCUGGACACAAAAAAUGCGUGUAUGUCUGAAUGAUCAUGGGCGGACCGACUUUAGCGGGCCAAUCUAGGAGGGCUAUUAAAAGUUAUGGUAGAUUGUUGUUAAUAACCACCAAUAUUGGCAGAGAAAUCAACCUUAAUGAAUGGGGUACACCGAAGGUACCCCACCGUGUUGUUCAUAUGAUUGAUUUUCUUAUUGUAGAUCACCCGGGUGCCUACAAUAUUAUAUUGGGUAGGCCUUUCUUAAAAGCAACUAAAGCGGUGGUAUCCAUGCACUACCUCGCCAUGAAAGUCCCGGUUGCCCAAGAAGUUAUCACCAUUAAAGGGGACAAGCAAUCGGCUCGUGGAUGUUAUUCCGUGGCCUCCAAAGUCACUUACCAAAUAGCUUCCGAUCCGCCAAUGAAAGGGUAUCCCAGUAGCAGCCAGCCCACACCUUCCCCCUCAAAGCGAGCACUUGCUAGACAGCGGAGAGCAGUACUAAAAAAAUCUCCUAAAGUAGCCCACCCACAAAAACAGUUGGAGUCUUCACCAAUGGGAGUAGAAGCAGUUACGGGGGAUAAGUUGAGGGUAUCCCACGGGGACCAGGAGGAGCCCAGAUGUGAAGUUGAGGUACUUUUGGAUCCCUGAAUAUUGAAAGAUGAAAAGCGGGGUACCCUAGUUGAAGACCUUAUUUCAGUCUCGAUUUGUGCCACAGACCCAACAAAGACUGUGAAAAUAGGCUUCAAUCUUUCGGAGGAACAAAGAGAGAGGUUCAUAACCUUCCUACGCGAGCACUACGACAUAUUCGCCUGGUCCCACUCGGAUAUGCCAGGUAUCCCACCUUCUCUCUCUUGUCAUAAACUCAAUGUCAGCUCGCAUUAUAAAUCGGUCAAACAAAAGCGUCGCACCUUCAACCACGAGAGGUACGAUGCAAUUAAACAAGAGGUAGACCGCCUAUUAGCAGCGAGGUUUAUUCGGGAAACAGUGUACCCCGAUUGGGUAUCUAACAUUGUUCUUGUCAAGAAAUCAAAUAGAAAGUAGCGUAUAUGUGUGGACUUCACCGAUUUGAACAAGUCCUGCUCCAAGGAUAGCUUCCCGCUUUCCCGGGUAGACCAGCUGGUUGAUGUAACAGCGGGGCAUGAGAUGCUUAGUUUUAUGGACGCCUUCUCCGGGUAUAACCAAAUUUCGAUGUAUGAACCCGAUCAAGAGAAAACGACCUUCAUCACCAACCAGGGGUCAUACUGUUAUAAGGUUAUGCCGUUUGGUUUGAAGAAUGCCGGGGCUACCUAUCAGCGGCUAAUGAACAAAAUUUUCAAGGAACAAAUCGGGCGCACCAUGGAGGUGUACAUAGACGACAUGAUCACAAAAUCAGUGCAUACGGGGGAACACCUGGGACACCUCAGAGAUACCUUUAUCGUUUUGAGAAGACACCAGAUGCGGUUUAACCCUGAAAAAUGUGCAUUCGGGGUCACCUCAGGAAAGUUUCUCUGGUUCAUGGUACAACAACGGGGGAUUGAAGCCAACCCCGAUAAAAUUCACACAGUUCUUGACAUGAAAUCGCCAAGCACCGUCAAAGAGGUUCAAAGCUUGGUAGGCCGGGUAGUUGCCCUGAGUUGCUUUAUCUCCAAGGCUACCGACCGGUGUAAGUCUUUUUUCAAAGCUUUGAAGACCGACAAGAAGCUCCAAUGGACACCCGAUUGCGAAGAAGCUUUCCAAGAACUGAAGGGGUACCUCGUGAAUGCUCCAGUACUUACCAAACCUGAGCUGGGAGAGGUGCUUCUGUUGUAUCUCGUCGUAUCCGAGCAUGCCACCAGCUCUGUGCUACUCCGAGAAGAUGAGAAUGGGGUACAACGACUUAUUUACUACACUAGUAAAGCUAUUGUUGAUGCCGAAAAGAGGUACCUCACCUCUGAGAAGAUCAUUUUGGCAUUGGUUGUCUCCGCACGGAAGCUCAAACCAUAUUUUCAGGCUCACACCAUUGUAGUCGUCACCAACCUUCCCCUCUGACAAAUCCUCCAAAAAUUAGACAUGUCUGGAAGGCUUCUCCGAUGGUCCCUCAAAUUAAGCAAGUUCGACAUCAUCUUCAAGCCUCGUUCCGCGAUUAAAGCCCAGGCCAUCGCGGAAUUCGCCAAUGACUCAAGUGGUGAAGGUGAUUUGAGAUACAUGUUAGAUACCCCACCCACCGAUGAAGAGGAGCAGGUCUGGGAAAUAUAUAUGCAUGGUUCCUCUAAUUCACGCGGAAGUGGUGCGGGCAUUAUUAUUAUCGACCCGAACAAGGUGAAAAUAUGCUACGCUUUGCAAUUUGGAUUCAAAGUUUCAAACAACGAAGUCGAAUAUGAGGCCAUCAUAGCGGGGUUGAAGAUGUCGAAGGCUUUGGGAGCGAAAAGAGUACACGUCAAGAGCGACUCCCAGUUGGUGAUAAGCCAAAUUACCGCACAAUAUCAAGCGAAAGAGGAAAACAUGAAAGGGUACCUCGGAAAAACCAGAGAGUUGAUGUCCCAAUUUUGUGAGGUUAAGGUGGAAAGGGUACCCCGACUGGAGAACAGCGAAGCCGACACCUUGGCGAAAAUGGCGUCCCUUGGGGUAGCCCAGUCAUCUGGCCCCAUCACAACAUAACACAUACCUGCAUCCAGUGUUGGUCUCCCAAAGCCAUUGGAAGUAAGAUCACUGUCCAAUGAGGUGUUUUGGAUGGAGCCUAUCAUAAGGUACCUCAAGAACGGAGACCUCCCCUUAGAUAAAAGUGAAGCAAGAAGACUAAAGUAUAAAAUCGCACAGUAUUGCCUGAUCCAGAAUACCCUAUACAGAAGAGAGUUCACUCUUCCUUACCUUAAAUGCUUGGAAAACGACGAGGCCGAGUAUGUCAUGAGGGAGAUACAUGAGGGGAUUUGUGGCAAUCACUAUGGACCACAAUCACCGGUGCAAAAAGCCCUCCGUCAGGGGUUGGCCAACCAUGCAGGAAGAUGCCAAGAAUAUGGUACGAAACUGUAACAAAUGUCAAAGGUUUGCCAGGGUACCCCACCUACCCUAGAGAAGCUAACAGUUAUAUCUUCCUUUUGGCCCUUCGCUAUAUGGGGAGUGGAUCUCAUUGGACCGUUACCUACCAGAAAGGGGCAAGCAAAACAUGCAAUUGUGGCGGUAGAUUUUUUUAUAAAAUGGGCGGAAGCGGAGCCACUAAUAAGCAUUACAGAAAGGAAAACUACCAAAUUCAUUUGGAAGAACCUCAUUUGCAGAUUUACGAUCCCCUAUGCAAUUGUUAGUGAUAACGACAAGCAAUUUGAUAAUGAAAAUUUUAAAAACUUUUAUUCGAAGUUGGGGAUAGCCAACCGAUUUGCUACACCUGCCCACCCCCAAUCUAAUGGGCAAGUCCAGGCCGUUAACAAGAUUAUCAAAGGUAUCCUGAAGAAGAAGCUAGAAGAAAGAAUAUGAGCAUGGGUAGACGAGCUACCUGGGGUUCUGUAGGCUUACCGGACUACUCAAAACACUUCCACCAGGGAGACCCCGUUUUUCCUCGCAUUCGGUGUUGAUACAGUGAUUCUAGCAGAAAUCGGGGUACCUUCUCACAGGGUUGAAUACUUUGAUGAGGCCGAGAACACCUCAUUGGUUGCUUCAAACCUUGAUUUGGUGGCUGAAAAAAGGGCUAAAGCAGAAUUGAGGACAGCCAUAUAUCAGCAUCGCAUUUCGGGUCUAUAUGAAAAAAGGGUACGCCCUCGAUCCUUCAAGAAAGGAGACUUCUUGAGAAGGAUAACUCAGAAUACUAGGGUACCCUGCGAAGGCACUUUUGGGGCAAAUUGGGAAGGACCCUACCGCAUCGACAAACCCAUUGAGACAGGUGCAUACAGGCUACUCCACAUGGAUGGCACAAUCGUGAGGCACCCUUGGAAUAUUGCAAUGCUACGGAAAUAUUACUAAAGGAAAAUGUCUUAACCUCUAGUCUUUUUCUGAUUAUUUACUUUCUUUAAUGUCUUUGUGUGGUAGGCCAAAUGGGGUACCCCAAAUGCCCUAUGUUGGUCAGUUGCAACUUUAGAGUUUCUUUAAUUUUCAAAUGAAAAGGAUAGGAGGCCUUGCGGUCUCUCAUUCUCCUUAGGGUAACAAAACUAAGUCAUGUAUUGAUCAACGCUUUCGUUAUCUAUAAAUGCAUUUUCUUUCUCAACAAAUAUGAUGUGGGUUCUUUCUCUAUUUUUCGCCACUUUGAUCUUAGAAUGCGGAUUAUAUUCAUUUAUCGCCAUUAAUAUACCCUCGCAUAUGGUUAUAUGCAAUUCUCGCCAUACGCUUGUCAAUUAUGACUAACCUAUCACAGGACCAGCCAGGGUACCUGAUAUGCCUAGAUCGUGACGAUCUAUGUAAAGCCAAUAUGGGCAACAAAGUGAACAGCCUUUCUGCGGAAACAUGACAAAGCCACCUAAACAAAGAGAUGGAGGGUCAAAGAGGACCCGAGGGUGGAGUAAAACCGGCAUACCCUAGCACCAUGAGGUUCAGCUUAGGUAUGAGUACACUCACACUUCCGUCCUCUUACUUGAGUAAAGUAGGGGGUAAGCUAUUCAAAAAUUCAGAGAGAACUUCUAAGGAAUAAGAAAGUGAUUGGUUGGACCAAUUGCGCACUUUCAAUUUUUGAUCGAGAUGUCGCGAUGAUGUUUUGAUUACCUAUUUGUGGGAAAUCUGCCAUGGUUGCCGAGAAGGGUAUGCACCAAAUUCGCCGAUUUGUGUAAACCAGCAGGCGCCUGAUGUUGAAUAUUUUUUAAGGUACCAGGGGUACCCCAUUUAAAAAAGAAAAAAGAGGUACCCUAGACAUUCACAAGAUAACAGUUUAGCCAAGCAUUCAUUUGCAGAAUAACAAGCAUACAAAGUACAAGAAGACUCGGUGGCAUGGUAUCAUAACAAAGGAGAAGUCCCAAUAAUACAAAAUAUCCCAAGAAACCAAAAAGAAAGAAACAAGGUCCAAAUAACAAAAUAUGGAUAGAUCCAAAAAAAUAAGAGCACAACAAAAAGGCUACACUGAGGGGGGAACGCCAUCCCCAACAUCUGUCUCCAGAGGGCGAUCAGCAGAGGACUCCGAAGUACCCGGAAUAUGAGCAGCUGAAGUAUGAGCAUCCGAGGCAGGCAACGGCUGAAGCGCACGGGGUACCCUAGGCGACCCGGAAGGGGUACCCUACCGUGCCUGGGAAGACUUCUUCCUUUCUGCAAUUGUCUUCAGAAUCGUAGCCUUGUUGACAAAUUUCUGCACACGGGGUACCUCCAGUUCUGGAUCCACACUCUACACCUCUGUCAUGAUAAGUGAGAAUGCAUCCUCCGCCAUUGUCUUUUGUCGAGAUAGCAGAUCUCCGUUGGUGGCCCUCAACUCCUCACAAUCCUUCUCCAUCCGAGCUUUCUCUCCCGACAGGCCAGCAAUGCGUUCUUGCAAAGUCUUAACUUCUCGAGCAAGAUGAUCCUCGCGAGAUUGAUGGCUUUGGAGCUCACUCCUUAACUUAUCGACCUCUGACUGGGCGACAACAAGGGAGUCGAGGUCGGAAAGGCAGUGGCUAAGGAGAAAUGAUGCUUGCGGGUCAUGAAAGACAUGUUAAAUAUAUAUGUAUGGUAAUAGGAUUAAAUAAGUAAAAAAAAUAAUGAAGGGUACACCCGGGGUACCCCAGAAAAGCCUACCUCUUGGGUAGUCCUAAGUGCUUGACCAUAGCGCUGACUCAAACUCAUCUUGUCAGCCUCUUCAGCAACCUCGGAGGUGACAUUUUCAGCAGAGUAGUAAAAACAGCGAGCCAUGUGUGAAACCUCCUUAUUGGCAGCUGGGUCUAGGUCACAUUCGCAUAACUCAUCGAGGAAAGUGGAAACUAGCCCGAAUUUUGUUUUCCUUGAGCGAGGGGUAUCCUUCGACCUGCUGUGGGAGGUACCCUGAGAUUUCCCCUUUGGAGCGGGAGCUGGAGGAGGUCAGGAGCCUUUCGGGGGUACCACCGAAUCCUGAGAUCUGGAAGCACCGCCCACUACUCCUUGGAAAAAGGAGUAAAAAGCGUCACCCGCUGAUUCCAUAAUUGCACCCAAUGCACAAACGUUGUGUUAGCCGGACAAGUACUAAGUACUACAAAAGCCAAAAUGGGAAAUGAAAAGUGGGGAAACAAAAUAAAGAUACGGUGAUAACGGGGUACUCUAGUACCGUAGAUAAUAAUAGAGUACCCCUCGACACCCGAAUCAUACAUGAGUCACCCCCGGGAGCAGAUGGAGGACUUCGGUUAAUCAGCCCCACUCUCCACAAUCUACUCUCCUCCAGCACAUCACUACCCCUUUGUGCACCUCGAAACCUGUCCACAAACUUCUUCAUCUCCCUCCCCACCUCUUGAACUGGGCAUGAUCCUUUAGCCCAUGUCACACCUGCAAAAGCAUAAAGAACCCAGGGUUAGCGAGACAUUGAGGCGAAAGACUCCGAUAAAGAACUAUAAGUAAGGGAGAUACUUACAGUCUACAUUGAAGAAAUGAGGAACCUCCACGGGGUUGCCCUUUUCACCCAAAGUCUCUGUCCCCCACCUACCCUCAGCAACGAACCAUCCCUUUCGGUAACCCUUCUUCAAGGCGGGGUUCCCCUCAACAAUAUGGCCAUGAUCCCCCCAAGGGGAGAAGUAAGCAAUACCGAGACCCUUAGGCUUUUUAAAUUGAUAAAGGCCCCUCAACUCCUGAACAGAAAUGUUGUGCUUCAAGACCUCCAACCAUAACACAUGUAAUCCUGUGAGUGUCCUCCACCCCAGAAGGGACAGCUGCCCGGGAGCUACCCGCAAGUAACUAAACAUUCUCAUAUAGAAAGGUUGGAGGGGCAGCGGAAUCCUAGAUCAAAAAGGUCAAUAUGGAGAGCAAUCCCAUCAGACUUCGGACACUCAGGUCGCUUAUCUACAUGGGGUACCCUAAGCUGAACAGAAGGAGAAAUAUUGUAUUUAGCUCUAAUUUUUUCUAAGUCCCCCAAGGUAGCCCUCCUAGAGCCUAGGAAAAAAAAAGUUGCCAGAUUUUGAAGGUGUGGCAGGGGGAGAUUUGGGAGGCUAGUCCGAGGAACGAACGGGAACCUUGGGUUUAGAUGACUUACUCUUCUUUCGAGGAUGGGGGAUUGGCUGUUUACUAGGAAAGCGUGGGCUGACACGAGGGGUACUCCUAGGGGGAGGGGGUUCAGAAUGAGAAUUACAACUCCUAGAGGAAUUAGGGGGGACCGAUCCCCCUCGUUAAUGGAGAUGUGGGAAGGGGAACCCGCAGGAGGGCUGUCAACCCUACUAGCCCCAACUGCAUGUCGCUUCCUCAGGGGUAUCGUGUGUUUCUUGCCCAUCUACUUUCCCCCAACGACAUAUCCACCAGGCCACAAGUCCCCAACAAUACACCCAACGAUACACCCAACAAUACACCCAACAAUAUAUCCAACAAGCCACAAGUUCCCCAAACAACACAUCCACAAGCCCCCAACAACACAUCCACAAGCCCCCAACAACACAUCCAACAAGCCACAUGUUUCCCAAACAGCAACAUAUUCAUACCAAGCACCAUCCACCACACAUCAACCACCAAAUGCAAACACCAACCAACAAAAAAAAAAACAAAAACAACAAAAACCAAAAAUAAAUUUUUCUCGGAGUAUGCAAAAUAGUGCCACUGUGAAUAUGCCAAAGGAGGAGAAGCAAAGAGGGAUACCUGUGAUUCACCAAUUCGGCAGAUCAAGAUUGAUAAUCGCAGCGAGACGAAGCUGCAGGCAACCAAAAAUAGUGGGUAAAAAUAUGCAAGUAUAAAAAUAAAAAUAAGCUUAAAUAUAUAUAGUUAUUUAUAAAUAAAUGAAUGAAUAAAAUGAAGAACGAAGAAGCUGCAGCAACCGGCGUCAGCUGUCAUGGCUGCAACCACCGAGAACCGACGCCGGAGAUCACGAGAAGGAUGCCGAAAACCACCAAAAGAGGACGCCGACCGAAACCAAAAAAAAAAAAAAAGGAGCUUGGAGAUAUAAAAAAAAGUCAGAAUAAAAAAAAAAAGAAAGGGAAGAGCUUGGAUGAUAAAAAAAAAAUGGGAGAAGCCUGAAGAUAAAAAAAAAAAAAAAAGAGGAAGUAAAAAAAAAAGAAGAGCUUGAAGAUAUAAAAAAAAGAAGUCAGAAUUAAAAAAAAAAAAAAAGGAAGCUUGAAGAUAUAAAAAAGGAAGCUUGGAGAUAUAUAUAAAAAAAAAAGAGGAAGUCAAAAAAAAAAAGGAAGCCUAGAGAUUAAAAAAAAAAAAAAAGAGAAAAGCCUCCAGGAUGAUUUAGAAGAAAAAGAGAGGAGCAUAGAUAAAAAAAAAAAAAAGAGGCCACAUGAAGAGACGAAGAAGCAAAAUGGGGGGUAGAAGAUGGCUUACCACAAAGAGAUCACUGCACCACCAGCCGAACGCCGUCGUCACGCCACCGGAACAUCUCGGUAGACGCCGCCGUCACAAGGCCAGCCAAAAAAAAAAGAAAAAAAAAGAGGAAGAUGAAGAAAAGAGAAAGAAAAUGACAGUGAUAAAAAAAAAAGGGGUGUGAAAGUUGCCUGGAAGGAAUUAAAGAAAAGACAAAGGAAGGAAUGCAAAAGAAAAAGAAAAUGUGACAGUAGGCUGGGAGCAAAGAAAAAAAAAAGGGAGAUGGAAGACGAAAGGACAAGAAGAAAAAAGUAGAAUAAAGAAGAAAAAGUGGAGAUGGGGAGGCGUUGGAAUGUGAAAAGUUUUUGGGGAUGGCAAAAUGAAAAAGAAUAAAGGGUGAAUGAAAACGUGCAGAAGGUGAUUUAUUUAAAAAAAUGUGAAGUUGGUGGUUGAAAUGAUUUGACUAGUUUUUGAAUUUUAAAAGCCAAAGCAAGCAAGAAGCCACUGGAAGUAAUGGGAGAUUAUGUUGGGAUUUUCAAAAUAAAUGAGAGAAAAUUGACACACGUCAGGAGUUUUUAAUUCAACUUGACAGAACACGCUGCCCAAGAAAGAAGUUAAGGGAUGUUUGCGUGAGAUUGAUAUUUUCAAAAUUUAAACUGCAUGUCAGACAGCUGCCACUUCCCAAGAAAAAGGAGAGAGACAUAUGAAGACAACUGUUUGUUCUCAUCGUAAAAAAAAAAGGGGUGGUAAAAGGAAAAGACAGAGAGAAGAUUUUUUAAUUCGAAGUACACAAAGUUUAGUCAAGGGAAGAAACUCAGUAAGGUACCCCCAGUCCAGCCACGUCGCCACGUGUCACUCAUACAAUGAGUUUCUUUUGCCUCCAAUAAUUCUCGCCAAAAAGAAACUAGGAGGAUGUUGUUUGAGGGAAAAAUAGGAAAGGCAAUAAAGCGCCACGUGUCAACCAAUUGAAUGAUUCCGGCACAAUUUGAGGUACCCCGCACAAAUAGAGGUACUCCACACAAUUAGAGGUACCCCAUAUAAAUAGAGGUACCCCGCAUAAUUAGAGAUACCCCAUGUAAAUAAAGGUACCCCACACAAUUAGAGGUACCCCGUACAAUUAGAGGUACCCCACGUAACUCGAGGUACCUCCGAAAAUAUCCGCCAUGAGAAACGUCUCCGCCUCCUAAAAGAUAUUAUUCGAUUUUGUCAGAAUUAAGAAUAAAAAACGACGCCCUAAAAGGAGGGAUAGCCGCUUGCGACCUCUGCCAAAAGUGAAGGACACUGUCCCAAGGACAGUGGUCCCCAACCGCCUACCCAACAGCUACUACAGAGGUAUCCUAGACCACUCUCCAGCGCGCGCCACGUUUCCAAAAGAUAAGAUACGCCACGAACAUGCAGAUAACGGCCCAAAAAAUUAUAAAGAGGUAAAAGGACUUUAGCCAAAAAGGGUACGCGGCGUGGCAGCUGAGGUACUCCAUAUAUAAAGGCGCCUAGGUUUCAUUCUCCAUCAGGCUCUCAUUCGCCCAAAAAACACUCACACUCCAAAAAAUAGGUUUUCUUCAACCUUAAACCCUAAUUUACAGAGGGCUAGCCAACUCUCUUUACCAUAAAAGCUUGAGUUUGCUAACUUGAGCGUCAGAGUGUGAACGCCGGAGUACUCCGGCUUCACUACUAACCUCUAUUUCACUGUUUUGCAAGCGUGAAGCUCAUUUUGAAGGACACCUCUCUUCUUUUUGACCUUCCACCAUUGUUACUACUCUCUCUACCCUUCUCACCUCCCCUGAAUUUCAGAUACACCGCACCGCACCGCAAACAAUAUACUAGUGAGGUACCCCAUCUCCCCCAAAAAUAUAAAUUCAUUGUUCUACAUUGGUUUGGCUUUUCCUACCCCAAAAUCAGUUGAAAACAAUAUAAAAUAACCGUAACAUUGGUUUUUACAUUUUGAAUUUUUCUUGAAUUACUAUUUAGAAAAAUGAUGUUAAAUAAAUCUCACAAAAUAUACAAAGCCACCUAACAUCCAAAUAUUGAUUACAUUUAUUUUGUAUUGUUGGAAUGACGCCAAAGCAAUUGAAAAGAUAUAAAAAAUAAAUAAUAAUGAUGAAGAUUGGCUACGCGAUUUCACUGAAGCUAAGUUGUGACUUGUGACCAUCCAAAUGUCCGUAACAAGUUAUGAUUAUUCUCGCAGCACAAAUCCAAUAGCAUGCAACAAAAUCCACUCUUAACACUUGCCUCUGAAGAAAAUAAAACAGAGUAAAAAGAGCAACCAUGCCAGUGAAUCUCUUUACUUUUCUCCUUAUAAUUUGGGUAAACUCUAUCAAAUGAAAAUGCACCAUGACCACUGACCACAUGGGUCACUGCCACUACCAUUUACUUCUUCAACUGUGCCUCCUGCUUUAAGAAAUCUUCAACUGAAAGAUGGACUAUAUAAUUCAAGAUAAAAAAUACACCUGAGCUGCAAAGGAUACUAUCCACUAGCCUAUCAACGACUAUACUUUAUAUUUUUCUAGUUUUUGAAUCAAAAUUCUGCAAGAUUUAGUUUGGAAAACUUCGACACAACAACCAAACACUCAGUCCUUUUGUGCAUUAUAUCCACCGUAUGAUUCCUUAACAAAACAUCGGUAGCCUGUAGCUUAUCUGACACUGUCCUGACCCAAAGCCCCGCUCUUUUCAACUCAUCUGUCAAACCAUUACCCACUUUUGGAGUCAAAACUGCCCUCGCAGCCCUUUAAUAUUUCUCCAUCUUCAUUGAAUACGUGCCACCCAAAUGCACUCUCUUCCCUCUGGCUGAUUCUGUUUGAUUCAACCUCUUUUCUUGUUUACACUCAUGAAUUUGCAGAAAAUAAUUAACAAGUUUGUCAUCAUCAUAAAAUCCUUCCACAAUCACCACAUACAUUCUGCUGAGCAGGACUCAUUACACCCUUGUUUUAAACAAUUUUUUCUCCAAUUGGUUAAACAAUUUUUUCUCUUCUCUUUGCUCUCUUACAACUUGAGGCAUAUAAUUAAAUGCGUGGCAAUUAGCAUAUGCCAUGAUGUAUUUAACAACCCCAAAUGAAGAUACUGAUUUUUUUUCGGCUUAAUGGUUGCUUCAAAUGGGGGAACUGAAUUUGGGGGUUUGUUGUCUAAAUCCCAAAAAAUUCCACAUUAUGUUGGACAGUUUUUGGUUCUACAGAUGAUGAUCGGUUUUCCAAAUAAUGGUUCAAAAGGAAACAUCUAAACAAUGAGACAAAUGGGUUCUGGAUUUCUAAUCCUGUAAAUGUUGUUCUGUCGCAUAAGUUAUGAAAUUUCUGAAGCAUCACUAUCCCCGUCGUUCCUGGGAGAAAAAAAAGUCGAAGAACUGCUCGUGGAACAAAAUUAGAAAAUUUAAACAAUGUUGAGAGACUUUCCCUUCAACUAACAGUUAAAAGAAAAAAAAGUAUUAGAUAAGCAUUUUCAAAGUAAAAUGAUCACCCAUUUGUUGUACUUAGGCAGGAAAAAUAAAUAUAUCAACCCCAUUAAACCCUCACAUCUGCUAACUAAUAAUGCAUAGACUAACUUUUACGUAAGGAUAUAAAACUUACAAGAGCAAGAAAACUACUGUUUAUUAAUUUCAAAUUUUACACAAAAUUACGAAUAAUUCUAUAAGCUGCACCAAAACAUGUUCUCUAAAAGAGAUUCAGUAUCCUACAUUUUUGGAAGCAAAAAAUUAUUUCUGGAUGGUAUAAACUAAUACUAGAAUAACCAUUCGUUAAUGAUGUGAGUUUGGGCAGCACCAUGAAGCGGUGAGCCCCGUUUGGUGAAAACGAAAAAUAAUUAAAAUAAAGCACUAUGAAUUCUAAUCAAAUUAUUAACAUUAGCUAAAUAGACAGCAAGAAACCAGAAUAAAUUCGUUAACUAAACCAAAUAUUUAAAAAAAAAAAAAAAGGCAGUUAAAUCCUUAUCAUUUUCAGUUAGAAACAAACUAAAGCACAAAUUAAGAACAAAGAUUGAAGCAAAGCAUGAUUGUACCUUGAGGCACUUGAGCUUAGUGUUCCCAUAAACAAGACCGAGCGAAAAAGCCGAAACCAGAGAAACCUAUUAUUAUCACUCAAAAACCCAGAUCACAAAAUGAAUGAUCUUUCAAUAACAAUUCAUAAAAAUUCCGUCCCAUCAUAUACAGAACAAAACAAAACAAUGAAAAUAUUGAUCAGAAAAGAAAUUACAAAAAUGGACAAAAAGAAGAUAAAAAUAUGAUGCUUUGCUAUGCUUUCCUUUCUUGUGGGUGGCAGAUAAAGAAACAAGAAAGAGCCAGCAAAUUGAAAAAUCGACUAAUAUAUUCAUUCGACUCCGACUCGUAUGGCUAUUUUUCUUUGAUGAAUGAAAUAUUAUUUCACUCUCUAAUUCGUAACAAAAUUACAAGUUUCGACUUCUGUUUGUAUGUAAUCGUAAUUUUAUUGCUUGACAGGCCUGGGCUUUUACGAGCCCAGGAAGUGUAAUCGUAAUUUUAUUGUGCUGAAAAUUAUAUAAACGUUAAAUACGAAUUUAAUCAAACUAACAUGUCUUUACAACUCAGGCAACCUUACUAUUUUCUAAAGAUAUAAUUAAUUUUACUAAUAAAAUCAAAAUUAUUUUUAAACAACAAAGAAAGAAAUUAUAAUAACAAUAAAUUAAUUAUGGAAAAGUAAGUUUACAAUAAUACGAGUCAUCAUUCUUCAUUUUCUUUCUGUUUCUCUCAUAUUUUCUCUGCAUCCAAACACAAUAUUCUCAGUUCUUGACUUGGUAUCAGAUUUGCAGUUUAAUUGUCAUGGCUUCCUUCCUUAAGCACAAAUUCAAACACAAAUCAGUCUCCUUCAUUCUUUACCCUAACAAAUGCGAUCAAACUGGACAGAUCUAACUAUACGAUCUGGAAAUCUCAGAGCCUCUCUUCAGUGCGUGCCAAUGGACUUGAAGGCUUUCUUAAUGGAACUAAAAUUUGUCCAGAUCAGUUACUUACUCAAGAGAUUGAAAGUUAUGGUGUUGAAAAUGUUAUUGGUGAAAGCUCAGCUGAUAGAUCUCAGGAGAAUCCAGCCUUUGUUGCUUGGAAAAGGUAGGAUCAAUUGUUAUUAAGUUGGCUCAUGUCCUCGAUCAGUGUUGAGAUACUUAGUCUUGUGGUAAAUUCUUAUUCUUCUCAUAAACUUUGGACUAAUCUUGAAGAAAAUUUUUGGAUUAGAAACUAUGGCUAAGAAAGCACACUUAAAAAUGAUGUUAAACAAUCUCAGAAAGGGAUCAAUGACAAUAACUGAUUAUUUUGCCAAACUUAGAGGUGUAACUAAUAAACUUGCUCUAACUGGUAGCCCUGUUUCUACUCUAGACUUUAUUACUCAUCUAAUCUCUAGAUUAGGCCAGCCAUACUACCCUGUUGUUGUGUAUAUUGAAGCUAAUAUGAUGAAAAUAUUUGUCAAUGAAGUCUAUUCUAUGCUUUCAACUCAUGAAGCAAGAAUGAAAUUUAAUCAUCCGAGUGCAAAUAAAGAAGCAAAGUUGAAUUAUGCUGCUAACAUAGCUUAGGCUGGACCUAGUGAUAACAAUAAGAAGUCUAGUAAUCAAGCUAAUUACUAUCAGGGCAACCAAGGUAACUGGAAUAGAAAUGCUAAUUGGUGUGGUAACAAUGGAGGAAGAGGUGGCUUUGGCAGAGGUUUUUCAGGGCAAGGAAGGAGUAAUUAGAAUAAUGGUGGUCAUUGGAACAACGGACCUUGGAGUAGUAGUCGAGCAGGUUAUAAUUGUUCUGAUAUAAACAUUAUGACAUGGUUGCUGGUGAACCUGUAAACAUAACCACAAAAGUAAGAAGGCAUAAUCUUUUUAUAAGAAACUCAAAAAUGUAUUAAUGAUGAAAAUUUUAAAACAAAUAGUGGACCAGCUGGUCACUAAGAAAACAAAAAACUGAAUAUUUGUGCUAUAAAAAGGCACACCCAAUCUCACCCCUAUAAAAGGCAAGAAUCAGCUACAAAUCCCUAUCUCAAAACCCCAUCCCAGUUUAGAUGAAUGAAGAAAAAAGAUGAAUCUUGAAACUCCUUAGAAACUGAAGCCCAAAGUGAAGCAAGAAGAUGAACUCUAUCCCAAGCAAGCAAUAUGGCAUAUUUCUCCAUUAAUGGUUCAAAUAAAGUGAAUGGCUUUCUCUGAUGAAUGGGAAAUUGUCAAGAUCAAUAGUCAAACUCACGCAAAGUAAACGGACUUAAUUCUCAGAGGCUACUCAUUCUAAGUCUUAAAGAAAAAUUUUCUAAUUUCUAAAGAUUAUAUGGGGAAAAAUCAUUAUUUUCUAACAUGGAAAAUUUGAUACGGUGUUUAAUGUUUGAUCACAAUCAUAAUAUGAGUACUAACAAAAACAUCUUUAAUCGGCAUGGUGCGAGUAAAACACUAUCACUUCAUCUUUGAUGGAAAGAUGAUAAUAUAAGGAGAUGGUGAAAUGGUUUUGAUCUCUGGUAGCUUGUAAUUAAAAGAAAACAAAAAACUACACUAUUAUUAAUGAUUACCGAAGCUACAGAAGUAUCAAAAUCGGAAAGCAAACAAUUGCAAAACACAUCAAUGACUGAAGGUUAGGUUCUAAAACUUCCGUAUUUAAUUUUCAGAGCAUGUUAUGUAUUAUUCAGAAAUAUGAUUUCACUUCAGGCACUAGACCAAGACGCAUUAAACAUAAAACGCGGCGUUUUCAUGGACUAGUACAUUCCAUGCUUCGAAAGUUUAUGUUUUAGACUGAUUGGUUUGAUACAUUAUUUGUUUAUUGCGUUUUUCUUGCUUUAAAUAUUAUGUUGGAUUGAUAAGUUUUGUACACAUUUAUAUUGCUCGCAGUAAAUAAUUUAUGACAUUUAAAAAACUAUCAACCGUCUAUCAAAAGAUUUCUACUAUAAAUAUAUAUACAAAAAAAAACUUUUAAUUUGGUCAAUUUGUUCUCUUAUUUAUUUUUGUUCUAUUUCUCUUUUCCUUCCCUUUCAUUUUAUUGUUUUAUGGUACAAAAUAAAAAAAUAACCUUAAAAUUUAAGGGUAAAAUACUCAUUUUACUAAAAUUCCGUUUAAUAUUAUAAAGUUGUCAAAUGUCAAUGGCAUAGUACACGAGUGAUACAAAUUAAAAACAAUAAAUUAAAAGUUUUUAUGCAUUUUCCUUUUUUUUUUUAUAGUCGAUUGAGAUUUCCCUUCAUAUUUUAAAAUUCAAUAGGUUUAGACCGUUUAACAAAUCUUAAAUUAAAAAAACCCGCGGUGUAAUAACAAACUCACACCAAACCCUGUCCACUGUCAUCCCUAAUUAUAUUUACCACUUCAUACUCACAGUGAUAAUAACUGUGUAUCACAAUUGAUUUUGCAUACGGGUAAAAGUUCCAAGUCCGGAUAUUUAGUUAAUGAAAUUUGAUGAAAAGGGCAUGAAAGAAAAUAAGAAAUUAAAUAAUACAGGAGGUAUUAAUCAUUACAUAUUUAGUUAAUGAAAAUUGAUGAAAAUAUUUCUGCAGACGUGAGCCAUAAUUAUAUUACCGUUAAGAAUGAACCAGAAGAGUUUCCCCAAACAAGCUAAAACACAGCACUUCAAUUUAAAGAAUUUUUAUAUCACAGUACCGGGGCAAAAAGUUUAAUGCAACAACAUACAUUAAGUUAAUUCCAUAAUCUAUCCCCAAAGAAAGACAAACACAAGCUUAUAAGAUUAAAACUUUGGAAAACAUUAGAGUCGGACAAAAUUGUGUAAUCUUCAGAGUUUGGAGCCUAGUUCAUCCAGGAAAGCAAAAGAAAUAAUAAUAAUAAUAAUAGUGGUGGUUUGAUCUCAAAAGGUGGCAUCAAAGUGGUAACUUUGAGGUAUUGGAAGCAAUAACGUCUUCAACUUUGUCCUGAUUUCGAAGUCCCUUAACCCAUCCGCCAUCAGUGGAUUGAAUGCUUCCAUUCAACCCAUCAUCCACAAAAUCACCAACCCGUUUCACCUUCAUCUCCUUGGGCUUAACAGGGUACUUUCCAGAGAAGCAAGCAAAACAAAAAUUCUGAGAAUCAUCGCCUAACAACUAGUUCAAGCUGUCAAUCGGCAGAAAACAAGCGAAUCACACCCAAUAAACUCCCUGAUUUCCUCAACGCUCAUCCUGUUGGAAAUCAACUCCUCAGUACUUGGAGUGUCUACUCCAUAGUAACAAGAAGCUAUGAUUGGUGGGCUUGCAAUUCUCAUGUGAACCUCUUUAGCUCCAGCCUCCUUAAGCAACCUAAAAAUUUUUGAUGAAGUUGUUUCUCACACUAUCAAAUCAUCCACAACCACAACUCUCUUUCCCUCCAACCACAACCUUACAGGAGACAGCUUAAGCUUGACACCAAAGUCCCCAAUUUUCUGGGAAGGCUCAAUGAAAGUUCUCCCAACAUAAUGUGACCUUAUCAACCCUUGUUGAAAUGGCACCCCGGCUUUCGCAGCGUACUCAAGUGCAGCCACCACUCCAGAAUCUGGUACUGCAAUCACGACAUCACACUCAACAGGAGCCUCGGUAGCAAGUACUUCCCCAAAAUGAUACCUCGACUCAUAAACAGACCUUCCACAAACAACAGAAUUAGGCAAAGCAAAAUAAAUAUGCUCAAAGAUGCACUGCUUACGUUCAGGGUGAGGCAUCAAACAAGGUGAUUGAACCCCAUCUUUAUCAACCAUCAAAACUUCACUGGGAUAUACCUCUCUCUCUCUCUCUCGCCCCCUCUCUCUCCCUCUCUCUCCCUCUCUCUCCCUCUCUCUCGUAUGUGGCCUCAAUCAAAUAGUGCACAAGUCUCUGACGCAAAAACCAGAGCACCAUUACUCCUCCUACCCAUCACCAAUGGCAUAAACCCAUACGGGUCACGAACCGCAACAAGCUUAUCCUCAGUAACAAACACCAUUGAAUAAGCACCCUCAAGCUUCUCACAAACAUCCACAAUCCUCAAAAAGAACGGCCUAGCUUUUCGAUAUCGGAAUCAAAUGGAGAACAACCACAGUAUCAGAACUAGUAUUGAAAAUGGAUCCAUUAUCUUCAAGCUUAGCCCUCAAAGUAUUAUAAUUAACUAAUGUGCAACACCAACAGAACCAAACCUGUACCCAACAACAAAAGGCUGCACAUUCUUAAGCAUAGAACUACCCGCAGUCGAAUAUCUAACAUGACCAAUGGCCAUAUCACCCGGCAAUUGAUCAAGUUUAGACUGAUUAAACACAUCAGAGACUAAACCAACACCAGUAAUAGACUGAAGAACUUUGUUAUUCACAGCAACUAUACCUGCACCUUCUUGGCCGCGAUGCUGCAUCGCGUGUAGCGCCAAAUAGCAGAAACGCGAGGCCUCUGGGUCACCAUAGAUGCCCACAACACCACACUCCUCACGGGGCUUAUCGUCGUCAUCAUCAUCAAAACUGCCAAAACCGUCAUCUGGGUAUUCUUUAUUUGUGGUGAAAAACUCAGAGAUGGGGUUUUUUUAUAGAACAGUGAAGUUAUUUUUGUGGAUUAAAGAUUGUUGUUUCUGAGGAAAAAAAGGGUUUUUUUGCAGGGUUUUGGAGAAAAGAGAAAGAUGGGUUUUUUGCGACGGCUUAGGGUUAGCAGAGGGAGAUGGGUUUGAGAGAGGGCAGAUGUUGGCGGUGCCUGUUGUGGUGGCUGCCAUUAAUGGCUGAAUUUAUUUUAUUUUAUUUUAUUUUUUGGGUUGCCUUGCUCAAAGAAAAAACAGAGGAGGUGUGUGGAGGGAGACAGUGGCGAAGGGUACUUUAAGUAGAGGGGAUCUUGUUCUAGGUUUUUUCCUGGAAUUGUGAGGGAAUCUGAUCCUGUGUUUGUGCAUAUGAUUCAAUUACUUAUAGGUGAUACUGUUGUGUCACCACAAAUUCUAACUGGGAAGCUUCAGCUGUCAAUUUUUUUCCAAGGGUUAAUUAGGUAGAACUUUCAUGUCCUCGAUUUUAUUUGGAGAUUCUAAAAGUAGCUUCCAAAAUCAACAAUGUGACACAGAUGCUUUAGAUUUUUUUCCUUGUGGGACAUGAAAAUUGAUGCAUGAUCCAAUGCAUUGCUCUAUCAGAAUUGGAAUUAAACUUAGUUUGUAUUCUCCUAUUCCGAAAGCAAAACUUAUAAGUGAUAUUCUAAGAAGAAGAAAUUAAGAACCAUAACAAAUUUGAUGAUUCUAAUUUGCUAGAAAUAUUGCAAUCCAAAACUAAGAAAGUUCAAACCAAUUAUUAGAAGAAAAAAGUAGGACGGAAGCUCCCAGAAUAUUGUUAUGUGUUGUAUGUUUUAGUUUGUAUUUCCCAAUCAAUAAGAAAAAGUAAGUACACAUGUAACAAAAAUUUAAUAAAAAAGAUUGGAGGUGACAAAACCGUCAAUCUUCUAAUUAACUUUCUCUCCUUUCGAAUUUCCUGAGUUUGGUAGAGACUGCUUAAGUGGUAUAUCUAUUAUAAACACCUGAAGUCAAAGUUAAUAUUUUAAUUGUUAAGAAAAAUUAGAAGAAGAAAUUUUUGUAUAAGAGAAUUGGGUUUAAAUUUAGAAUUCCUUGGGAGGAAAUGAGUCUAAAUUCCAAUAAUAUAAUUAAACACUAUUUAUAUAUAUAUCAUUAGUUGGGUGAAAAUUUAAUUUCCAUCCUUUGAUGUGAAAAACUCUCUUGAUCGUCUAUUUUCAUAUGAUGGUAACUUUUUGUUUAAAGUGAAGUUAUUGGCACUCUUUCAUUAUGCUUAUAAAAUCCUACUUCAAAUAAAAUUACACUUAAAGACAAUAGAAUUAAAUAAUAUAAUUUUUCUUUAAAACAAAUUACUCAUCUAAUUUUCUAUAGGUUGCUUUGUAUCGAAUUAAAAAAAAAAUUGUACAAAUUUAAAAUAAUCUAUUAUUUUUUUCAAAUUUCUUAUUGAUUAAAUAUUUGUGUGCUUAAGAUAGCUUUAAAAUUAUAAGAUAUAAUAUAUAUAAUUUAAGCCAAUGAUUAACAUUCAAAAAUUUAUCUCUCAUAAAAGUUUUUAAUUUGUGCGUAGGGUAAUAAUAAAAUUGCAAAAGAAAUGAAAAAUAGCAUAGCACUAUUUUGAGUUUAAACAAUAAAAAAAUUAAAUGAAAAAUUAGAAAUGUAUUUAAAAAAGGAUAUUUUUGAAAAUAAAAUAAAUAUAAUUUAAAAAAAAAAGAGUUUCACGAGGGGUGCAAUAGUUCAACUCUUUUGUUUAUAAGUUUUAAUGUGUUGGUAUCCUUAGCUUAGCUUUUCCCUAAUUAUUAUAUUAAAAUGUAACAACAAUGAUGAUCAAACCUAAUUUCAUGGAGGUCAAAGAUUUUGGUCAUGCCGCAUUAAUUAGCUCGAUCAUACUUUCUACAAAUUUAUUUACAUUUAAUAAUUUGCCCAAGACUAGGUAAGGCGCCGCCUGGAGUCAUAGAAUUUUAUAUGUCAACAGUGCGUUUCACUUCAAUUAAGCCAUAAAUGUCGUUUAAUAUGCUCAUUUUGUAUUUUUUAAAAAAAAGUUUUAUUAAUUUUUUUUUGUUUUUAAAAAUAUUAUUUAUUUUUUUAUUUUUUUAAAGGUAAAGAAGUGGGUAAAGUUCAAAUUUAAUUUUUAUCCCUUACGUCAUGACCCCUCAGAUUUGAACUUAGGUAGCCAAACGUAUAAUAAUGAUAUCUCAAAUUUCAUUUCAAAUGAUAUGCAAUAUAUUAAGUCAUUGUUAAUCUUUAUAAGAUCCGAGUGAAUGAAUUGUGUUAUCUCACUAAUUAAUUGAUGAGUGUCAUAUCAUUUAUGAUAACUUUUGUAUAAAAAAAAUUGCGAUGGAUGAAAUAUCCUUUUGAGAAUUUAAUGGUUUAUCUCAUUUAUGAUUUAUUGUUGCAUUUAAUGAUAUUGCAAAUAAUUUUUCUGAUAAUAUUAUUGUUUUGACGAGUAAGUUUGGAGUAAAUAAUACAUAUGGCAAGUGUGAGGUUUGUUAUUGCAUUUAUUUUGUGGAUCUCUUUAAAAGCCAAAAAAAGGCAUUUCGAUUCAUUAUGAUUCCAGAUAAUUUCAAGCCAUGUCAUUAUUGGGAUAAAAAUAAAGUAAAAUGGUUAAAACUAUUUUUAUGUAAUUUAUAAAAAUUAAUGAAGCAACUACAAAAUUUUUUAAACGAAAAACAAUUGAAAUGUGUGUGGAAAAAGAAGAAAAAAAUAAGGCAUUUAAAUAUCUUCUUAAAAAAUACGAUUGAUUAAAAUUAUUUUAACCGAAUGCUCUUCCAAAUACAAUUCCACAUUUUUUUUAUUGCAGUGGGAUAUUCCAAAAUUGGCACAACUCAUUAAGAAUUCGGCAACUCAAAUUUUAUUUAUCUCUCUAUGCAUUUGACAAAUUAAAAAGAAAAAAAAUUCAUAUAUCUUCUGUUCAAAAUAAACCUUGGUAAAUAUUGUAAAACAAAUUACCAAUUUUUUUAAAUUUAUGCCAUUAUAUUGUCGCUAUUUUCUCGCCCACUUUCUUAAAAUAGAAUCGAUAUUUAUUGAUGGGUUGGGUUCCAGAGUAAGCACCAAUUCAGCAAAAUGGUUUUAUAGCAGAAAAAGCACUUGUAAGACAUUCAGAACACAUUUUUCAAUUUUGUCUUUUGAAAAUGAGUCUUGAGUUUCCGCAAGCCAAGAAGAAUGGCUAAAAAAUGUAUGGUAUCAAAGAAAGAGAAACACACACACACACAUAGAUUAGUGGGGAGAUAUAUGAGUGUGUAAUUUGUAUAUAUAUCCCAAUUAAUUGUUCAUAUAGAUUAUAUGAACAAUUAAUGUGUAUAUGCAAAAGGAAAAAAAAUUGGCUGUCCAUUAAGACAAAAUUGACUAUCACAUGAAAAUGUUAGCACACUUGCCACGCAACGAAAAUAAAGAUUCCAAGAACAACUUUAUGGUCCCCUUUCUGUCCAAACAUAGGCGAUAGAAAUUAGUGUAAACGACACUUGAAAUAUUUAUGUAGAUCCUCACACAAUUGAUUAAAUAUUUAUAGUAGGGUGGAGUGAUAAAUAGUUUCACAAAAUUAUUGGAAUUAACUAUUUAAUACAUGAGAUCUAUCUCAUUAAGUAUAAAAGAUUGAGUCAUGCUUCAAAAGCAUAACGCUGCUGGCAACAAAUUUAACACAAAAAUUUAAUUAACUAUCCUAGUUGAGAUAAUAAAAUCUUGUAUUGAAAACAAAAGGUUUGAGGUUCGAACCUUCUCAUUCAAGAAAAUCAAGUCAAAAUAUUACAUCUUCCAGCACAUAUUAAAGAUUUUUUCAAAGGCAGACUGAUAAUUCAGGGUAAAAAAGAAGAAAAAAAAAGAAAAGGAAUAUAUGCUAUUCAAGACAGGUAUGCCUUGUACAUGAAGUCCGAGUCCAGAACAAGAAGCACCUGGUUGAUCUUUCAAUUUCCAAAACCCAACAAAAUCUUUGUCAAAAUAUCUGAUCUAGUCCCAUAUUAAGCACAUUCAUAGCCAUAUCAACAGGUUCAAAAUAUUUUCCCCAAAAAGAGAUAGAGAUUCCAUUGAAGUUGAGUUGUGACUGUCCCAACGUUUUGUAAUUAUAUGGUUCAGGAUAUCAUGCCUAUGAAUCUUUUUUUUUUCUUUUUUUCCAUGUUUCGAAGUCUAUCAAAUGAAAAUGUAAUUAUAUGGUUCAGGAUCUCAAUAUGCCGCAGCUGCAAAGGUUGACUUCUACUAUCCAAUCAAUGUCUAUACUUUCUAUUGAAUUUCCUUGUUUUUUUUUAAAUUACGAGAUUUAUUUUUUAGAAAUCUUUGACACAUUUUAUGUAAGAUACCAUAAAACCAAAUACAACCUUUUUGAUUCUCAGCAACAACGUUUUUUUUUCCUUUUAAAAAAAGGAAGCCAUAUAAAUAAUGCUUUAAACAUUAUUUGCAACAAGGAACAAUUAUUUCAUGCUUUCAUGUAUUACAAACUUUCCAAAAACGCUAGCAAGAAAAUGAAAUGGAACUUUACCUAGUCACAUAAUAUAUACUGCUGUUAGCACAAUUGUUAUGAAGUGGCUUCUGCAUCCGAUGAUUCCAGCUCCCACCAAGCAUUGUUAUCUCUAUUCUAAAUACAAUCUGCAUCGCUGGGCAUGAGUUAUAUCAUUAAUGUCUGCAUCCUCACUUACAUCAUCCCAAUCAAGUGCUUUUUCUCCACAUCUGGAUUAUAAGUCCACUCCAAUCUCUUCAAAACAUCCCAGUCCUUCCAUCACAGCUGAUACGACUUCCUUCCUUAUUACUUCCCCAUUAAUAAAUCGCUCCAAGAAAAAAAAAAAAAGCAUUAGCAAUUCUCUUCAAUGCCCCAUCAUUCAUAUCCCCUACAACAACCAUCUUCAGACACCUCAACGUUGCCUCUUGAAAGACCUCCACAAAAUCCGAAUCAUCCGACACAACCACUAAACACCCAAACCUUCUUUUGUCCACCAUAUCCACCUUAUAAUUCCUUAACUAAACAUCGACAUCUUGUGGCUUAUCUAACACCUUCCUGACCCAAAACCAUGCUGUUUUCAACUCAUCUGCAAAAACAUAACCCGCUUUUGGAGUCAAAAUUGCACUUGCAGCCAUUUUAUAUUUUGCCAUCUUUAUUGAAUAGUUGCCAACCAAAAGCACUCUCACCUUCCCUCUAGCUGAUUCUAUUUGAUUCGACCUAUUCUUUUGUUCACCCUCAUGAAUUUGCCUAAAAUGAUUAACAAGUUUGUCAUUAUUAUAAAAUCUCCUUCCACAAUCACCUAUAUGGCUUAGUAGGCCUAAUUACACCCUUGAUUUCUAUUUGGUUAAACAAUUCUCUUUCUUUCUUUGCUCUCUUACAACUUGAGGCACAUAACUAAACGCGUGGCUAUUAGCAUUUGCCACCAUGUAUUUAACAACCCCAAAUGAAGAUAUUAAUUUUUUUAGUUUAAUUGCUGCUUCAAAAUGGGGUACUGCAUUUGGAUUUUGUUAUUCAAAUACCAAAAUGUUCCCACAUUGUGUUGGACAGUUUUUGGUUCUAAAGUUGAUGAUUGGUUUUGCCAAUCAGGCUUCAAAUGAGAACUUCUAAACAAUAAGACAAAUGGGUUUUUGAGUUUCUAAUUUUGUAAACUUUGUUCUAUUGUGUAAGUUAUGAAAUCGCUGAAACAUCACUACAGCUACAGGUCUUUAUGUGUCAAAGAACUGCAGAAGCUGAUGAUCUACCAGUAGUAGACUUCUAUUGCCCCUGCCGUUCUAGGAAGACAAACAAGUUCAGGAACUACUUCUGGACCAAACUCAUAAUAUUGCCACCGCUUUGUGCCAAUCUGAGACGGAAAGAAGAUUGAAGUUCCUAAAUAAGGCACAUCAUGAUUUAAUAGAAGCACCACUAUAAGGAAAAAUGGAUUUCAGGAAAGCACUAAAAUAUGACAUAAUCUCCCCCUAAUAGUCUAAAGUAUCAACCAAGCAAAAACACAUAAACUAGUUGAGAUACAAAGUUAUCAUAAAAGUCAGUUUUGAUCACAAAUCCAUUAAAAUUAAAAGACAUUAGAAAGUUAGAGAACAUUAUAAUUUAGGACUCAGCUAAGUUGCAGAUUCUGUAACUAACAGCUGAGUCCACAUUGGCCUUACAUCAGCUGAGUUUGGGUUGCUUUUCCUCUCUCCUGCAACGCGUACGUGGAAGCGCCCCAUUUGCUGUGUUCUAUACCGAGUUGGUACCGUAACAAGCUCCUAUAAUUUAAGUUUGAUUACUGUAGACAAUAGUCUGCCUCUGCUCAAAAGCUAUGCUGCAAGAUAUAACAUCUUUACUUUCUAAAAGUAAUAAGAAAUGAAACCAAGGGGUAAAUCGAACACCAAAAGAAAUUUAGUCGGCCAACCACAUUAUGUUCCCACACAAUCCACUAAUUAAGUUAAUAAUUAAAGGGAAUCAAAAUCUAAGAAAUCUCAUCUUCAAGCAGAAUACAAACACGCCGCGAUUGAAAAUCACAAAAUCAUAAAAAGAAGCUGACUUGAAAAGGGGUGGGCCGCCUCAUUUGCCCACCAACCACACCACACACACAAACACUCCAACACACACACAAGCUCUCUAGCUUUUGUAAAAAACUCUCUUUAAUAUUCUCUCUUUGUGAGUAAUAAAAUCAUAUUCAGCCAUAUUGCUCUACUUCUCUCUAGCAUUUUCCUAGAGUGUUCUUACUUCGCUAGUUUGAGGAGUGGUCUAGGCUUACUUAGCAACUUGUUUGCUACAAGGACAUCUUGGUCACAAAACAUGGACAUGCAAGGAAAAAAAAAUAUUGAUACGUUCUAAAAAUAAUACGCAUUCUUCUAUCGUGAACCAAAAAAAUUUAGGCUAAUGGUAGCAAGUGAAGGAAUUGUGAUUUCACGUGCAUUUUGUUGACAUGAAGGUAAAGAGCUUUUUUAUAGUUUAUAUUGUUUAAUAUAACAUUUGAAUUGCAAAAUAGGGGUACAAAAUAGAUACACGAAGGGAUAAAACUAAGUUGAUUAUGAUAAAUAUUGAAUUAUAAGAUUUAGGUUUAAUCAUAAAGACAUAAGUGGCCCAAGUCACGAAUUGAUAUCAUCCAUGAUGCAAGUUCAAACAACUGCAUAAUAAGUUGCCCUAAGCUAAACUAUUAAUCUAGUAACUAUUCCAGUCGAUGUGGGAUAAUUUUCCUAUCACCAUUUAUCACGUGCAAGCCGAAUUUGUUGCUUGGUUCUUACAUGUGGUAAGAUAAUAUGAAUCCACUUGUGCAUAAAUUUUGCUCCGAUAUUAUAUAGAAGCUUAUGACCCAAAAUUAUACUUAAAGGUGAUUUCAAGAUUUCAAGGUUGCCUCAAGCUAAUAUUAUUAUUAGCCUGGUAACCCUUUUUUUUUUGUUGAUAUGUGAUAUUUUCCCUAUAACUUUUAUUAAUCUUUAUGCUUAUGUUUUGUCAUUUAUCCCAAAAAUAUAACAUUAACAAAAGUUCCAAAAUUUCCUUCAAGAGAUAUAUUUGAGACAAGUAAUUUGUGCAAUAACUUUGUGAAUUGAUGAGCAAAUUCAGAGAAAAGAAUAUAUGUGCCAAACGUAAAGUUUAUUAUUGUGUUUAUUUGUAGAGCUAUUUAAAGCCCAGAAAAAAAAAAGCACCAGUCCGCUAUGAUUUCAAAUAAGUUCAAGCCCUAUGUCAUUAUUGGUACAAAAAUGUAUCAGAAAGGUUAAAAACUAUUUUUAUUUAACUUAUAAACUUAGGAAAUUAUCAACUGCUCAGCCUUAAAUUGUGCUAUUAUAAAAAAUAUUACAAUAUUUUCAGGUUGUAUCAUUCAUCUACCAUAAAAUUAUAAUUGCAUCAUUUAUCCACCAAAUCAUUAACUUCGUUAAAAAGUGAUAGAUGUUACAAGGGUAAUUUAGACAUUUAACACACAAAAAAAAUAAAAGAGAAAUUAUCUAAGCUUACCAUGUUAUCAAAAUUGCUACAAAAUUUUAAAUUUGUUCAAUUUUUCAAUCUAAGUUUAUGACCUCCAAGAUUUUAAUUGCAAUUUGUAAUUAAUGAGUUCAUAAGGAUAAUUUAGACACUCAAUAUGCAAAAUAAAAAAAGAAAAGUAUCAUUUGUAUACCUUAAAAUUUGCUGUAUCAAUCGUCCACCUUAAAUUGAAAAAAGUUAUCUACCGACCACUAAACCAUUAGUUACCGUUUGAAAGUUAACGGAACUGUAGCGAAUUGACGAUUUUACCCUUGAAAUCUCAAAAAAAAAACUCUUAUUAUCAAUUAUAUACCCUUAAAUUAUUACUAGUAUCUAUGAAAAGACUAUAUUACCCCUUUGACGUCAUCAUGUUUAAACGGCAACUAACGCUUUGGUGGACGACAGAUACAUUUUGUCAAUUUAGGAUGGACGACUGAUAUACCCUGAAAGUGUUGUAGUAAAUUUGAUAACGGAGUAAACUAAGGGUAUACAAAUAAUAAUUUCCUAAUAAAAAAAUAAAAUAAUGGUUUAAAACAUUAAAACAAAAAACUUGAUAUUCAAUUAAAUACACAUAAACUCUAUUUUUUUCUUAAUUAAAAAUAUUCUAAUUUAUUUUCUCAAUUUAUCAUCAUAAAUUUACAUUAAUAAACUAAAUCCACAAAUUACCCUAAACCCUAAUUCAUAAAUGCCCAAUCAAUCUAAUAGUUUAAUUAGAUUUCAUAAUUAAAAAGCUAAAUUUAUUAUAUUGGUUAUGGUGCAAAGUCAAAAAUGCCCUUAAAUUCAAGGGUAAAAUAACAUUUUAUUUAAAGUCUAUAAAUGAUUCUAACAAUGUUAACAUUUUGGUGGGCGGUUAAUAUAAGUUACAAACUUAAAAUAGAAAAUCAAAUAAAUUCAAAAUUUCAAACUAUUUAGGGCAAAUUUAGGAUAUAUGGUUAAUAAUUUUCCCAUGUCUUUUUACAUUGGUUGAUAUAAGUUACAAACUUAAAAUAGAAAAUCAAAUAAAUUUAUAUUUUCAAACUAUUUAGGGAAAACUUAGGGUAUAUGGUUAAUAAUUUUCCGUUGUCUUUUUACGUUAAAUUGAGUUUCAAAGGUAAAAUGGUCAAUUUAUUAUAAUUCUGUUAAUUUUUUAGUGGAAGCAAACGAUAUAAUGGACGAAUGAUAUAAAUUGUAAAAUUAAGGUGUAUGAAUGAUACAACUUUAAAGUAUUAUAGUAAUUUUAAUAAUAGAACAAUUUAAGGGUGGAUUGGCAAUAAUUUAAACUUUAAUGAAGCAACCAAAAAAUUUUUUUAACAAAAGAAAAAUAAUUGAAAUGCUUUAAGAAAAAUAAAGGAAAUUAAAUAUCUUUAUAAAAAUAUAAUUGAGUAAAAUCAUUUUACAAAAUACUCUUUCAAAUGCACAUUCCACAAGCCAGGGAGAACGGGUGACUAACAAAAAUCUCACUUUUUAUGAGUUUAUAAAAUCUCACUUUCGCAGAAACAAAAAAUAAAAAUUAUUGCUGUCACGACAUUACGCACUUUCUUUGCCAUCUAGAAAGGUAGAACAUUUUGAAGUUCCUCAAUACAAAAUGCGUGCUACUACUAAAUUGGCACAAUUAAUGCCCAUCGAAAAGGCCAUCAAUUUAGCCAUCAAUUUUGUCAAAAUUUCAACAAUUGAAGAAACAAUGAUCACAAACGGAAUAGGUAAAUUUUGAAGUUGAAUAAAUCUUGAGAUGCAUACAACAAAGCCUUGAAACUUUAUUCUUCACAAUUUGAGCACGCACUGAAUAUUAAAGCAAAUAUAUAUGAAAAAAAAAUCAUAAAGCUACCAAAAGGAACCACAAAAUCAUCAAUAUUAUCGUUUAAUAUGGAGAACGGCCUGCGCAUCCAAAUUGUGCGAACUGAACACGCUGAAAUGUGUGUUUUGUUUUUUGGAUUUUUGGAAUUUUUUAAAAAUCAUUUAUGUUCGCCGCCAUCUUUUUCUUCACUGGCGUCUUCCUCUCUUGGCUGGCAUCUGCCUCGUCUGCAGUUUGCUGUGCCUAUUUAUCCAACCAAUAAAUUGGGCAUUAAAUACGAAUGAAUGAUGAAUAAAAUGAUAAAAAAAAAACAAACAGAGAAAAUUAUAAUAUAACACAUAUUUAUUGAAAGAGAAAUUUUGAUUUUAGGAUAGAUCAAUUAGCUAUCUCAAACGAAAACAUGAACCAACUAUGUAUAGAGUCAAUUAAUUUAAAGUUCUCAAGAAUUACCUCUGCUCCAGAAUUCUCGGAAUCAUCUUCUCCUUAUGAAUUUCCACGAAACUUGGGACAAUUAUUAACACCUCUUCUAAAGUAUGCAGAUGGAAAUGGGAUCUGAUAACCCGCAGGCCAAAAGUUGGUGAGGUUUGGUAAGUCUUCCAGUCUCAAGUCCCAAAGUUCAUUCAUAACAAUUUCAUUGUAAUCCGUGACGUCUGCUCCAUCUUUAUGCCAGAAUACUUCUUCUAAUUCAUCAUUACCUACUAUGGAUAGGCGCGACAGUUUUUGAAGACUUGGAGCUACGCUGAUAUGAAAUAGAUGCUUUAGUUUGGGGCAAUAAUAGACAGAGAUCCUUGUGAGUUUUGGGAAACAUACAGGUUGGAGAUGAUCCUCAUCCUCAUCCUCAUCAAUGAUUUGCUCUAAUUCCAAGCAAUUCGAAACAGAUAACUCCUCCAAUUGCAACAGAUUUCGAGCAAAUGUUGAUGAGAAGAGACGUCUCAGCAUAGUGCACCCGUCCACUGUUAAAUAGGUAAGACUUUGCAGGCUAAAAUUAUGAGUGGGACCUUCAUGAUAUAAUAAUAAUUGCAGGUCUCCCAGAUUGUGCAAGGUCAAUGUCUUCAAACGUGGGAAUAGUUUGUUUUCUUGUCCCUCAGCGAUAAUAGCUUCCACUUGAAAUACCACCUGUACUCCAAGUUCUCCAAUACCCAAUAUUUCCAAAUUUUUUAAUCCGUGCUUCAACAGUGCUGGAAUCGUGUGACGCAAAUGGGAGCAACUUUCCACACCUAGAGUAUUUAAGUUCUGAGACAAAUAAAUAAAUAACUUGAUGUAAUUAAAAUUUGUUAGCAGCUAGGAUUAUCACAUGAUAAGUGAUGAACACCGCAAAAAACAAAAACAGAAAACAAAAUCCAUACAAAAAUAUCAUAAUACAUAUGUAAACUAAUAAAAUAAUUAAAAAGUAAUGGAUUUAAAAAAAAUGAAAUUAGUUAAAAGAGAUCAUGUGAAGUGAUAUAAAUGUGACAUUAGAUUGUUUUAGAAAAAUUAUUAUUCUAUUAAUUUAUAUGGCUUGAUCAGCUAAUUAAUUGAAUUUGAAUAAUAUUAUACACACUUCAGAAGUAUUUGCAUCAAUUCUUUCUAAACCAAAAUGAAAUCUGAUAAAAUAAUUAUUAUCAUUACCACAUCCACCACCACCAUCAUCAUCUCCAUAGGAUCAAAUAAUUAAUGGCUGAUCAUAAAGUUUAUUGCUAAACUAUCAUUUUGAGUAAAAUUGAAUGAAAAGAAAAAACAUGAACCCAAACAAACAUACAUUUUCAAGAUACUGCAAAUUGGCUUCAAGUUCAUUAUUGUUGAUGAUCAAGUUGGGACAAUAAUCAAGGAUUAGCUCUUCCAAUGCUGUCCAAAUUGAACAAUAGUUUUCUGAACAGAAGCUGACGAGUUCUGGGAGUUCUUGAAGUGUUAAUCUUCUCAACAAGGGGAGGGCGAGCAUCGUAUUUCCACCUUCGACACUUAUUUCCCCUUCAUUGUGAUCAAACUUUGCUUCGACAAUACAUUCCAGUCUCUCGCAAUGGCUUACACAGAGACUUUUAAGCUGCUCCAAACUUCGGGCUUGUGACAACGUGAAGAUGUAUGUCAACUUGUUGCACGAAUGCACAUUCAAUUCUGCAAGAGUUUGGAGACUGAUCACAUGUUGGGCGAGUGCCUUCCAUAUCCACUUCAGUUCUGGUAAGCCCCACAUAGAUAACUUUGCUAAUCUUGAGAGACUCUUUCCAUGCGGCGACUUGGAGGCAUCCAUUAUGCAUUCUAAAUCUUCGCAACCGUGGACAUCAAGACAAGUCAACUCAUUUAAGCCCAUUUCAUCUAUGCUUGGCACAAUAUUGUAACAACCUAUAAUCCCACUUAAACAAAGAAUUUCCAGUUCUUGAUACAAAGCCGAAAAAAUACCGAGCGAGGUCGCUUCAGGAGGGUCGUUACUAAUCAUUAAGAUCCUUGCCUUAUCAAAAUGACGUACCUUUGCAAUUUCGGGAAUGUAAAGUCUUUUGGAAGACAUACAACAGAUCCGUCGACUUGGGAGUUCAACUCAGCAAGCCUAGCAUUACUUUCUUCUGAACUCAUCCCUUCAACCUCCCAAUUUUUUAUCCGACCAUAAAAUUCUUCUAAUUGAGGAAUUUUUUUUAUCGUAAUAGGAGAAACAGAACUGAUAUCAAUAUAUAGAAGUUUCAAUCUACUAAGUUCAUUCCUCAAUUCUUCUGGAAUUUUAAUGAGAGACUUCUUGAGAAAAAGAAUUUGAAGCCUCUUCAACUUUCCAAGGAAAGAUGCAUCACUCACCUUACAUCGAAUCAACUGCAGAACCUGGAGGUUGGUGAGGCUCUGAAGCGAUUUAAGUGAAAGAACUCCACCUAUUAUAGUGACAACUUUCAAUGCUGGCAUCCCUUUAAAAAAAUGUUCUGGAAUUUGCAAUUCGUAAUUAUAUACGGUGUUCUCCAAUCGCAGAAUAUGAAGGUUAGGGCAUACCAAACUACUAGGAAGCUCUUCUUCUUUAUUUCCCAUUACAGAGAUUCCUUUGCACUGUUCCAGGCCUUUUUCCACCGCCCGUUCCAGCAAUCUGAUGCCAUUUAUACUAAACAAUCUCUCCUCCUUCUCCUUCUUCUCUGUGCUUAUCCAUAUGGCUACAUCACGAACUAUGUCAUGCAUUUUCACAGAUAUGUCAUUACCAGUGUCUAACAGUAGUGAAGCAGCUUUGAGUCCGUCAAUUGUUCCAUGCAGUAGGCUUCUGGUGUUCUCUAUUGACUCAGCUUGAUACCAAGUCAACCCUACUGCAUAUCCAACCAAAUCCUCCAAAUUAAUCUCAUAAUAUUCUGGAAAUAGCGAACACAACAAGAAGCAUAACUUGGAAUUGUCAUCAUUCAAUUUGUCGUAACUAAAUUUGAGACAACCGUAAACGUCUAGGUUCUCCUCAUCAAUACCUUCUAUUGCAUAGAGUUUUGCAGCCUUUAGGUUAUAUAGAGCCAGGUUCCAUUCAUUAAGGUAGCGUUUACUUUUUGGAUUGGAUUGAGAAUCUUGGGGAGUGGGAAUCCUAAGAUUGGGAGUGUGGAGUGGGAGUGGGAGUAGGUUGUUUACUUACACUAGAAUGGAAGCAUGGAAUGGAGAUCAGAAUUCAAUUUAUGUGUUUACUUUGUCUUGGAUUGGGAGUAAAUAGUUUCAAAUUAUAAUUUUAUCCUUAUUUAAAGAAUUAUAAUUUUUAAUUACAAAACUAAUAAAAAAUAUAUUUAAUGAAUAAUAUUUAUUUUAUUAUAUUUGUAAAUUUAUUAUAAUUAUUAAUAUUCUUAAUUAUGAACAAUAAAUUAUUAAUUGUAAUUUUAAUAUAAAAUGAAAUGUUAUUUUAUUUUAUUUAAUAUAAUUAUAUUAAAUUUAUUAUUAUAUAAAAUAAUAAUAUUAUAUUAUUUAGUACAAAAUUAAUAUUUUCUUAGAAUAAAGUAUUUAUUAUUAUUAUUAAAUAAAUAUAGUACUAUUAUUUUUAAAAUAAAUAUAAUAAUAUUAUAUUUAUUAAUUCUCUAUUAAUAUAAUAAUAUUAUUUUAAAAUAAUUUUAACUUAGAAUCAAUGUAAAUUAUUAUUGAGUUAAAUAUAAUAUUAUUAUUUAAAUAAAUAUAAUAUUAUUUAUUUUAUUUUAUUAAUUAUAAAACAUAAAAUAAAAAAAAGAGUAGAAAUGGGAGAGGUGGGAGUGGAUUCCCACUCCCACCUCCCCCAAUGGGAGUCCCACUCCCACUCCCCACUCCAAAAAUGGAUGGGGCCCACGGAGUGGGACUUCCAAUCCCUCUCCAUUUUAAGUAAGCAAACGCUGGAGUGGGAGGAAUCCACACUCCUCACUCCCACUCCAACAAGUAAACACAACAUUAAAUCCUUUUCCUCUUAGUGCACUUCCAACAGCUUCAAUAGCUAAAGGUAGCCCGUUACAUUCUCCAGCAACUUCUUUGGAAACAUCAUUCAAGGUGGAGUCAUUUACAUCAAUGCCGGCAUUUUUUCGCAGUAAAGCCAAUCCUUCUUCUGGCGUUAGUGUACUAAGUGGAAUCUGUGUGUCACAACCCAAAGAAUCACAAACUGACUUUUUGCGAGUGGUUAGAAGGAUUUUGCAACAAUUAUCUCUACCACCAACGGGAAUACGUAAUUUUUUCUCCAAGUCGAGUUGUUUCCAAACAUCAUCAAGGAUUACGAGGAUUUUGUUGCUUUUACUCUCAGAAAAUAUCAAGCGCAA